Molecule: long non-coding RNA, 156529 nt
Filed under: Gossypium barbadense (sea-island cotton)
Lineage: Eukaryota; Viridiplantae; Streptophyta; Magnoliopsida; Malvales; Malvaceae
Description: long non-coding RNA (GBAR_LNC016734)
Source: RNAcentral
UUCCACCCUUAGCCGCUUUUCCAACGUAUGUAUAGCCAUCGCCUUCCCUGUAAAGUACAUCCAUCACUCUUGCAAGGUUUAGGCUACGAUUCAAAACUUCUGUUGGCAUUUCUGUUGGUUUCAUAAACUCUUGAUUCACAUCCUUCCAGGCACUCUCAACAUGCUUGUUGAACACAUCAUAUGCCUCUUGUGCUGUUACACCAUAUUCUUCCAUGUAACACUCAAUUGCUGAGCAAUCAUCUUCUCUCCUAUGCUUGAACUGCAGCCGUAAUAAAAUCAAAAUCAUUUUAUCACUAUAUACACUAAAAUCUAUCAGUUUAUUAAACUACAUUUGUUUAGUGAUGAUAAAUUACCUUUUGGCAAUAUUUCCUCCCUAGUAACCCUAAAAUGAAACUUUUUUUUCUUCUUAUUCUUCAAUUUAAGACUAAACAUUUAUAUAUAAAUAUUAAACUUUAAUUGUUUUAGAUCAUGAUAAAAAACCAUCCUUUGAUUUCGUUACAGAGACAUUCAAUUAUUGAGUUAAGAGUUUAGUUUCUUGUGAUUAUAUAAAUAUAUUAUUAUACCUUGUGUUCAGCAACAUCAUCCAUGAACCUACAAAUAAUUGUGGAAGCUUGGAUGAUCUUAGGGUCAUUGGCAGCCCAUUUAAAGGUCUCUGGUGUUACGAUAUCUCCCAUCCCGACAAAAGAUGUAAUAGCAAGCAUGGCAUAACCACAAGUUGGCAAAGCAUUAGCCUUAAACUCCUCAAAUGAUGGUUUGUAGUUUUGAAGAGUCCAUUUGGCCUCCACAAGGUAAAAUUGAGCAAGUCGUAUCAUCUGAGGCAACAGAAUCCCAACACUUAUCACUAAUAUCAAGUUAAAUUCGAUAAUAAUAUUUAAAUGAUUAUAAUGUUAUUUAAGUUAAUUGUUUAUUCAAAUAUAAAAUUUAGCUAAGGUCUUAUCUCUUUUGUAUAAAAUAAAUGUUUCUUGAUGUAUAUACCGCAUUUUUCGCAUAUUCGGCACGAUAUUGUCUUCCGUGCUUAGCCAUCAGUUGUUCCAUUUCUUCAUAAACAUCUAAUAGUGCUUUGUAGCUCGGUUUCAUGUAUUCUGGAAGUUGGUCAAUGCAUUUGAUAUCCCACCUGAAUCCAACUUCAACGUUAUAUUCAAUCAUUCCUCGUAAUAUAUAACUGAAUGUUAAUCUCUAACUAAAGAAAUCUAACCUCUCAAUUGCAUUUGUAUAGGGAAUGAGCUCAUCAUAUGUUGCAUAUAAGUCAUAUGUAUCAUCUACAAUAGAUGCCAUUGCUAUCACUUUUGUCAACAUCUUUCUACCAAGUGAAUAUUGGGGCUCAAAGUAUACUCCUGAGAUCCAAAAAUAACCUUCAACCACUCUAUCUCUUGCAUAUGGCAACUUUUUUUGAAAGUCUAAAUCCUUCCACCACCUAAAAAAUAUAUCAUAAAAAACCUCAUUAGCACAAUGAAUCUUCAAAGUUUUUAUUAGUUUCACGUUCAUGUUGUUGAAGAGUAAAUUGUUAGAUUCUUAAUUCAAUUGGAAAUCUCAAGUUUAUAUAUAUAUAUCUUCAUACGUUAAAUGAAAUAGGUGAAAAAGAUGAGUCCAAAGUUCAUGUCGUCACUUUUAACUAAUGUAAUUUAAUACAUUUAAGAUUUGAAUAUUAAUAUUUGCAACCCGUCCCUUAUACUGAGGAUGAAGCCUCCUAUAAAUUGAAAAAAAAGGUGAAAAAAGAAGAAAUGGAUGGAAAAUAUUCAAAAAUUCAUACCUACAAAUCUCACUUAGCUCUUUCCUAUGCAAAAUUUAUAACAUGUUGAAAUCAAUCUUUGCAAACUCCAGCAAAGCCUUAUUAUGGGAUUCAAUAUCAUGGUAUACUGAAAGAUAGUGCCUCGCCUCGACCCUUGGCAAGCCUCUUCGGAUUGAUUGUUUCAAAGCAUGAGAAACUUGUUCGGAUAAAGGAUAAUCCAAAUAUGCUAAUACAAGCCUUAAAUGGUUGGUGGUGAAAGAAAUUGCUUCAUCCAAUAUAUCUUCCCCAUGAACCCUUAAAUAGGAAGCUUCAUAAAGUUCCAACAAUCCUGGAACAUCGCUUGUCAUAGAUGACUUAAAGGUCCCUUGCUCAUCUUUAAACUUGUUGAAUACAUCUGCGAUCAAAUCACCCGAAACAAAAUAUCGUUAUCAAACAUUCCAUGCUAUUAUAUAGUCAUAAAACUUAAAAGCACUAUGUUGUUCCAAUAAUUACCACACGAAACAUUGAAUCCAUGCUCUCGGAGUAAUCGGAAUCGAAGAGAUGUAGUGUAGAUGUCGUUCUCGGCAUCGUUGUUGUUAUGGUAGAUGUUCUCUAGUUCAUCCUCGAUCUCUUUUGUGAAAUGGUAACUCACACCCAGUCUUUGUACUGAAUCAAUGAAGUUUAACUUUUGGGUUGAAUUAUGCAUUGGUGCCACAAUCAUCUUCCUCACUUCUUCUUUCAAUUGUUGGUGGCGUUGUUCAGUUUCAGCAUUGAUAUUGUCGAAACCAUUUUUUGAAAACAAAAAAUUUAGUUGUCGACUUUUAAAAAUAAAACUGGAGUCACCACCGACCCUUUAUUAAGGUGUGAUCGGCUCACCUUAAAAAAUAUUUUGGUCUACGAAUUUUGAGAAAACGGGUUCGAGAGUCAGUUACGUACGAGGAAGGGUUAGCACCCUCGUAACGCCCAAAAUCGGUACCAAAUUGACUAUUUGAUGUCUUAGUGUCGAAAGUUAAAAAGAUUUUAAAAUAAGCUUGAAUGAUGAAAUUUUUGCAAAAGGAUAACCAAUUGUUCAAGUCAUGUAAAGAAAUCGAGUCCCAAUACGUUAGGGUACAAUUCCUCAUAAUCCCCGAACUAUGAAUAUCACUUUUAUUUUAUGCGAAAAUCUUCAUUUCGAGAAAGUAACAGGCCACACCCAAUACGUUAGGGCACGACAAGUUAAGUUCCCAAAAAUGAUUUUUUAUGCUCAUGUAUUUUGAAUAAAGAAUACUCGGUCAUUUAAGAUUGACAAAGAAAAUCAGAACCCAAUACGUUAGGGCUCAAUUUACCUCGAAAAUCCCAAACUUCAAAUAAUGCUUUUAUUAAAAAAAACAUUUAAAUCAAGAAAAUAACUUUGAUGAAUGGUUGAAACCAAAAUAUAUUUUUAAAGGGGUACGUUUAAAAAAAAUAAUGUACAAUAUGAUACAGAUACUUUAAUUUACAACAUAUAUGAAUAAAUAUUUACGAAUAUACAAAUACAAGUACAAUAUACAAGUAAUUUUGAAAAUAUGUGUACGCAUAUAUUUAACACAUAUACGAUAGUACAUAUAAAAAAAUGGAAUGCAAUACAUAUAAAAAAUGCAUGUAUGGGUGAAUACGAAAAUCGUAAAAAAUGAAAAAAAUGUACAUACGUUAAUGCACAUAUAUAAGUGUACAAAUAAAAAAAAAUUAUAAUGAUUUCUAAAAAAGCAUGUAUAUGUAAAAAAAUGCAUAUGAAUUAUAAAAUGUAGGCAUAUACGCAUGUAUAUAUAUACAUAUUUAUUUAUAAAAACUAUGAAAACAUAAUAUAUAAAAAUGUAUAAAAUAUGUGUAUGUAAGAUUUAAAGUAUGUAUGUAUAUAUGUAUCUAUUUUAAAAAUGCAUAAGUAUAUAUAUGGAAUAUAAAGUAUGAGAAGGUUAAAAAAAAACUGAAAAACUGUAAAAAACAAAAUUUAAAAAAAAAUGUAUGAAUGCAUGUGUUUAUGAAAACUAAAAAUGUAUAUGUAUUAAAUAGGCAUGUAGAUUAAAAUAGACGUGUGUAUGAAUGAAAUAAUAAUAGUAAUAAUAAUAUUAAUAAUAACAAUAAAUAAGAUAAAAUAAAAAGAUAUAGCAUAGUCAUGAUAAAAAAAUGGAUCAAAUUGAGUUAAAAACGAAAAAAUGGGGCGAAUUUAGAAUAAAAUUUAAAAAAGGGGCCCCCUUGAAUGCGCACGUAACAGGGGAGGACCAAAAGGGAAAUUAUCCCGUCCUUCCAAAACAUUGCGCAUUAACACUGGCUAAAAUAAACAGAAACAGAAACAUUUGGGCUAAAUUAAAAAAAACAAAAACUGGCUCAAUAAAACAUGGCGCAAAAGAGGGAGGACUGAUCGCGCAAAUUCCCCCUCUGAUGUCAGAACGCUCGGAUCCUCCCCUCCGGGUCGGGUCACCGCGCGAGUCUGGCCAUUCAAAACGGCGCCGUUUUGAUCUGUUAUUUAAAACAGAUUUUUCCUUCUAAAACCAUUUUAACAAAAUGAAAAAAGAAAAAAAAACCUUUGUAAAACAACUUUGAUAUCUGUAUUUUCUCUCUAUUUCUGUCUCUGUUACACUGCCCUCCCCUUUUUUUUUACAGAUUUUCAAAGGCUUUUAUAGCCCGAAACUAACUUUUUUCCACUAUAUUUUUGCUGAUGGACUCUCUGAGUCCAUGUUUACAGGCGUUCAUGAAGCGCACGUGGAGAGGAGAUCCCCCUCGAGACGUGCGGCGCUUGGGACGUCUGCUCGAGGCGUGGAGGCUGUUGUGGCUAGGGCGUAUAGUGCUAGGGUUUUCUGUUUAAUUUUGCAGUAUUGGGCUAGUUCAAUUGGGCCUACAGAUGUUUUUAAAUUUGGGCUGUGCUUUAUAAGGGCCUGGGCCGGUUGGGCCUUAUUACAGCUGCCCCUCUUUGCUCGUUGUCGUGUAACAGGAACAGAGCAAAGACUACAAGGCCCAAUUGUGCCCGGCCCUACUAAGCCUCGAUUUCUUCAGUGCUUCUCUUUUUAGGUAGCAUCAUUCCUUCCUGCUGCAUUUUCAGAGGUAUAGGAACUGGCGCUUCAAUCCACUCCACUGCAAUGUCAUGGAGAUAGAAUCGCUGGCUUUAAUGUACUCCACUGUAACUUCAGGGAGGUAAAAUCCACCAUCUUUGAUCUGCUCCACUACUGCUUAGGGAGGUAAGAUCUAUUUUCCUCGAUCUACUUCGCCACCAGUAUGGGAAGAUAAAAUCUGUAUAUUCGAUCCACUUCGCUAUCGAUAUAGGAAGACAGGACCUGCUACCUUUGAUCUACUUCACGCUAAUACAUGAAGACAAGAUCUGCUUUAUUUUAUUUGCUUCGCCACCAGUAUGGGAAGGCAAGAUCUGUUAUCUUUGAUCUACUUCACGCCAGUACAUGAAGACAAGAUCUGUUUUCUUCGAUCUGCUUCGCCCCAGUAUGGGAAGACAAGAUCUAUUUUCUUUGAUCUACUUCACGCCAGUACAUGAAGACAAGAUCCGUUUUCUUCGAUCUACUUCGCCACCAGUAUGGGAAGACAAGAUCUGUUAUCUCUGAUCUACUUCACGCCAAUACAUGAAGACAAGAUCUGCUUUCUUUUGAUCUGCUUCACCACCAGUAUGGGAAGGCAAGAUCUGUAUAUUUGAUCCACUUCGCUACCGAUAUAGGAAGACAAGACCUACUAUCUUUGAUCUACUUCACCCAGUACAUGAAGACAAGAUUUGUUUUCUUCGAUCUGCUUCGCCACCAGUAUGGGAAGGCAAGAUCUGGUAUCUUUGAUCUACUUCACGCUAGUACAUGAAGACAAGAUCUGUUAUCUUUCAACUUGCUCCACUACUGCUCAGGGAGAUAAGGCUUUAUGAUUCCACCAACCUGUUCUCUAUGGAACAUGACCUGUAUGAUGAGUCUAAUUAUGCCUAGUGAUUAGGAUGCCAUGAGAAAUGAAUCAAAUGCUCCUAACUAGACGUGUAGGAAUGACAUUUGAAUGUUAUGUCAUGAAAAAUGAAUAUUGAAUGUUUAAAGUCAUUAUUGCUUAUUAAGGCUUCCUUUGUGACAACAACGCUUCGUUAAAACUUGAAAAUUUUAAUCUUGACUCUUGGCUCCUGGAUAUCUCCGACCUUUUAACCUGGUGAAGGUCUAAACAAUAGUCUUGUUUCAGGUUCUUGAGCUAUUUAAAGACUUCUAGAGUAAUAUGAAAAACUUCCCUCGUGAAAGUUUUACUAGUCCAUUAAUCAUCAUUCUAAUGCAACAUGCUUGCGAAAAGAUCAUAACGAUGAAUAAAACAAAAUUAAUUUGGGAGCAUAGCUCGCAAUGGAUUGUCAAUGAUAGAGGAAUUGUCUGGGGAUAUUUAUAUUGAAAAAGAAUGAAAUAUUCUAAAACAACAGACUCAAUACAAAUACUAUGAAUAGGUGCCCGGAUAUCUCUGCUUGAAUUUCUCUAUACAACUUUUCGAAGACCUUUCUAAAUUCAACACGUGUUUAGGAGGUUCACAGUAUUUUGUUGAUGCCCAAAGACGUCGUCUGUUCCUUUCUGCGGAUUUAGGUACAACAAGACUACCACGUGACAAUCAAAAUUUGAGCUGCCCUUUUCAGGUUUUUAACUCAAAUCCCCUUUGGUCUUAAGGUGCCCUUUGCGGGUUUUCACCUUAGCCUCUCCAUUUUUUUUAAAAAAAUUGUUUUUUUUACAGUUUUUCAGUUUUUUUUAACCUUCUCAUACUUUAUAUUCCAUAUAUAUACUUAUGCAUUUUUAAAAUAGAUACAUAUAUAUACAUACAUACUUUAAAUCUUACAUACACAUAUUUUAUACAUUUUUAUAUAUUAUGUUUUCGUAGUUUUUAUAAAUAAAUAUGUAUAUAUAUACAUGCGUAUAUGCCUACAUUUUAUAAUUCAUAUGCAUUUUUUACAUAUACAUGCUUUUUUAGAAAUCAUUAUAAAUUUUGUUUUUUAUUUGUACACUUAUAUAUGUGCAUUAACGUAUGUACAUUUUUUUCAUUUUCUACGAUUUUCGUAUUCACCCAUACAUGCAAUUUUUAUAUGUAUUGCAUUCCAUCUUUUUAUAUGUACUAUCGUAUAUGUGUUAAAUAUAUGCGUACACAUAUUUUCAAAAUUACUUGUAUAUUGUACUUGUAUUUGUAUAUUCGUAAAUAUUUAUUCAUAUAUGUUGUAAAUUAAAGUAUAUGUAUCAUAUUGUACAUUAUUUUUUUUAAACGUACCCCUUUAAAAAUAUAUUUUGGUUUCAACCAUUCAUCAAAGUUAUUUUCUUGAUUUAAAGGUUUUUUUUGAAAAAAAGCAUUAUUUGAAGUUUGGGAUUUUCGAGGUAAAUUAAGCCCUAACGUAUUGGGUUCUGAUUUUCUUUGUCAAUCUUAAAUGACCGAGUAUUCUUUAUUCAAAAUACAUGAGCAUAAAAAAUCAUUUUUGGGAACUUAACUUGUCGUGCCCUAACGUAUUGGGUGUGGCCUGUUACUUUCUCGAAAUGAAUAUUUUCGCAUAAAAUAAAAGUGAUAUUCAAAGUUCGGGGAUUAUGAGGAAUUGUACCCUAACGUAUUGGGACUCGAUUUCUUUACAUGACUUGAACAAUUGGUUAUCCUUUUGCAAAAAUUUCAUCAUUCAAGCUUAUUUUAAAAUCUUUUUAACUUUCGACACUAAGACAUCAAAUAGUCAAUUUGGUACCGAUUUUGGGCGUUACGAGGGUGCUAACCCUUCCUCGUACGUAACUAACUCCCGAACCCAUUUUCUCAAAAUUCGUAGACCAAAAUAAUUUUUAAGGUGAGCCGAUCACACCUUAAUAAAUGAUCGGUGGCGACUCCAGUUUUAUUUUUAAAAGUCGACAACUAAAUUUUUUGUUUUCAAAAAACGGUUUCGACAGCUUGCCGACUCCACUGGGAACACUUGAGAGUCGAGCCAUAAACUGAUUAUAUUUGUCUUUGUGUCGAAAAUUAAAAGUUUUAAAAAAACUUCAUGAGUUCCCUUCGUAUUCAUCGUUUUUUUCAUCUUGGUAUGUUGGCAAUUUUGCAUUUGCAUUUCGCAUUUUACCCUUUAAGUGGGAGCGAGAAACUAGUCCUUCGUGAGGUUUUCACCUUCGUGCAGGGUAGUGGACCGCUUCUGGGAUACAUCCGUACCUAUGUCUUCGUGAGAUUUUCAUCUCCGUGCAGCCAUAGGGAAAUGUUUCCCCCUGAACUGAACUCGAUCUAUAUGAGCCUAUAAUGGGUGAGGAUCGAGGAAUAUGUUGGUUCGGGUACCCUUACUUUAGAAACUAAGCCUCAUAUAGUGAGCUUUAGGAACUUGACCUGGGUAGAACUAUCCCAAAACCCUAGUGGAUUCCUGAUUAAGUGUUUCUUGCUAUCUUAUGUUUGCAUUGGAUUAUACCUCUAUAUGUGAUACUGACUUGGGUUUCUUUUGUUUUGAUUGCAUGACAUCAUGAUUGCAUAGCAUUUCAUCUUAAAAGGGCGUUAGUUCAUAUUCGGUUGCUAGAUAGAAGGCUUAUCAUGGACAAAGGGUUUCUUGAUAAGGUGGAAGAUAAUGCGGCUGUCCAAACUUGGUCUGAGACAACACAGCAGGAGAAAGGUGAUAGUUUGGCCGAAGGAUAUGUGUCAGAGCUGUGGGACUUCACUCGUGUUAGCGUGACUCAGAAUAGCCUAUAGGAACUAAAGGAAAUCUGGGACUGGUGGAAUGAUGAGAUUAAGCAGCUCUUCUAUUCUAGCUAUGGUGACUUACCUUACUUGCUCGACUUAAAGGUGGAUAAGCACUUGUUUUGUGCUUUGGCCCAAUUUUGGAAUCUUGCCUAUAGUUGCUUUACCUUUGGAAAAGUGGAUUUAGUGCCUACGGUGGAGGAAUAUACGGCAUUGCAUCGUUGUUCAAAAAUUCAAGUGGACAAAGCCUAUUCAAGAGCUGCUAAUGUUCCAACCUUUUUGAAAAAGUUGAUGAAUAUUACGGGGAUGAGUGAGCAAUGGGUCGCAGCAUGAAUCAAGCAAAAGGGAGAUAGUAAGUGCAUUCCUUGGAGGAACCUGAAAGAUUUAAUUCUAGCGCACCCGGAUACGAGGAAGAAGGUUGAUGUCUUUGCCUUGGGUAUUUACGGUUUAGUUGUCUUUUCUAAAGCUUUGGGGCAUAUUGAUGAAGUAGUCACUGACCUUUUUGACCGUCUUGACAAGGGGGUUACACCGGUUCCAGCAAUUCUGGCAGAAACCUUUAGAUCUCUGAAUGAAUGUCGAAGAAUAGGUGAGGGUAGAUUCAUUGGAUGCACGCAGCUCCUUUUAGCAUGGUUUCACAGUCACUUUUAGAAGGUGGAUAAGGUUUCCUAUCGGGUUUUUUCUAAAAAUUAUUCGCCCUUGAAGGAAAUAGUGGCAUUACCGAGGCAGGAUGAUAUCUUAGAGGAAAAAUGGAUAGCAACUUUUCAGAAUCUUCAAGAGGGGGAUAUUGAAUGGAGAGCUCCUUGGAUGCUGUCAGAUGAGAUCUUAUAUAGGUGUGGAGAUUUUGACUGGGUCCCUCUACUUGGGAUUUGGGGGGCUAUUGGCUAUGCACCGUUAUUGGUACUGAGAUAGUAUAGGUCAAGGCAGUUCGUACCUACAACUCAAGGAUUAGCCCAAUGUGAAUUCUCGUAUAAGUGUGAUGGUUACAAGAAGAAGAUACGAGAAAUGACUAAUGCUUGGAGGCAGACUCGACGUUUGAAGAGAUUAGCAGUAGGUCCAUCGACGACUCCUGAAUAUAUCAGUUGGCUGGGUAGGAGGGUCAAUGAUAACAUACCUGUACCAGGUCAAGGAGACAGUCAAUUUGUGGAAAAGCAUGUACAUAUGGUCCCUUCUGAGCUAGAGAUUAUAAAGCAAUAUUUUGAAAGACGAAAUUCUGAGCUCGAGAAGAAGAUAGAGCAGAUGGAAUAAGAAAAGAUGAGUCUGAGGCUAGAUGUGGAUGUUCAAAAGCUGGAAACCGAAGGCUUAAGGAAAGAAAAACGCAAAGUUGAGGAGGAUUUGAAUAGCUUGAAGACGGAUUAUAAGAGAUUACGUUUGUCAGUGAGAACUGCUGGGUUGGGAAAAACUUCGGAGCAGUGGUGUCAAGAAGAAAAGGCCAAGGCUGAUAGGUGGGAAAAGAGAUUUCAGGAAGCUCAAAAGAAAAAUAAGUCCUUUGAGAGGAGUUUGUCGGAAAGCCAGAAUGAAAGAGAAAAACUAAAGGCUAGAGUGGCCGAACUUGAGAAGAUUGUUUAUCAAUAUCAAAACUGCAACUCAGUGGUAGAAUUACAAGCAAGUUUAAGCAGGAUCGAGCAAAUGAAGAAAACUAUAGAAGAACUAGAGCUGGCAUUGCAGAACCGUGAAGCCAAGAUCGAGUAUUUGGAGGCAAAUGAAGAUCAUCAAAGUGAACAGCUUCACUAUCUCUAGGAUCAAGUUGCAAGAAGUUAUCAUGUUAUGGGAGAGGCUGUGGUUCAGAUUCAAGGGGUAGCUGAGCACAUGCAGUCUUUGGCAGUACAAGUUAAUAUACUAAGCGUGAAGUACGAAUCAGAAUCAGAUCAGGGGUAGAAGUUGGCAUAAUUACUUAGGGAGAUUAAAGUUCUAAGUGUUAGGGCAAAGCCUUAUUUAUAGCCAUUUUAUGUAAAGAAAUUUUUUCUCUAGUAAAGUUUUCUGAGUGGAAUUGAAUUAUAAUUAACGCAUUUUUUUGCAUUCAUCUCAUCGCAUCAUAUGCAUUAGCAUCGCAUUAUAUGCAUUAAAGACUUUUAUUUAAUCCUAAUAAGUCAAAGUCACUGCUCAGUUAACCUGGAAACCAACCAACCAACCCAACACCGAUACGGCACUCGGGCAAAGAAGAAGGAUAUGGACCAGAGAUUAGAAAAACUUGAGCAGGAAAUGCAGGACCGACUUCAGCUACAGGUGUAGGAGCGGUUAGACAAGAUGAAACAAGAGAUGUCUAAGAAGAUGCGAGAAUCCCAAGAAGACAUAGUGGCAAAGUUAACCCAACUGAUAACUAAGGGACUUGAUAAAGGAAAGGGCCCCAUGAUAAAUGAGGAUGAGGGAAAUGAUGAUGAACCUUUCUAUCUUCCAGGUUUCACCCCUCCACAUGUGCGAACUCAAGCUGAAUACCCGCGCAAAUCUACAGUCACCAUCAUGCCGCAGCAGUUUCAGGCCGGUGUUUCGAGCUUCCAAGCUGGACCAGGGACUAAUCCCAAAAAUAAUCCUAUUAACUCUGCCAUUACUGAUUUUGAUGAAGUGGUUGAGAAGGAAAGAAUGAAGGAGGAGUUACCGAAACAAUUAGAGGAAAGGUGUAGGUGGCUCGAGGAGAAGUUCAAGGCGAUGGAGGUCACUGAGAGUUAUCGAGGCAUUGACGCCAAAGAGCUGAGUUUUGUGCCGGACUUAGUACUCCCUCAUAAGUUUAAGAUGCCUGAAUUUGAAAAGUACAAUGGGACAAGCUGCCCAGAAGCUCACAUCACCAUGUUCUGCAGAUGAAUGGCGGGAUAUGUUAACAACGAUCAACUCCUGAUACAUUGUUUCCAAGACAGCCUUGCAGGGGCAGCAUCCAAAUGGUACAAUCAGUUGAGUCGUGCCACGAUUGGUUCAUGGAGGGACCUGGCACAAUCGUUCAUGAAGCAAUAUAAUCAUGUGUUAGACAUGGCUCAUGAUAGAAUUACCCUCCAAAACAUGGAGAAGAAGCCAAGUGAAAGCUUCAGGCAGUACGCUCAGAGAUGGAGGGAGGUUGCGGUCCAAGUUCAGCCACCGCUCCUGGAAAAGGAAAUGACUAUGUUGUUCAUUAACACCCUGAAGGCACCGUUCAUUACACAUAUGCUAGGAAGUGCCACAAAAAGCUUUCCUAACAUAGUCAUGAGUGGCGAGAUGAUUGAGAAUGCCAUCAGGAGUGGGAAGAUCGAUGCGGGAGAGACUAACAAAAGAUCAGCUUCGAAGAGGAAGGAAAAUGAGGUGAGCAACGCGAGCAUGUAUAAAAAGGGUUACUCGAAGUCAGUAACAGUGAGUCAGCCAGGAAAGGUGGCUGCCAAUCAGCGAAGCUCAUCGAGACAAGAGGUCAGUACAAGGCGAAAUACUGAGAUGCCCCAAUUCACGCCAAUUCCUAUGUCGUAUAGGGAACUAUACCGAAAUUUAUUUGAUGCACACGUAGUUUCCCCUUUCUAUCUAAAGCCCUUGCAACCCCCGUAUCCCAAAUGGUACGAUGCGAAUGCACAGUGCGACUAUCAUGCGGGAACAAUAGGGCAUUCUAUAGAAAACUGUACGGCCUUUAAGAAGUUUGUUGAAAGGCUCAUUGGUAUGGGUGUCGUUAAAUUUGAUGACUCGACCAAGGCAGAAAAUCCAUUACCAAACCACACUGAUGGUGGGGUAAAUAUGAUGGGCGAAGACAGAAGAAUCAAGGUAGACAUUGCGGAUGUAAAAACUCCUUUGAGAUGGGUCUGGAAGGAGAUGGUGAAAAGGGGACUAGUCGUCUCAGAAGGAAGUUGUGAAAAAAGGGGGAACUACUGUGAGUUCCACCAUGAAGUGGGGCAUGAAAUUCAAGAGUGUACAAAGUUCAGAGCUAUGUUACAAGGUAUGAUGGAUAAUAGGGAGAUGGAAUUCUGUGAAGGAGUUCAAGUGGAGAAUCAUGUAUGCGCGUCAGAGUUGGCAUUAGGAGUUCCGAGGGCUAACCAUCCUGUGGUCAUUAUCUCGCGACCUCGGAACAGUGAGGUUGAGGCACGAAUAACACAAAAAGUAAUCAUUUAAAAACUGGCUGUGUUUGCAUAUAAGGAUAACAGAAGGGUUCAUUGGAAUUACAAUUGUAAUGUGACAAUCCCGAAGAAGGAGGAUUUAAUCAGUAAAGAGGAUCAGGACGAAUGAGGGCAUUACGAACAGAUGAAGGCUCGAGUAGAGCCAAUAAGAGAAGAAACUUUGGUUGGAAAGAAGAAGAAUACGGCAGUACCUGAGUUAUUGGUCAAUGAACCAAUCAAAGAGGAGGAAGCUAGAGAGUUCUUGAAGUUCAUAAAGCAUAGCGAGUAUAGCAUUGUGGAACAGCUGGACAAACAACCAGCUCACAUAUCUGUGCUAGCUUUACUCCUGAACUAGGAGGGACAUCGAAAUGCACUACUGAAUGUGCUAAAUGAAACUUAUGUGGCCGACGAUAUCUCUGUUAACAAGUUAGAUCGACUGGUUGGCAAUAUAAGCGCUGAUAACUUCAUCUCCUUUAGUGAUGAUGAAAUAGCACCUGGGGGUAUGGGAUCUACUAGAGCUUUACACAUCACUGCAAGGUGUAAAGGGUGCACAUUACCAGGAGUUCUGGAAGACAACGGGUCGGCACUGAAUGUAUUGCCUUUAUCCACGCUCAACAUGCUACCUAUGGAUAGUUCACAUAUGAAGUCGUGCCAGAAUGUGGUGAGAGCAUUUGAUGGCACCGAGAGGAAAGUCAUGGGAAGAAUUGACAUACCCUUGUUAAUUGGCCCAACUAUCUAUGAGGUGGACUUCUUGGUUAUGGACAUCAAGCCUUCUUACAGUUGCCUAUUAGGAAGGCCUUAGAUUCAUUCAGUAGGUGCGUACCGUCAUCGUUGCAUCAAAAACUGAAGUUGGUGGCAGAGGGCCGGGUAGUGACGAUAAAUGCUGAAGAAGAUAUCAUUGCAUCUGUGACCAACGAUGCGCCUUAUUUGGAAACAAGUGAUGAUGUAAUCGAGUGCUCUUUUCGUUCCUUAGAGUUCGUAAACGCAACAUUCAUCCAUGAGGGAAACAAGAUCCCGAUGCCGAGAAUAUCAAAGACCACAAGGAUGGGUCUGCAAUUGAUAGUUGGAAAGGGAGAUUUGCCGAGAAAAGGGUUGGGGAAACAUCUUCAGGGCCGAGUUGAGACUCCAGUGUUGGAAGACAAGUAGGACCGUUUUGAUUUAGGAUACAAGUCAGAUGCUAGGCUGGGGAGGAUAGAGUAGCAAAAGAAGCGAGAGAGAAGAAGGGCUCGUUUGAUAGGUGAUGAAGUCAAAUGGGAACUCAUGACCUUUCCUCACCUAUCCAGGACUUUUGUAUCGGGAGGAUUCGUCUAUCAAGGAAUGCUAGGGGUUGGAAGUAUUAACACGGAGUUAGAGAGUAUUCAUGCCGUGUACGAAGAAGCAACGGGAGGAAAAACUUUGCCGGAUAUUCGUCCUUACGAACCGGGAAGUGUGCUAAACAAUUGGACUGCAGAAGAAAUACCUGUAGUUUUUAGGAUUUCCUCAGAGUAAUGUCCAGAACACCCUUAUUGCUUUUUAGCCUAGAAGUGAUAAGGAUUCCUUUGUGAAAUAGGCUCAUGUCCAAAAAAUCGUUAUUUUAAUAAAGCUCAUUUUUGGAGUAAAUUUUACUUUCCAUAAGAGCAGUUGUUUUGAAUUUCUCUCAAACUACACUGGCAUUUCAUCCAUAUUGCACCAGACAAAUUCCUGAAUCCAUAUUGUUUUUCAUAACAGGUCCUAUGAUUUCAAUGAUACUAAUGUCACUCUUACAGAUUUAGAGUCUCCUUUUGAACGAAACAUGUGUUUAGAAGGAUCGCAUGAUUUUGAAGAUGACGAAGACUGUGGUUUGUCUCCUGACUUGUUGAAGAUGGUAGAAAGGGCUAAGAAACAAAUCCUACCUCACAGGGAGUCAAUAGAAAUUGUGAGCUUGGAGGAAGGAAAAGAGGUGAAGGUCGGAUCUGAUUUUUCUGCAAAGACAAGACAAGACCUUAUCGAAUUACUCCGAGAGUUCAAGGACGUGUUUGCAUGGUCGUACCAAGAUAUGCCGGGGUUAAGUACAGACAUUGUAGUCCAUCGCCUUCCUAUAAGAGAGGAUUGCAAGCCAGUGCAGCAAAAGCUUAGAAGGAUGAGGCCUAAUAUUGUGUUGAAGAUAAAAGAGGAGGUCCAGAAGCAGUUUGAUGCCGGAUUUCUACAAGAAGUCAAGUAUUCUGAGUGGGUGGCCAACAUCGUACUAGUUCCAAAGAAAGAUGGAAAAGUGCGAAUGUGUGUGGAUUAUCAGGAUUUGAACAAGGCUAGUCCAAAAGACAACUUUCCAUUGCCCCACAUCGACACAUUGGUAGACAAUACUGCGAGCUUUUCAUUGUGUUCCUUCAUGGAUGGUUUUUAUGGGUAUAAUCAGAUAAAGAUACAUCCUAAAGACAUGAGAAAGACUACGUUCAUUAUGUUAUGGGGGAUGUUUUGUUAUAAAGUGGUGCCAUUUGGAUUAAAGAAUGCAUGAGCGACAUACCAAAGAGCCAUGGUAGCCUUGUUCCAUGAUAUGAUGCACAGGGAAAUCGAGGUUUACGUGGAUGAUAUGAUCGCGAAAUCUAGAACAGAGGAGGAACAUGUGCAGGUCUUUAGAAAGUUAUUCUUAAGGUUGAGAAAGCUCCAGCUCAAGCUUAAUCCAGCGAAGUGCACUUUUAGGGCCAGGUCAUGAAAAUUGCUAGGCUUCAUAGUCAGUGAAAAGGGAAUCGAAAUUGACCCAGAAAAAGUCAAGACAAUACGAGACUUACCUCCUCCUUGCACUCAGAAAGAAGUUCGAGGUUUCCUCGGAAGACUGAAUUACAUCGCUAGGUUCAUUUCACAACUAACUGAAAAAUGUGACCCUAUAUUUCGUCUUCUGAAUAAACAUAAUCCUAGCACUUGGGAUGAAGAAUGCGAAGAAGCUUUUAACAAGGUGAAGCAGUAUUUGUCUAAUACUCCAGUGCUGUCACCACCUAGCCCGGAUAGGCCACUGAUAUUGUAUCUGACGGUAUGUGAUAACUCCAUGGGAUGUGUGCUAGGCCAACAUGAUGAAACAGGGAGAAAAGAAAGGGAGAUAUAUUAUCUCAGCAAGAAAUUCACUAACUGUGAAAUGAGAUAUUCGCCUAUUGAGAAGCUAUGUUGUGCCUUGAUUUGGACAACCCGAAGAUUAAGGCAGUACAUGUUAUACCAUACGACUUGGCUAAUCUUAAAGUUAGACCCGUUAAAGUAGGCUUUGAAUGGGAGGAUGGCUCGAUGGCAGAUCUUACUGUCUGAAUUCGAUAUUGUCUAUGUGAGCCAAAAGGUUGUGAAAGGGAGUGCAAUUGCUGACUUUCUAGCAAGCAGAGCUUUGGAGGAUUACGAGCCGUUGGAGUUUUGAUUUUCCAAAUGAAGAUUUGAUGUGUAUGGCGGCUAUGGAAGAAAAUUCACAAGAAGGUUACAGUUGGAGGCUAAACUUUGAUGGAGCCUCGAAUGCUGUGGGCAAUGGAAUUGGGGUAGUCCUAGUGUCCCCGAAUGGUGAUCAUUAUCCUUUCACUUGCAAAUUGGAUUUUGAUUGUACAAACAACAUGGCAGAAUACGAAGCAUGCAUCAUGGGUAUUCGUGCAGCUAUAGAGCGAAAAAUCAAAGUGCUAGAGGUCUUUGGAGAUUCAGCAUUGGUGAUAUAUCAGCUCAAGGGUAAAUGGGAAACGAGAGAUCCUAAAUUAAUCAGUUAUCGAAAGUUGGUCCUCGAAUUGAUUAAGGAGUUUGAGGGCAUCAGUUUUUGCUAUCUCCCACGAGAUGAGAACCAGAUGGCUGAUGCACUAGCUACUUUAGCCUCCAUGAUCAAGGUGAAUAGACAUGAGGAUAUGAAGCCAAUCCAAAUGAGUAUUUAUGAAGACCCGACUCAUUGUUACAAUAUUGAAGAAGGAGAAAUCGAUGAUAGUCCUUGGUAUCAAGAUAUACUACGAUAUGUAAAAAAUCGUGAGUAUCCUGGCCAGGCAACGGAGAAUGAAAAGAGAACUCUGAGAAGACUAGCCAUUGAUUAUGUUGUAGAUGGACAGAUCUUAUACGAGAGGGGAAAGGAUCAGGUACUGUUAAGAUGUGUGGAUGCCGUGGAAGCAAAGAAAUCCUGGAGGAAGUCCAUGAGGGCAUCUGUUGAACGCAUGCCAGCGGAUUCACAAUGGCAAGACAGAUUAUGAGAUUCGGGUAUUACUGGUCCACCAUGGAAGGGGAUUGCAUCAAUUAUUCCAAAAAGUGCCAUAAAUGUCAAAUCUAUGGUGAUAAAAUGCAUGCACCUCCUUUGCCUCUGCAUGUCAUGACUUCUCCAUGGCCUUUCUCCAUGUGGGGAAUGGAUGUCAUCGGACCAAUAUCACUGAAAGCUUCAAAUGGGCAUUGUUUCAUAUUUGUGGUUAUUGACUACUUCACCAAAUGGGUAGAAGCUGCUUCACAUGCCAACGUUACAAAGUCAUCAGUCAGUAGGUUCUUGAAAAGGGAGAUCAUAUGUCGGUAUGGAAUGCCUGAAAGAAUCAAAUCCGAUAAUGCGUUGAACUUGAACAACAACUCAAUAGCAGAAGUCUGCAGUCAAUUCAAGAUCAGACAUCACAAUUCAACGCCGUAUCGCCCAAAAAUGAAUGGUGCAGUGGAAGCGGCUAAUGAAAAUAUAAAGAAGAUUGUGGGGAAGAUGAGUGAGACCUACAUGGACUGGCACGAGAAAUUGCCGUUUGCCCUUCUUGCUUAUCGAACGUCAAUCAGGACCUCCACCGUAGCAAUGCCUUUCUUCUUAGUUUAUGGCAUGGAGACAGUCCUGCCCAUCGAAGUUGAAAUCUCUUCUCUCCGGGUUUUGACUGAGCUACAAUUGAAUGAAGCAGAAUGGGUUCAAUCUCGAUACGAUCAGUUGAACUUGAUAGAGGGAAAAAGGCUAAAGGCUAUUCAGCAUGGUCAGAUGUACUAGAAAAGAAUGAUGCGAGCCUACAACAAGAAGGUCCGACCCAGAGAAUUUCACGAGGGGGACCUAGUGUUGAGAAAAAUUCUUCCUCUACAAAAAGAUUUUAGGGGGAAAUGAAUGCCAAAUUGGGAAGGUCCUUGUGUUGUAAAAAUGGCUUUUCUGGAGGAGCCUUGAUCCUGGCUGAAAUGGAUGGAAGAAACUUGCCUAAUCCAGUAAAUUCAGAUUCGGUCAAGAGAUACUUUACUUGAAGAGGGGAAGGAACCAAAGUGAAAACCCGCAAAGGGCGCUUUGAUUCCAAAAAAGAAAAAAAGAAAAAAAAAUGGAGAGGCUAAGUUGAAAACCCGCAAAGGGCACCUUAAGACCAAAGGGGAUUUGAGUUGAAAACCUGAAAAGGGAAGCUCAAAUUUUGAUUGUCACGUGGUAGUCUUGUUGUACCUAAAUCAGCAGAAAGGAAAAGACGACGUCUUGGGGCAUCAACAAAAUACUGUGAACCUCCUAAACACGUGUUGAAUUUAGAAAAGUCUUCGAAAAGUUGUAUAGAAAAAUUCAAGUAGAGAUAUCCAGGGCACCUAUUCAUAGUAUUUGUAUUGAAUCCGUUGUUUUAGAAUAUUUCAUUCUUUUUCAAUAUAAAUAUCCCAGACAAUUCCUCCAUCAUUGACAAUCCAUUGCGAGCUAUGCUCCCAAAUUAAUUUUGUUUUAUUCAUCGUUAUGAUCUUUUCGCAAGCGUGUUGCAUUAGAAUGACGAUUAAUGGACUAGUAGAACUUUCACAAAGGAAGUUUUUCUUAUUACUUUAGAAAUCUUUAAAUAGCUCAGGAACCUGAAACAUGACUAUUGUUUAGACCUUCACCAGGUUAAAAGGUCGGAGAUACCUAGGAGCCAAGAGUCAAGAUUAAAAUUUUCAAGUUUUAACGAAGCAUUGUUGUCACAAAGAAAGCCUUAAUAAGCAAUAAUGACUUUAAACGUUCAAUAUUCAUUUUUCAUGACAUAACAUUGAAAUGUCAUUCCUACACGUCUAGUUAGGAGCAUUUGAUUCAUUUCUCAUGACAUCCUAAUCACUAGGCAUAAUUAGGCUCAUCAUACAGGUCAUGUUCCACAAGGAACAGUUCGGUGGAAUCAUAAAGCCUUAUCUCCCUGAGCAGCAGUGGAGUAGGUUGAAAGAUAACAGAUCUUGUCUUCAUGUACUGGUGUGAAGUAGAUCAAAGAUACCAGAUCUUGCCUUCCCAUACUGGUGGCGAAGCAGAUCGAAGAAAACAAAUCUUGUCUUCAUGUACUGGCGUGAAGUAGAUAAAAGAUAGUAGGUCCUGUCUUCUUAUAUCGGUAGCGAAGUGGAUCGAAUAUACAGAUCUUGCCUUCCUAUACUGGUGGUGAAGCAGAUCGAAAGAAAGCAGAUCUUGUCUUCAUGUACUGGCGUGAAGUAGAUCAGAGAUAACAGAUCUUGUCUUCCCAUACUGGUGGCGAAAUAGAUCGAAGAAAACAGAUCUUGUCUUCAUGUACUGGCGUGAAGUAGAUCAAAGAAAACAGAUCUUGUCUUCCCAUACUGGUGGCGAAGUAGAUCGAAGAAAGCGGAUCUUGUCUUCAUGUACUGGCGUGAAGUAGAUCAAAGAUAGCAGAUCUUGCCUUCCCAUACUGGGGACAAAGCAGAUCGAAGAAAACAGAUCUUGUCUUCAUGUACUGGCAUGAAGUAGAUCAAAGAUAACCGAUCUUGCCUUCCCAUACUGGUGGCGAAGCAAAUCAAAUAAAGCAGAUAUUGUCUUCAUGUAUUAGCGUGAAGUAGAUCAAAGAUAGCAGGUCCUGUCUUCCUAUAUCGGUAGCGAAGUGGAUCGAAUAUACAGAUUUUAUCUUCCCAUACUGGUGGCGAAGUAGAUCGAGGAAAAUAGAUCUUACCUCCCUAAGCAGUAGUGGAGCAGAUCAAAGAUGGCGGAUUUUACCUCCUUGAAGUUGCAGUGGAGUACAUUUAAGCGAGUGAUUCUAUCUCCAUGACAUUGAAGUGGAGUGGAUUGAAGCACAAGUUCCUAUACCUCUGAAAAUGCAGCAGGAAGGAAUGAUGCUACCUAAAAAGAGAAGCACUGAAGAAAUCGAGGCUUAGUAGGGCCGGGCACAAUUGGGCCUUGUAGUCUUUGCUCUGUUCCCGUUACACGACAACGAGCAAAGAGGGGCAAUUGUAAUAAGGCCCAACUGGCCCAGGCCCUUAUAAAGCACAACCCAAAUUUAUAAACAUUUGUAGGCCCAAUUGAACUAGCCCAAUACUGCAAAAUUAAACAGAAAACCCUAGCACUAUACGCCCUAGCCACAGCAGCCUUCGCGUCUCUAGCAGACGUCCCAAGCCUCCGCAUCAUCAUUCCUUCCUGCUGUAUUUUCAGAGGUAUAGGAACUAGUGCUUCAAUCCACUCUACUGCAGUGUCAUGGAGAUAGAAUCACUGGCUUCAAUGUACUCCAUUGUAACUUAAGGGAGGUAAAAUUCGCCAUCUUCGAUCUGCUCCAUUACUGCUUAGGGAGGUAAGAUCUGUUUUCCUCCAUCUACUUCGCCACCAGUAUGGGAAGAUAAAAUCUAUAUAUUCGAUCCACUUCGCUACCGAUAUAGGAAGACAGGACCUGCUAUUUUUUAUCUACUUCACGCCAAUACAUGAAGACAAUAUCUGUUUUAUUUGAUUUACUUCUCCACCAGUAUGGGAAGGCAAGAUCUGUUAUCUUUGAUCUACUUCACGCCAGUACAUGAAGACAAGAUCUGUUUUCUUCGAUCUGCUUCGUCCCCAGUAUGGGAAGACAAGAUCUGCUAUCUUUGAUCUAAUUCACGCCAGUACAUGAAGACAAGAUCCGCUUUCUUCGAUCUACUUCGCCACCAGUAUGGGAAGACAAGAUCUAUUUUCUUUGAUCUACUUCACGCCAGUACAUGAAGACAAGAUCCGUUUUCUUCGAUCUAUGUCGCCACCAAUAUGGGAAGACAAGAUCUGUUAUCUCUGAUCUACUUCACGCCAGUACAUGAAGACAAGAACUGCUUUCUUUCGAUCUGCUUCACCACCAGUAUAGGAAGGCAAGAUCUGUAUAUUCGAUCCACUUCGCUACCGAUAUAGGAAGACAGGACCUACUAUCUUUGAUCUACUUCACGCUAGUACAUGAAAACAAGAUUUGUUUUCUUCGAUCUGCUUCGCCACCAGUAUGGGAAGGCAAGAUCUGGUAUCUUUGAUCUACUUCACGCCAGUACAUGAAGACAAGAUCUGUUAUCUUUCAACCUACUCCACUACUGCUCAGGGAGAUAAGGCUUUAUGAUUCCACCGACCUGUUCUCUAUGGAACAUGACCUGUAUGAUGAGCCUAAUUAUGCCAAGUGGUUAGGAUGUCAUGAGAAAUGAAUCAAAUGCUCCUAACUAGACGUGUAGGAAUGACAUUUGGAUGUUAUGUCAUGAAAAAUGAAUAUUGAAUGUUUAAAGUCAUUAUUGCUUAUUAAGGCUUCCUUUGUGACAACAACGCUUCGUCAAAACUUGAAAAUUUUAAUCUUGACCCUUGGCUCCUGGAUAUCUCCGACCUUUUAACCUGGUGAAGGUCUAAACAAUAGUCCUGUUUCAGGUUCCUGAGCUAUUUAAAUAUUUCUAGAGUAAUAUGAAAAACUUCCCUUGUGAAAGUUUUACUAGUCCAUUAAUCGUCAUUCUAAUGCAACAUGCUUGCGAAAAGAUCAUAACGAUGAAUAAAAUAAAAUUAAUUUGGGAGCAUAGCUCACAAUGGAUUGUCAAUGAUAGAGGAAUUGUCUAUCAAGGAAUGCUAGGGGUUAAAAGUAUUAACACAGAGUUAGAGAGUAUUCAUGCAGUGUACGAAGAAGCAACGGGAGGAAGAACUUUACCAGAUAUUCGUCCUUACGAACUGGGAAGUGUGCUAAACAAUUGGACUACAGAAGAAAUACCUGUAGUUUUUAGGAUUUCCUCAGAGUAAUGUCCAGAACACCCUUAUUGCUUUUUAGCCUAGAAGUGAUAAGGAUUCCUUUGUGAAAUAGGCUCAUGUCCAAAAAAUCGUUAUUUUAAUAAAGCUCAUUUUUUGCAGUCAUUUUUUGGAGUAAAUCUUUCUUUCCAUAAGAGCAGUUGUUUUGAAUUUCUCUCAAACUACACUGGCAUUUCAUCCAUAUUGUAUCAGACAAAUUCCUGAAUCCAUUUUGUUUUUCAUAACAGGUCCUACGAUAUCAAUGAUACGAAUGUCACUCUUACAGAUUUAGAGUCUCCUUUUGAACGAAACAUGUGUUUAGAAGGAUCGCAUGAUUUUGAAGAUGACGAAGACUAUGGUUUGUCUCCUGACUUGUUGAAGAUGGUAGAAAGGGCUGAGAAACAAAUCCUACCUCACAGGGAGUCAAUAGAAAUUGUGAGCUUUGAGGAAGGAAAAGAGGUGAAGGUCAGAUCUGAUAUUUCUACAAAGACAAGAUAAGACCUUAUCGAAUUACUCCGAGAGUUCAAAGACGUGUGUGCGUGGUCGUACCAAGAUACGCCGGGGUUAAGUACUGACAUUGUAGUCCAUCGCCUUCCUAUAAGAGAGGAUUGCAAGCUAGUGCAGCAAAAGCUUAGAAGGAUGAGGCCUGAUAUCGUGUUGAAGAUAAAAGAGGAGGUCUAGAAGCAGUUUGAUGCCGGAUUUCUGCAAGAAGUCAAGUAUUCUGAGUGGGUGGCCAAUAUCGUACCAGUUUCAAAGAAAGAUGGAAAAGUGCAAAUGUGUGUGGAUUAUCGGGAUUUGAACAAGGCUAGUCCAAAAGAUAACUUCCCAUUGCCCCACAUUGGUAGACAAUAUUGCGGGCUUUUCAUUAUUUUCCUUCAUGGAUGGUUUUUCUGGGUAUAAUAAGAUAAAGAUGCAUCCUGAAGACAUGAGAAAGACUACGUUCAUUACGUUAUGGGGGACGUUUUGUUAUAAAGUUAUGCCGUUUGGAUUAAAGAAUGCAUGAGUGACAUACCAAAGAGCCAUGGUAGCCCUCUUCCAUGAUAUGAUGCACAGGGAAAUCGAGGUUUACGUGGAUGAUAUGAUCACGAAAUCUAGAACGGAGGAGGAACAUUUGCAGGUCUUGAGAAAGUUAUUCUUAAGGUUGAGAAAGUUCUAGCUCAAGCUUAAUCCAGCGAAGUGCACUUUUGGGGCUAGGUCAGGAAAAUUGCUAGGCUUCAUAGUCAGUGAAAAGGGAAUCGAGAUUGACCCAGACAAAGUCAAGACAAUACGAGACUUACCUCCUCCUUGCACUCAGAAAGAAGUUCGAGGUUUCCUCGAAAGAGUGAAUUACAUCGCUAGGUUCAUUUCACAACUAACUGAGAGAUGUGACCCUAUAUUUCGUCUUCUGAAGAAACACAAUCCUGGCUCUUAGGAUGAAGAAUGCGAAGAAGCUUUUAACAAUGUGAAUCAGUAUUUGUCUAAUACUCUAGUGCUAUCACCACCUAGCCCGGAUAGGCCGCUGAUAUUGUAUUUGACGGUAUUUGAUAACUCCAUGGGAUGUGUGCUAGGCCAACAUGAUGAAAUAGGGAGAAAAGAAAGGGCGAUAUAUUAUCUCAGUAAGAAAUUCACUGGCUGAGAAAUGAGAUAUUCGCCUAUUGAGAAGCUAUGUUGUGCCUUGAUUUGGACAACCCGAAGAUUAAGGCAGUACAUGUUAUACCAUACGACUUGGCUAAUCUCAAAGUUAGACCCGUUAAAGUAUGCUUUGAAUGAGAGGAUGGCUCGAUGGCAGAUCUUACUGUCUAAAUUCGAUAUUGUCUAUGUGAGCCAAAAGGCUGUGAAAGGGAGUGCAAUUGCUGACUUUCUAGCAAGUAGAGCUUUGGAGGAUUACGAACCGUUGAGUUUUGAUUUUCCAAAUGAAGAUUUGAUGUGUAUAGCGGCUAUGGAAGAAAAUUCACAAAAAGGUUACAGUUGGAGGCUAAACUUUGAUGGAGCCUCGAAUGCUGUGGGCAAUAGAAUUGGGGCAAUCCUAGUGUCCCCGAAUGGUGAUCAUUAUCCUUUCACUUGCAAAUUGGAUUUUGAUUGUACAAACAACAUGGCAGAAUACGAAGCAUGCAUCAUGGGUAUUCAUGCAACUAUAGAGCGGAAAAUCAAAGUGCUAGAGGUAUAUGGAGAUUCAGCAUUGGUGAUAUAUCAGCUCAAGGGUGAAUGGGAAACGAGAGAUCCUAAAUUAAUCAGUUAUCGAAAGUUGGUCCUCGAAUUGAUUAAGGAGUUUGAGGGCAUCAGUUUUUGCUAUCUCCCACGAGAUGAGAACCAGAUGGUUGAUGCACUAGCUACUUUAGCCUCCAUGAUCAAGGUGAAUAGACAUGAGGAUAUGAAGCCAAUCCAAAUGAGUAUUUAUAAAGACCCGACUCAUUGUUACAAUAUUGAAGAAGGAGAAAUCGAUGAUAGUCCUUGGUAUUAAGAUAUACUACGAUAUGUAAAAAAUCGUGAGUAUCCUGGCCAGGCAACGGAGAAUGAAAAGAGAACUCUGAGAAGACUAGCCAUUGAUUAUGUUGUAGAUGGACAGAUCUUAUACGAGAGGGGAAAGGAUCAGGUACUGUUAAGAUGUGUGGACGCCGUGGAAGCAAAGAAAAUCCUGGAGGAAUUCCAUGAGGGCAUCUGUGGAACGCAUGCCAGCGGAUUCACAAUGGCAAGACAGAUUAUGAGAUUCGGGUAUUACUGGUCCACCAUGGAAGGGGAUUGCAUCAAUUAUUCCAAAAAGUGCCAUAAAUGUCAAAUCUAUGGUGAUAAAAUGCAUGCACCUCCUUUGCCUCUGCAUGUCAUGACUUCUUCGUGGCCUUUCUCCAUGUGGGGAAUGGAUGUCAUCAGACCAAUAUCACUGAAAGCUUCAAAUGGGUAUCGUUUCAUAUUUGUGGUUAUUAACUACUUCACCAAAUGGGUAAAAGCUGCUUCACAUGCCAACGUUACAAAGUCAUCAGUCAGUAAGUUCUUGAAAAGGGAGAUCAUAUAUCAGUAUAGAAUGCCUGAAAGAAUCAUAUCCGAUAAUGCGUUGAACUUGAACAACAGCUCAAUAGCAGAAGUCUGCAGUCAAUUCAAGAUCAGACAUCACAAUUCAUCGCCGUAUCACCCAAAAAUGAAUAGUGCAGUGGAAACGGCUAAUAAAAAUAUAAAGAAUAUUGUGGGGAAGAUGACUGAGACCUACAGGGACUGGCACGAGAAAUUUCUGUUUGCCCUUCUUGCUUAUCGAAUGUCAAUCAGGACCUCCACCGGGGCAACGCCUUUCUCCUUAGUUUAUAGCAUGGAUGCACUCUUGCCCAUCGAAGUUGAAAUCCCUUCUCUCUGGGUUUUGACUGAGCUACAAUUGGAUGAAGCAGAAUGGGUUCAAUCUCGAUACGAUCAGUUGAACUUGAUAGAGGGAAAAAGGCUAAAGGCUAUUCAGCAUGGUCAGAUGUACCAGAAAAGAAUGAUGCGAGCCUACAACAAGAAGGUCCGACCCAGAGAAUUUCAUGAGGGGGACCUGGUGUUGAGAAAAAUUCUUCCUCUACAAAAAGAUUUUAGGGGGAAAUGGAUGCCGAAUUGGGAAGGUCCUUAUGUUGUAAAAAAGGCAUUUUCUGGAGGAGCCCUGAUCCUGGCUGAAAUGUAUGGAAGAAACUUGCCUAAUCCAGUAAAUUCAGAUUCGGUCAAGAGAUACUUUACUUGAAGAGGGGAAGGAACCAAAGUGAAAACCCGCAAAGAGCGCUUUGAUUCCAAAAAAAAAGAAAAAAAAUGGAGAGGCUAAGGUGAAAACCCGCAAAGGGCACCUUAAGACUAAAGGGGAUUUGAGUUGAAAACCUGAAAAGGGCAGCUCAAAUUUUGAUUGUCACGUGGUAGUCUUGUUGUACCUAAAUCGGCAGAAAGGAACAAACGACGUCUUGGGGCAUCAUCAAAAUACUGUGAACCUCCUAAACACGUGUUGAAUUUAGAAAGGUCUUCAAAAAGUUGUAUAGAGAAAUUCAAGCAGAGAUAUCCGGGGCACCUAUUCAUAGUAUUUGUAUUGAAUCCGUUGUUUUAGAAUAUUUCAUUCUUUUUCAAUAUAAAUAUCCCCAGACAAUUCCUCUAUCAUUGACAAUCCAUUGCGAGCUAUGCUCCCAAAUUAAUUUUGUUUUAUUCAUCGUUAUGAUCUUUUCGCAAGCAUGUUGCAUUAGAAUGACGAUUAAUGGACUAGUAAAACUUUCACGAGGGAAGUUUUUCAUAUUACUCUAGAAAUCUUUAAAUAGCUCAGGAACCUGAAACAUGACUAUUGUUUAGACCUUCACCAGGUUAAAAGGUCGGAGAUAUCUAGGAGCCAAGAGUCAAGAUUAAAAUUUUCAAGUUUUAACGAAGCGUUGUUGUCACAAAGGAAGCCUUAAUAAGCAAUAAUGACUUUAAACAUUCAAUAUUCAUUUUUCAUGACAUAACAUUGAAAUGUCAUUCCUACACGUCUAGUUAGGAGCAUUUGAUUCAUUUCUCAUGACAUCCUAAUCACUAGGCAUAAUUAGGCUCAUCAUACAGGUCAUUUUCCACAUAGAACAGGUCAGUGGAAUCAUAAAGCCUUAUCUCCCUGAGCAGCAGUGGAGCAGGUUGAAAGAUAACAGAUCUUGUCUUCAUGUACUGGUGUGAAGUAGAUCAAAGAUACCAGAUCUUGCCUUCCCAUACUGGUGGCGAAGCAGAUCGAAGAAAACAAAUCUUGUCUUCAUGUACUGGCGUGAAGUAGAUCAAAGAUAGUAGGUCCUGUCUUCCUAUAUCGGUAGCGAAGUGGAUCGAAUAUACAGAUCUUGCCUUCCCAUACUGGUGGUGAAGCAGAUCGAAAGAAAGCAGAUCUUGUCUUCAUGUACUGGCGUGAAGUAGAUCAGAGAUAACAGAUCUUGUCUUCCCAUACUGGUGGCGAAGUAGAUUGAAGAAAACGGAUCUUGUCUUCAUGUACUGGCGUGAAGUAGAUUAAAGAUAUCAGAUCUUGCCUUCCCAUACUGGGGACGAAGCAGAUCGAAGAAAACAGAUCUUGUCUUCAUGUACUGGCGUGAAGUAGAUCAAAGAUAACAGAUCUUGCCUUCCCAUACUGGUGGCGAAGCAAAUUAAAUAAAGCAGAUCUUGUCUUCAUGUAUUGGCGUGAAGUAGAUCAAAGAUAGCAGGUCCUGUCUUCCUAUAUCGGUAGCGAAGUGGAUCGAAUAUACAGAUUUUAUCUUCCCAUACUUGUGGCGAAGUAGAUCGAGGAAAACAUAUCUUACCUCCCUAAGCAGUAGUGGAGCAGAUCGAAGAUGGCAGAUUUUACCUCCCUGAAGUUAUAGUGGAGUACAUUGAAGCCAGUGAUUCUAUCUCCAUGACAUUGCAGUGGAGUGGAUUGAAGCACUAGUUCCUAUACCUCUGAAAAUGCAGCAGGAAGGAAUGAUGCUACCUAAAAAGAGAAGCACUGAAGAAAUCGAGGCUUAGUAGGGCCGGGCACAAUUGGGCCUUGUAGUCUUUGCUCUGUUCCCGUUACACGACAACGAGCAAAGAGGGGCAGCUGUAAUAAGGCCCAACUGGCCCAAGCCCUUAUAAAGCACAGCCCAAAUUUAAAAACAUCUGUAGGCCCAAUUGAACUAGCCCAAUACUGCAAAAUUAAACAGAAAACUCUAGCACUAUACGCCCUAGCCACAGCAGCCUCCGCGCCUCCAGCAGACGUCCCAAGCGCCGUACGUCUCGGGGCCGAUCUCCUCUCCACGUGCGCUUCAUGAACGCCUGUAAACACGGACUCAGAGAGUCCAUCAGCAAAAAUAUAGUGGAAAAAAGUUAGUUUCGGGCUAUAAAAGCCUUUGAAAAUCUGUAAAAAAAGGGGAGGGCAGUGUAACAGAGACAGAAAUAGAGAGAAAAUACAGAUACCAAAGUUGUUUUACAAAAGUUUUUUUCUUUUCGUUUUUCUUUUCGUUUUUCAUAGUAUUUUUAUUAUUAUUUACAUGUGUUUUAUUUUCUUUUAUUUUCGUUUUAUUUCGUAUAAAAUAACAAAGAAAAAAGAAAAAGAAAAACUUACCUUCCGUCGGAGUUGCCGAAUCGACACCGACUCCACCGCGAUCGGAGCUCUGGCACGAAGAUGAAUGAACGGCGGCGUAGAGAGGGGUUUUAGGGUUUUCUAAAAUCGGCUAAGGGUGGGGGGAUUUAUUUAUUUUAGUUUUUUUUCUUUUUUUCAUUUUGUUAAAAUGGUUUUAGAAGGAAAAAUCUGUUUUAAAUAACAGAUCAAAACGGCGCCGUUUUGAAUGGCCAGACCCGCGCGGUGACCCGACCAGGAGGGGAGGAUCCGCGCGUUCUGACGUCAGAGGGGGAAUUUGCGCGAUCAGUCCUCCCUCUUUUGCGCCAUGUUUUAUUGAGCCAGUUUUUGUUUUUUUAAAUUUAGCCCAAAUGUUUCUGUUUCUGUUCAUUUUAGCCAGUGUUAAUGCGCAGCGUUUUGGAAGGACAGGAUAAUUUCCCUUUUGGUCCUCCCCUGUUACGCGCGCAUUCAAGGGGGCCCCUUUCUUAAAUUUUAUUCUAAAUUCGCCCCAUUUUUUUCGUUUUUAACUCAAUUUGAUCCAUUUUUUUAUCAUGACUAUGCUAUAUCUUUUUAUUUUAUCUUAUUUAUUGUUAUUAUUAAUAAUAUUAUUACUAUUAUUAUUUCAUUCAUACACACGUCUAUUUUAAUCUACAUGCCUAUUUAAUACAUAUACAUUUUUAGUUUUCAUAAACACAUGCAUUCAUACAUUUUUUUUUAAAUUUUGUUUUUUUAUAGUUUUCAGUUUUUUUAACCUUCUCAUACUUUAUAUUCCAUAUAUAUACUUAUGCAUUUUUAAAAUAGAUACAUAUAUAUACAUAAAUACUUUAAAUCUUACAUACACAUAUUUUAUACAUUUUUAUAUAUUAUGUUUUCAUAGUUUUUAUAAAUAAAUAUGUAUAUAUAUACAUGCGUAUAUGCCUACAUUUUAUAAUUCAUAUGCAUUUUUUUUACGUAUACAUGUUUUUUUAGAAAUCAUUAUAAAUUUUGUUUUUUAUUUGUACAUUUAUAUAUGUGCAUUAACGUAUGUACAUUUUUUCAUUUUCUACGAUUUUCGUAUUCACCCAUACAUGCAUUUUUUAUAUGUAUUGCAUUCCAUCUUUUUAUAUGUACUAUCGUAUAUGUGUUAAAUAUAUGCGUACACAUAUUUUCAAAUUUACUUGUAUAUUGUACUUGUAUUUGUAUAUUCGUAAAUAUUUAUUCAUAUAUGUUGUAAAUUAAAGUAUCUGUAUCAUAUUGUACAUUAUUUUUUUAAACGUACCCCUUUAAAAAUAUAUUUUGGUUUCAACCAUUCAUCAAAGUUAUUUUCUUGAUUUAAAGGUUUUUUUUUAAUAAAAGCAUUAUUUGAAGUUUUGGAUUUUCGAGGGAAAUUGAGCCCUAACGUAUUGGGUUCUGAUUUUCUUUGUCAAUCUUAAAUGACCGAGUAUUCUUUAUUCAAAAUACAUGAGCAUAAAAAAUCAUUUUUGGGAACUUAACUUGUCGUGCCCUAACGUAUUGGGUGUGGCCUGUUACUUUCUCGAAAUGAAGAUUUUCGCAUAAAAUAAAAGUGAUAUUCAAAGUUCGGGGAUUAUGAGGAAUUGUACCCUAACGUAUUGGGACUCGAUUUCUUUACAUGACUUGAACAAUUGGUUAUCCUUUUGCAAAAAUUUCAUCAUUCAAGCUUAUUUUAAAAUCUUUUUAACUUUCGACACUAAGACAUCGAAUAGUCAAUUUGGUACCGAUUUUGGGCGUUACGAGGGUGCUAACCCUUCCUCGUACGUAACUGACUCCCGAACCCGUUUUCUCAAAAUUCGUAGACCAAAAUAAAUUUUAAGGUGAGCCGAUCACACCUUAAUAAAGGAUCGGUGGCGACUCUAGUUUUAUUUUUAAAAGUCGACAACUAAUUUUUUUGUUUUCAAAAAACGGUUUCGACAGAUAUCCUGCUCAAAAUAAUGCAAAUUUUAUUCAUACUGAAACACUAAAUAAUUAAACAAAUAAUAUGUUAACAUUAUAUGUCAAUAUGCUUAUAUAUUUGUAUACCUUUUUAGGACAAGUGAGGAAGAGAUCUCCCCAAAUGCUAGGCUGAAAAUCAGCUUUGGGACGCAUUUCAUCCUUAUUGGAAGUAAGGGGUGAUGAAGAAGGCAAUUGAGAAACUUGUGAAGCCAUUUGGAUUGAACAAAAGCAAAUAUUCGAAAGCUUAAUUUGCUGCUUUGAUUUUGGUUUGCUCUUCAAAUUUGGCACAGAAUUUGUGUGAGGAUAAGAAUGCAAUAGUUGCAUGUAUUUAUAGGUAAAAACAAAAUACUGGUGAUUUUAAGUCAAAAAAAGACCACAUAAAUGCAUGAAACCAAUUAUAGAACAAAAUGCAUGCAGGGCCCAUUGAAUGAGAUUUGCAAAUAGAUUAAAAGCAAUAUUGGUUUGUCUUUUGUUUGAUUCUUUUCAUUCAAAGUUGAUGUCUUUAAAAAAUUAGUAGAUAAAUGUUUAAAUGUGUGUUACAAAGUAAAUAUCCUCUAUUUAUCUUUAAACUUUUAGACAAAUAUCAUUUUGGUCCUUCCCAGGGCCCCAUCUGUAACAAAUCGAUGUGAAUUUUAAGUUAAUUAUUCUAUCGGUUGGAUUGGUCAAACGGAAUUAUUUAAUUAAAAUAUAAAUUAAAUCUUAAAUAUAAAUUUGAUAUUAAAUAUGUUUAAAAAGUAGUAAUUUAUUAGUUAAAUUUGUUUUGUUCCUUCCAGUCGGUCUAGCAUGGCUGCAGACUUUAAGCAUUGAAUAAAGGUCCCUGUACUUGAAUGUGGGAAAGCAAGAAGAUGUGUUGAAGCCCCUAUAUGUAUAUACAUAGCAUGCUCUUGAUUCUUGUUCAUGACAUAAUUCAAUAGACAGAUUUUUGCUUAUAUAUGUUCUUCAUGUACUUGAUUUAAUGUUAUCAUAUUUAAUAUAUAUAAAAGGCUAUUAAGUUUAAACUUCUAAUCUGAUCACUUACAGAAAAAUAAUUUUAAUAUAAAAAACUCAAUAUCAAAAUUUUUUUUAAUUAAAUUUUAUGCUGAUUUUUUUAUCAUUCAAUAUCAAUUCUUAAUUUAACCAGUUAAUGUAGUUCGGUUUUUCUUUACCAACUGAAAUGUAAAUAUCAAAAUAAUUGAUGUCAAAUGUUUGAGGGCAUGUGUGAUACUUGCUCUUUUCUUUUCCUUUUUGACAUGCUCUUGAUUGAAUUUAAGUCCUCAGUCCACCGGCAGUCUUUAUGGGCAAUGUUUUUGUAAUACCCAAUUAUUGCCCGGGGCCCAAAAUCCUAAAGCCCAAUGACCCAAUACACCAAAUUAAAAACCAACAGCCCAAAUACAUUUGACCCAAUUGGCCCAAAAUUAGCCAUAGCCCACAACGUGUUUUCAGCAGCAAUGGAAGCAGAAACCGCAGAUCCUCGCACGUUCUCCAUCUGCAGCAACGACCCCAUCACCCCACGUCACAAUCACCCACGUUCAGCGAUCCCUCGCAUUCUACCUGCAAUAAAACCACAAAGAACAGCAAAUAAAAGGGAGGGCUAGAAUAGAAAUGGACGUUACGAAAAUUAGGAAGAAAAAAAGAAAGAGAGAAGGGGGGGUUUACAUUUUUGUAUCAGAAAAUUAUUGAGAGGGUGGAUAAAAACAAGAAAUUGGAGCAAAAAUUUUGUAUGAAUUAACAAGAAAUACAAGAGAAAGAAAACGAUUUUGGAAGGUAACAGAUUUUGUUCUGUUCUUUUACUGUUUUCACUUUAUUUUGUUUUUCUUUUGUUAUCCUAAAACAAAAAUAAAUAAAAAGAAGAAGGAAAAGGGCUCUUACCGGUGGUAGCGCGUCGUCGUGGCGCCGUCGUCAUCGUUGUGGCCGGUCAGAAAUGGGUCUGAAAUGGUGGAAGGGAGGCUGCGGCAAAUACAAAAAUGGCAGAGAAAGGGUUUUGAAAUGGGAUUUUAUAAGGGUUCAAAAGGGGCCAUUUGCGCGAUUGGUCCUUUUCUUUUUGGGGUUGUUUAAAUUAAAUUUAUUAUUUCUUUUAAAUUUUACUUCAUAUUUUAAUACUGUUUCAAUCCGGUCCUCAUUGCUGUGCAGUGUUUAGGAGGUUUGGGUAAAUUUCUUUUUAGGUCUUCCUCAUGUUAUGCGCGUUUUAAUUUGCUCCUUUUCACAUUUUCAAUUUUCAAAUUUAGCCUUUAAAUUCUAUUUAUUUUCAAUAUUAAUCCUUCAUUCGUCAUUUUAAGGUUUUUUUUAUAUAAAUACUGUUAGAUUGUUAUUAUUACUGUAUUAUUAUUAGUAUUAUUUAAUAUUAUAUUAAAUAUUAAUAUUAUUAUGCCUAUAUGUAUAUACGCAUAUGUAUGUUAAUAUAUAUAUGUACAUAUCUUAAAUGGUUUUAAAAUAUAUAAACGUGUCUUGUAUAUUUUAUUAUUACUAUAUUUUUCUUAGUUUUAUAUGCAUUCGUAUAUAUACAUAUGUCCAUCUUUUUGAUAAUUACUAAUAUAUUAUGUUUAUACAUUAUUAUGUUUAUUAUUUUUUUUAAAUGCAUGUACAUUGUAUUAUUGAUUCAUUUUCGUGAUUUUUGUAUAUAUUUGCACGAACGUUUUAUCAUACUUUUAAAGAAAGUAUAUUUUUGGUUUUGUUAAUAUUAAAAUUGUUUUUUUAAAAUAUUUUAAUAUUUGACAACCAUGAUUCUCGAGAAAGAUCGUGUCCUAACUUACUGGAUCGUGAUCAUUUUUUCCAUGAAUUUAACAAGCUAAGUAUUCAUUUCACAAUAAAUUUGCAAUUUUCAAAUAAAAGCUUAUCUCGGGAAUUCAAAAUGUCGGGUCCUAACUUACUGGUCGUGACAUUUCGUUAUCUCGAAAUAAGAAUUUCUAAAACAAAAAGCAAUAUUCGGUAUUUUGAAGAUAUAAAAUAUUGUGCCCUAACUUACUGGGUGUGGUGUUUUAUUUCUUUGAAAUGAGAAUGUUGUAUCAUUUUAAUCCAUUCACGGGUUAAAUUUUUUUUAUUUAAAAUCUUUUCAAACUUUCGACAUCAAGACAUAAAAUAAUCAAAUUUGGUACUGAUUUUUGGGCGUUACGAGGGUGCUAAUCCUUCCUCGUGCGUAACUGACUCCCGAACCUGUUUUCUCAAAUUUUGCAGACCAAAAUUGUUUUUUUUUUGGUGAGCCGAUCACACCUUAAUAAAGGAUCGAUGGCGACUCCAAUUUUUGUUUUUAAAUUCGAUAACUUAUUUUUGUUCUAAAAAAAUGGUUUCGACAGCUUGGCGACUCCACUGGGAACUUCGAGAGUCGAGCCAUAAAUUGAUUAGCUUUUGUCUUUUUGUCGGAAAGGUUUCAAAUUUAUUUUAAAUCACGAUUUCCUCUUUUGCAUUCAUUGAUUUUUAUCAUGAUAUGUUUGUUUAAUUAGUCUAAGUUUGUUAGUGUGUUUGCAUUUUGCAUUGCAUGGACGUUUUUUACCCAUCUAAGUGGGAGUGAAAAGCUAGUCCUUCGUGAGGUUUUCACCUCCGUGCAGGAUAGUGGAUCGCUUUCGGGAUACAUCCGUACCUAUGUCUUCGUGAGAUUUUCAUCUCCGUGUAGCCAUAGGGAAAUGUAUCCCCCUGAACUGAACUCGGUCUGUAUGAGCCUAUAAUGGGUGAGGAUCGAGGAAUCUGCUGGUUCGGGUACCUUUGCCCUAGAAACCAAACUACAUAUAGUGAACCUUAGGAACUUGCCUUAAAUAGAACUUUGCCAAACUCUUAGAGGUCACCCGAGUAGGUACUCUAUUUAUUUUCUUGUUCGUUUUUGUUUUGUACUAACCCAUUUUGUUUUGUUUUAAUUAUGAUUGCAUUGCAUUUGCAUCUUAAAAAAGAGAUGUUGAUUCAAGUUCGAUUACUAACUUAGAAAGCUUGUAAUGGAAUACGAAUUUCUUGAUAAAAUGGAAGAUAAUACAGUUGCCUAAUAUAUCCCGAGAAACACGAGAAGGGUGAUGGAAGAGUUCAUGACUUUACUUCGUGGCCCGAGGAUUCAAGCUGAUUAUUCGAGAGCUACCGACAUUCCAACUUUCUUAAAGAAGCUAAUGAGCAUUGCGAGGAUAGGCAGACAAUUGAUUGCGACCAGAAUCAAGCAGAAUGAGCUAGCAGUGACAUCCUUUGGAAGUUCGCAAGGUUUAUCUUAAACAUUUGGAUGAAGAAUGAGAAGAUGUCCUCGCCUGGAGUAUGAGGGCAAAGACGUAUAUAUAUCCGCUUUAUGUAAAGAAAUUUGUCUUCUAGUAAAGUUUUCUAAAUGGAAUUGAAUCAGAAUCAACGUCUCUUUUAUGCAUUCAUUUCAUGCAUUUGCAUUGCAUGACAUCAUAUGCAUUAAAAUCCAUUAAAAAACCCUAAUUGGUUAAAAUCAUUCCUCAGUUAACCUGGAAACCAACCAGCCAACCCAGCACCGUUACGGUACAAGAGCGAAAUUAAAAAAAUAUGGACCAAAGGUUGGAAAAGCUCGAGCAGUUUCAAAAAGAAACGCAGGAUCAUCUUCAACAGCAAAUGAAGGGACAACUCGAGAAGAUUCAAAAAAGUUUGAUGGAUAAAAUGGAGGAAUCACAAGGAAGCAUGAUGACAAAGUUAACGCGAUUGUUGACUAAAGGAAAAGAUAAUGGAAAGAGCCCUGUAACAAAUAUUGAAGAAGAAGGUGAGGAUGGACUCCAAUAUCCUCCGGGCUUCACUCCUUUACAUGUGCAGCACCAAGCGAAAGUGUACCCGCGUAAAUCUUCUGUUACGAUUAGGCCUCAGCAAGUUCAAGCCGAUGGUUCAAGGUCGAUGAAUUUUCAGGUCGGAUCAGGCUCCAGUCCUGAGAAUAAUACUGCCAAUCCUAUUGUUCCUGAUUUCGAUGAGGCAGUUGAAAAAGAGAAAACAAAAGAGGAAUUACCGAAGCAAUUUGAAGAAAGAUGGAGGUGGAUUGAGGAGAAAUUCAAAGUGAUAGAGACUACUGAAGGAUGUCAUGGGAUGGAUGCUAAGGAUUUAAGUUUGGUCCCUAAUUUAGUGCUUCCGUAUAAGUUUAAAAUGCCAGAUUUCGAGAAGUAUAAUGGGACCACCUGCCCUAAAGCCCAUAUUACUAUGUUUUGUAGGCGAAUGACUGGGUAUGUCAAUAACGACCAGUUAUUGAUACACUGUUUUCAGGAUAGCCUCACGAGGGCUGCGUCAAAAUGGUAUAAUCAAUUAAGCCGUGCUAAGAUUAGCUCUUGGAGGGAUUUAGCACAGGCUUUUAUGAAGCAGUACAGUCAUGUGGCAGAAAUGGUUCCCGACAGAAUUACUUUGCAAAACAUGGAGAAGAAGUCGAAUGAAGGUUUCAGACAGUACGCUCAGAGAUGGAGGGAGGUUGCAGUUCAGGUCCAACCACCGCUCCUUGAAAGAGAAAUGGUGAUGCUCUUUAUAAAUACGUUGAAGGCCCCAUUCAUCACACAUAUGUUGGGAAGUGCCACAAAAAGCUUUUCUGACAUAGUUAUGAGUGGUGAGAUGAUUGAGAGUGCUAUUAGGAGCGGAAAGAUUGAUGCUGGAGGAAAUAACAGAAAGUAAGCCCCAAGGGAAAAAGAAAAUGAGGUGAACAGCAUGAACACGUACAGCAAAUCGAUUACGGUGAAUCAGCUAGGAAAGGUGGUUACUAAUUAGCAGGGUUCAUCAAGAUAAGAAUCAGGUGUGAAGCCAGGUACUGAGAAGCUCCAGUUCACACCAAUUCCGAUGUCCUAUAAGGAGUUGUAUCAAAGCUUGUUCGAUGCGCAUGUUGUUGCUCCCCAUUACUUAAAACCUCCACAACCUCCGUAUCCUAAGUGGUAUGAUGUGAACGCGCAAUGUGACUACCACGCGGGAAUUACGGGGCACUCAAUAGAGAAUUGCAUUACCUUCAAAAAGCUAGUUGAAAAAUUCAUCAACAUGGGUAUUGUCAAGUUGGGUGACUCAUCCAGUGCAGAAAAUUCGCUACCUAAUCAUGAUUGACAAUAAGGUAAAAUGCAAUGUAUGAAGAGAUGUUGGGAAGCGUUCACAUCAAUGACAUGUAUGAAGACACAACUGAAGAAAGGGCAUUGUUAGAUGUCUGCCCUUAUAAAUUUGAGAGUGUUCUAAGCAAUUUGGAUUGCGGAAGAGACCCCUGUAGUUUUUAGAGCUUAUUUAGAGUAAUGUUCGAAACAUUUUUGUUGUUUUUAGCCUAAAAUUGAUAGAAAUUCCUUUGUGAAAUAGGCUCAUGUCUAAACGUCAUUAUUCUAAUAAAAUACAUCUUUGCAUUCAUUUUUGAACCAAUAUUCUUUCAGUCUGUCUGAAUAGUUAUUCUUUCAUUCUUUUGGAUUUUCUUCCACAUCAUUCAUUCAUUCAUAAUCAUAUUGUACAGAUAGUUCUUCAUAAAUUUAUACAUUAUUUUGUAUAUUCUUUGGUAUUUAUUAUGGGCCCCCAGAUAUCAAUGACAUGAAUGACACUGCUACAGACUCAGAAUCUCUUUUUGAGCAAGACAUGUGUUUAGAGGGAUCUCAUGACUUUGGAAGAUGACAUAGAUCAUGGUCUAUCUCCGGACUUGUUGAGGAAGGUAGAACAGGAAGAGAAACAAAUUUACCUCAUGGGGAGACAAUGGAGAUUGUAACCUUGAGGGAACAUGCAUAACCGAAGAGACAAAGCAAGACCUUGUUGAGUUACCUUAAUGGUUCAAAGAUGUCGUCGCAUGGUCAUACCAGGACAUGCCCAGGUUAAGCACAGAUAUUGUAAUCUGAGCAACAACAUAACGUUAACAAUUUUCAGUAUGUUCAAGAUACAUAUCAUGAACGAUGCAGUUAGAAUUCUUUACCGGGGCAAUACCUUCUUCUCUGGCUUAUUCUGUUGAAGUCAAGUUGUUAUUUUUCCGUAUUUUUGUUGGAUUUCAUCUUAAUUGAAGAGGAAAAUCUAAAAUUUUCUCGUCAUAGUUUCGCCCCAAAAGGCUCUAUGAGAGAAACCUGAUACCAAAGAAGAUUUUUCGCAUACAAAAUAAAAGUGGAAUAUCUUACGAGGAAGACCUUAUCUGGAAUAAUAUUGACUCUGAUCGAAAAGGAUGACCUGGACUUGCCUAAUCUUAUGAGUGCAGAUUCAAUUAAAAAAAACAAAAAAAAAGGGGAAAGAAAAGAAAAAAGAAAAAAAACAAAAACAAAAAGAAAGAAAAAAACUUCCACUGGGGCAAUGCCUUUCUCUUUAGCUUAUUACGAUUUUUUUUUCCAUUGAAGUUGAAAUUAUUUUUCUCCGGGUAUUAGCUGAGCUGAAGUAGGAUGAAGAUUUAAUCUCGAUACGAUCAGUUGAACUUAAUUGAAGGAAAAAGGCUAAAACGGUCAGAUGUACCAAAAACAGAUAAUGCGAGCUUAUAACAAAAAGGUUCGUCCUAGAGAAUUCCAUGAAUGAAACCUGGUAUUGAAAAAGAUCAUUCCUCUACAAAAAGAUUUAGAGAAAAAUAAGUGCCAGAUUGGGAAUGUCCAUAUGUUGUAAAGAAGACAUUUUUCGGAGGAGCACUGAUCUUGAGUGAGAUGGAUAGUAAAAACUUGUCUAAUCCUGUAAAUUCAGAUUUAGUCAAGAAAUGUUUCGCUUAAAGAAGGAGAGGACCAAGGUAAAAAACCUCGCAAAGGGCACUUUGAGUCGCAAAAAAAAGAAGAGAAAAAAAUGAAUAAAUGAAAAAGUGAAAAAAUGAAAAUUGGAAAAGUAAAAUGGAGAGGCUAAGGUGAAAACCCGCAAAUGGCGCCUUAGACCAAAGGGGAUUUGAGUUGAAAACCCGAAAAGGGCGGCUCAAAUAUUGAUCAGAAUGGGCAUGAGGCAAUCAGAGCAGCUCAAAUGUUGAUUAAAAUGGGGCAUGCUGUGAUCUUGAUAUGCCUUAGUCAACAGGAAAGGGUACGCGACAUCUUGGGGCAUUGACAGAGUAAUGUAGAUCUCCUAAACACAUGUCAAACUCAAAAUGGUCUUCAAGAAGUUUGUACAGAGAAGUUCAAGCUGCGACAUUUGGGGCACCUCGUCUCCAUACUAUUUAUUUUGAAUUUGUUGUUCUUGGAAUACUUCAUUCUUUUCCAAGAUGCGCAUUCCCAAUCAAUUUCUUUGUUAUCCUUCUUUACUAUUUUUGAUAAUUUAUUCCUUUCGAACUAUGCUCAAAACUAACUUUAUUUUUAUCCAUUGUUAUGACCUUUUUGCAAGCAUGUUGCAUUGGAAUAAUGAUUGAUAGACUAAUAAAACUUUCACAAGGGAAGUUUUGCAUAUUACUCUAGAAGUUUCUAAACAAUAUAGGAGCUUGAAACAGGACUAUUGUUUAGAACGCACCAGGUUUAAAGGUUGGAAAUCUGAGAAGGAAAAGUCUAAAUUAGGACUUUCUUUUUGAUUUUGUUGUCAAAAACAUUGAUUGAACAAAAUGACAGGAUGAUAGGUUGGUGGCAAGGCUUAGAUGAACAAACAAGCAAUAAUCACCAAGCAAUAAAAAGGUGUUUCUUUGGAAAGGAGAAUCCUUUAUUCGUGCAUAGGCAUUUGGUAUGACACCCUGAGAUUGGUAUGAAAGACCAAAGUGCUUCACAUUUUGCAUCCCUGAAUUGCGAUAGAUAAGGAUUGAGAAAAGACCAAAUUUUUCUACCCUUGGGUUACAGCGGGAGAAAGAUAGUACAAAUUUUGCAUCCCAGUGAAUCUUUGAGGUUUACAGUGAGGGGCAAUUUGAUCAAGCGUUUCUUUGGAGAUGUGAUCCGAACAAAAGACGUUGUAGCACGUCAGUGAUACGACUUUAAUAAACUUCGAGUAAUGACAACCUAAGCGGGAUCAUUCUCGGAGAGUAAAAUUUUGCAUUCAUGCAAACACCAUUCACACAUGUCUAGUUAGGAGCAUUUGAUUCAUUUUGAUCAUGCCAUCCUAAUCAUUAGGCAUAAUUAGGUUCAUUAUACAGGUAUUGUUCUCCGGAGAACAGAUCAGUGAAAGUAGCAGAUCUUGCCUUCCUGCAUCGACAGCGAAGGAGAUCGAAGAUACUAAUUCUAUCUCCCUUAUUGGCAGUGGGAUAGAUUGAAAAUUUCAGAUCUUAUCUCCCUAGGCAUUGGUGGAGCAGAUUGAAGAUGGCAGAUUUUACCUUCCUGUGGUUACAGUGGAGUACAUUGAAGCCGUAAUUCUAUCUCCCUGGUUGGCAGUGGAAUAGAUUGAAGAUUUCAGAUCUUAUCUCCUUAGGCAUUAGUGGAGCAGAUCGAAGAUGGCAGAUUUUACCUCCCUGUGGUUACAGUGGAGUACAUUGAAGCCGUAAUUCUAUCUCCCUGGUUGGCAGUGGAAUAGAUUGAAGAUUUCAGAUCUUAUCUCCCUGGGCAUUAGUGGAGUAGAUCGAAGAUGGAAGAUUUUACCUUCCUGUGGUUACAGUGGAGUACAUUGAAGCCGUAAUUCUAUCUCCCUGGUUGGCAGUGGAAUAGAUUGAAGAUUUCAGAUCUUAUCUCCGUAGGCAUUAGUAAAGUAGAUCAAAGAUGGCAGAUUUUACCUCUCUGAGGUUACAGUGGAGUACAUUGAAGCCAGUAAUUCUAUCUCCCUGGUUGGCAGUGGAAUAGAUUGAAGAUUUCAGAUCUUAUCUCCCUAAGUGGUAGUGGAGCAGAUCGAAGAUGGCAGAUUUUACCUCCCUGUGGUUACAGUGGAGUACAUUGAAGCCGUAAUUCUAUCUCCCUAGUUGGCAGUGGAAUAGAUUGAAGAUUUCAGAUCUUAUCUCCCUAGGCAGUAGUGGAGUAGAUCGAAGAUGGCAGAUUUUACCUCCCUGUGGUUACAGUGGAGUACAUUGAAGCCAGUAAUUCUAUCUCCCUAGGCAGCAGUGGAAUAGAUUGAGGAUUACAGAUCUUAUCUCCCUAAGCAGUAGUGGAGCAGAUUAAAGAUGGCAGAUUUUACCUCCCUGAGGUUACAGUGGAGUACAUUGAAGCCAGUAAUUCUAUCUCCCUGGACAGCAGUGGAAUUGAUUGAAGAUUUCAGAUCUUGUCUCCCCAAGCAGUAGUGGAGCAGGUCAAAGAUAGCAGAUUUUACCUCCCUGAAGUUGCAGUGGAGCAGACAGAAGUAACUAAUCCUAUCUCCUUGAAGUUGCAAUGGAAUGGAUUAAAACCACAGAUCUCAUAUAUCUGAAAUUGCAAUAGAGCAGGUCACGUCAAGAUUUAUUUUUUUAGUUGUAGCAGAACAAGUUGAAGCUAUAAAUCUUAUCUCCCUGAAGUUGUAGUGGAGCAGACUACAGAUAGUAAAUUUUUUUCUUUUGAGAAGCCACAAGAUACGAAUCCUAUCUCCCUGACGUUGUAGUGGAGUGGAUCAAAGCACUGUUUCUUAUAACCUCUGAAGAUGUAGUAGGAAGGAAUGAUGCUACCUGAAGAAAAGAAGCACUAAAGAAGCCGAGGCUUAGUAAAACCGGACAUAAUUGGGUGUUUUAGUCUUUGCUCUGUUCCCGUUACACGACAACGAGCAAAGAGGGGCAGCUGUAAUACCCAAUUAUUGCCCGGGGCCCAAAAUCCUAAAGCCCAAUGACCCAAUACACCAAAUUAAAAACCAACAGCCCAAAUACAUUUGGCCCAAUUGGCCCAAAAUUAGCCAUAGCCCACAACGUGUUUUCAGCAGCAAUGGAAGCAGAAACCGCAAAUCCUCGCACGUUCUCCAUCUGCAGCAACGACCCCAUCACCCCACGUCACAAUCACCCACGUUCAGCGAUCCCUCGCAUUCUACCUGCAAUAAAACCACAAAGAACAACAAAUAAAAGGGAGGGCUAGAAUAGAAAUGGACGUUACGAAAAUUAGGAAGAAAAAAAGAAAGAGAGAAGGGGGGUUUACAUUUUUGUAUCAGAAAAUUAUUGAGAGGGUGGAUAAAAACAAGAAAUUGGAGCAAAAAUUUUGUAUGAAUUAACAAGAAAUACAAGAGAAAGAAAACGAUUUUGGAAGGUAACAGAUUUUGUUCUGUUCUUUUACUGUUUUCACUUUAUUUUGUUUUUCUUUUGUUAUCCUAAAACAAAAAUAAAUAAAAAGAAGAAGGAAAAGGGUUCUUACCGGUGGUAGCGCGUCGUCGUGGCGCCGUCGUCAUCGUUGUGGCCGGUCAGAAAUGGGUCUGAAAUGGUGGAAGGGAGGCUGCGGCAAAUACAAAAAUGGCAGAGAAAGGGUUUUGAAAUGGGAUUUUAUAAGGGUUCAAAAGGGGCCAUUUGCGCGAUUGGUCCUUUUCUUUUUGGGGUUGUUUAAAUUAAAUUUAUUAUUUCUUUUAAAUUUUACUGCAUAUUUUAAUACUGUUUCAAUCCGGUCCUCAUUGCUGUGCAGUGUUUAGGAGGUUUGGGUAAAUUUCUUUUUAGGUCUUCCUCAUGUUAUGCGCGUUUUAAUUUGCUCCUUUUCACAUUUUCAAUUUUCAAAUUUAGCCUUUAAAUUCUAUUUAUUUUCAAUAUUAAUCCUUCAUUUGUCAUUUUAAGGUUUUUUUUUAUAUAAAUACUGUUAGAUUGUUAUUAUUACUGUAUUAUUAUUAGUAUUAUUUAAUAUUAUAUUAAAUAUUAAUAUUAUUAUGCCUAUAUGUAUAUACGCAUAUGUAUGUUAAUAUAUAUAUGUACAUAUCUUAAAUGGUUUUAAAAUAUAUAAACGUGUCUUGUAUAUUUUAUUAUUACUAUAUUUUUCUUAGUUUUAUAUGCAUUCGUAUAUAUACAUAUGUCCAUCUUUUUGAUAAUUACUAAUAUAUUAUGUUUAUACAUUAUUAUGUUUAUUAUUUUUUUAAAAUGCAUGUACAUUGUAUUAUUGAUUCAUUUUCGUGAUUUUUGUAUAUAUUUGCACGAACGUUUUAUCAUACUUUUAAAGAAAGUAUAUUUUUGGUUUUGUUAAUAUUAAAAUUGUUUUUUAAAAUAUUUUAAUAUUUGGCAAUCAUGAUUCUCGAGAAAGAUCGUGUCCUAACUUACUGGAUCGUGAUCAUUUUUCCAUGAAUUUAACAAGCUAAGUAUUCAUUUCACAAUAAAUUUGCAAUUUUCAAAUAAAAGCUUAUUCUCGGGAAUUCAAAAUGUCGGGUCCUAACUUACUGGUCGUGACAUUUCGUUAUCUCGAAAUAAGAAUUUCUAAAACAAAAAGCAAUAUUCGGUAUUUUGAAGAUAUAAAAUAUUGUGCCCUAACUUACUGGGUGUGGUGUUUUAUUUCUUUGAAAUGAGAAUGUUGUAUCAUUUUAAUCCAUUCACGGGUUAAAAAUUUUUUUUAUUUAAAAUAUUUUCAAACUUUCGACAUCAAGACAUAAAAUAAUCAAAUUUGGUACCGAUGUUUGGGCGUUAUGAGGGUGCUAACCUUUCCUCGUGCGUAACUGACUCCCGAACCUGUUUUCUCUAAUUUUGCAGACCAGAAUUGUUUUUUUUUGGUGAGCCGAUCACACCUUAAUAAAGGAUCGGUGGCGACUCCAAUUUUUAUUUUUAAAGUCGAUAACUUAUUUUUGUUCUCAAAAAAAAUGGUUUCGACAGUUUUCAUUACUGAUACUAGUUUCUUAGGAAAUAUUAGUGGAAAGCAAGAAUAAUACGACUCUAUAGUAUUUGAAAUACUAAUUUUUUUGGUAUAAUAUUUUAAAAUUUUACUUAAUAAAAAAAUGUUUAUCAUGUUUCUUUUAAUCCUUAGUAAUCAAAUGUAUUUGUUUACUUGUUAGAAUUUUAAAAUAAAUAAAUUUAUUCCUUAUUUGACCAACUCUCUUUAGGGUUUUAGAAUUAUUUUUAAAUGGAUGAAUUUAAAAACUAUGAAAAACAGUUACUAUUUUAAGGUAAAUGAAAAUUACAAAAGAAGGGAUAAUAUCGACUAAAAUUUCUAUAUUAGCCUAAUGGUCAGAGUGCUUAUCGUCUCAGGUGUGUCUUAAGUUUGAAUCAUGCUAGUCGUCUCACUAUUAAGACUUUACCCUCCUCUUAUAAUUCAAAAAAGAAACUUGAAAUCUCAAAAUCACUUAUUGGUUAAGAUAAUAUACAAGAGGUUAUUUCGAUAAAUUAAAAGUACAAUAUUUUAAUCCCACAAGUUCAAAUACUACCACUAUCAUAUGUUCUUUUAUCAUACUAUUACACCAAAAAUAGGAUAUGUUCUUAAAAUCUUAAGUAUAAAAUAUUAUAUGUUGAGAAUCGACCAGAUUAAGCAAUGAACAAGUAAAAAUAGCGGAAGAAAAUGAGAAAUUGAACACACAAAUUUAACUUGGAAAAACCCCUCUAAAGAGGAUAAAAAAUCACGGGCAAAAAUAAUUUUCCUAUAAUAACAAAAGAACAAAGGUACAAAGAUGGAGAUAAAAAACUAAACCUCAAAACCCAAAAAUAAAGAACCCUCAAAACGUAAACACAAAAUUCUCCAAAAGUGUUAUGAGUUCUAAUAUUUAAUGGGUGUAUUUUCUAAGUUGUAAAAGAGCCUAUUUAUAGGCUAAAUUCGAGGUCAAAUAAUAAUAAAAUAAUCUAAAAUAAUCAGAGUUUGAUUGAAACAAAUAAACAGAGUUUAACUGGGAGAUUAUCUUUUAAAUUUGACUAAAAUAUAAGGCAUACUUAACAAAUCUCCACAUUGACUCGUAUUUUCACAACUCCAUCUUUGCCAAAGCCUGCCAUGGGCCUAUUUUGAACUAUGCAAGGAAUUAACUGAGUCGAAUAUAUGCUUAGAAGCAAGAAGACUUCUAGCCUUCGACUUGUGCAUUGCCAAAUCAAAACUAACACGAGUCUAAUUUUCACGAACACAAUGGCCUAACUUUUCAAAACCUGCAUCCAAAAGAGAGCCUUUCUUCAACGAAAUGAUCAUACAUUCUUCCCUCCUAUGACAAAGUUGCCUCCGCUUCAAAUGAGUUGACUUCGACUUCGUAAUGGAUGAGCGACGUCUGAUUUCACCAAUCACUAUAGAACCUUCCAUAAUAUAAAGAUUGUCGGUUCUUUUACCUUUUAACAAAAUGAGAGCCCUAUGAGACACCUUAAUGUCACUCGGCUCAACGUUUGAUUCUCCAACCUUUCAAGUCUAAAAUACUCAAGGAGAUGAGAUUCUUUUGUAAAUCAGGUACAUACCUAAUAUCUAAUAAUGUCCUAAUUGUCCCAUCGUGCAUCCUAAUUUUAAUAGUACCAAUAACGAUUACCUUAAUGGAUGAAUUUUUUUUCAUUCGCACAACUCCACCUUCAAGCAAACUGUAUAUGGAGAACCAUUUUCUGUUUGCACACAUGUGGAAAGAGCAUCCCGAAUCUAGGAUCCAUUUAGACGCAAGCUCGGAGCUUUCGCUUGUUGACACUAACAAGAAAUCAUCAUUGGUUUCGUCAGCUAAAUUAGCACUAUCUACAUCUUCCUCAUUACUCUCAGCAACCCUUUUAUUUCGCAGUUUAUAACAAUAUGCUUUGAUGUGACCUAACUUCUUAUAAUAGUGACACAUUCUGUUUCACUUCUUUAAUGCUACUAAUAUGGAAGCUUUCCUAUUUGCCUUGCUAUUCGAACCAAAGUCAUUUUUGAGUUUGUCUUUACUCAACAAAUGACCCUUCAUAUCCUCAAACGAGAGUUUGUCUCUGCCAUAAAUUAAGGUUUCCCUGAAAGACUUGUAUGAAUGGGGUAAAAGGCACAAUAAUAGCAUAGCCUGAUCUUCGUCGUUAAUCUUAACCUCAACAUUUUUAAAUCAUUCAAAAGAGUAAUAAAUUGACUAAUUUGAUCUCUAAGAAGCUUACCUUCGUUCAUGCAAAACGUAAAAAGACAUUGUUUCAACACUAAAUGGUUAUCUAGACACUUAGUCGCAUACAGAGUUUCUAACCUUUUCCACAAGGCGGAUGAGGUUUUCUCCAUCAAUACCUCCUGUAAUACAUUAUUCGCGAGGCACAACUAAAUUGUAGAUAGGGGCCUUUUCAUCAAGCUCUUCCUGUUCUGUCUGAUUUAGAUUCUCAGGCUUUUUCCUAGUAACAACCUUUUUCAGGUCAGUCUAAACUAGAAUUGCCUUCAUUCGAACUUUCCACAAAUUGAAAUUUGUGACACCAUCGAACUUCCCAAUAUCAAACCUUGUUGUUGCCAUCUCUGAAUGAGCUGAUCUACGAAAAUCGAACUAACUUUGAUACUGCUUGUUAGGAAUCAACCCGAUUAAGCAAUGAAUAAGUAAAAAUAGAGGAAGAAAUUGAGAAAUUGAACACACAAAUUUAAUGUGGAAAAACCCCUCCAAAGAGGAUAAAAAACCACUAGCAAAAAUAAUUUUACUAUAAUGACAAAAGAAUGAAGAGUACAAAAGAUGGAGAUAAAAAAACUAAACCCCGAAACUCGAAAACAAAGAACCCUAAAAAAGUAAACACAAAAUUCUCCAAAAGUGUUAUGAGAUCGAAUAUUUAAUGAGUGUAUUUUUUAAGGUUGUAAAAGAGCCUAUUAUAGGCUAAAUUUGAAGGUUAAAAAUAAUAAAAUAAUAUAGACUAGUCAGAGUUCGACUGAAACAAAUAAGCAAAGUUUAACUGUGAGAUUAUCUCUCAAAUUUGACUAAAUAUGAGGCAUACUCAACAUUAUAUAUAAAUAUAUAAUAAAAAAUAAUAUUUUAAAAUUAAUAAAAAUAAUAUAUGUUAUUGUUAAGUUGAUAAAAUUUUGGUAAAUAAGAUAUGUGUGAUUAUACUAUAUUAUCGAUCGUAAUGAAAGACGAUGUUGGAAUGUCCAAGGUGAAGGGGAAAGAAAAAGUGAACAUCAAAUAACUAUUGCGGUUUGUGCUUCUAUAAUUCAAUUCCAAUUUGCUUUUGUAGAUUAAUUAGUUGUUAUAAUCAAUAUGACUUAAUGACAUCUUUCCCUAUCAACUUUGAAUAAUGGAUUUGAUUGGUGAUAUUUGAAUUAUGUGAUAAAUGUUUGAAAUUGCUUUGGAUGUGACUAUGAAUAUACAUUGGUAUUAUAAUGAUAUAUGUUAGAGCAAUGAAUAUGACGUUAAUGCCCCAUUAAACGAUGUUAGACGUAGUUUGGGUAUAGUUGGAAUUCCAUAGGGUCAUCAAUAUAGUGAUUUACUAGCCAUCGUUGUCGGGAAAUUCAGAAUGGUUGAAUAAACAGUGGGAAAAAUAAUGAAAAUCAUCGUUGUUGAGCAACCCGAGAUGACAGAAUAAAAUAGUCCUAGUUUCCAAAAGGGUUAUUGAGUUACUUGAUAUAUAUAGAUUUAAGUAUCCAUUCUAAUAUCUAUCAUUGGAUAAUAGGGGAAAAAAUGAAUAAGCAUUGAAAUUUAUAUUGAAAUGUGAAAUGAAUAUGAAAGUUGGAAAAUGAUAUGAUGAAUUAAAGUAGUAUUCAUUUAAGUAAUUGAUACUUUUUAUUUAUACUUACUUUAGUUUACUCUUAACACAAUAUAUAUUUGAAUUUGAAUUAUAUUAGCACUGUAAGAGCCCAAUUUUGUUCGGCCCAAAUAGAAAUAAAAAGUAAAUAAACAAAAUAAAAACGAAAAAUAAAAGUCUAAGUCCAUUUACAAACUAGAUUGGCCCAAACAAAAAGAGCCCAAUAGCCCAACCCAUAUGCUAAACCUAAUACCCAAUAACCUAAAGCCCAAUAGCCCAUAACCUAAACGAUUUUCAGAAAGCCAAAAACCCUAGAUCCUCUUUUGCACCGCGCCUCACCAUGUCAGCAUGCUCACCGCCCGAGAAGAUUGAAAUAAAAAUCGGAUACAAACAUUAAGCAAAAAAAAGUGAUUUACUUUGUUUCUUUAGAUUCAAAAACAAUAAAUUAAUAUAAAACCUUUUACCUGGCUUCGUCUCGCACUGCCGUCGGGGGUCUCCCUCGAUCCUAAAAGUCACCGAACCCAUUAGGUUUCGUCUGGGCUUCAAUAAAAGGGGAUACGAAAGGGCGCGACCAGAAAGUGGGAAAUUCAAAAUCUUUUUCAUUUUUUUUGUUUUUUUAAAGGCAUUUUCCUUUAGAUCCGGGUUUUAGGGUUGAAAAGGGUUGAAAAUGGGUUUUUUUUAGACUCCAACCAUCAGAGGCGACGGUCGUUGUCACCGAUGACCGUUGGCCACGGCGGAGCACUAGUAGGCCGAAGGUCAGACUGAGAGAAAGGCUGAGAGAAAAAGAAAGGGUUUCAAAACUUUUUUAAAAACCUAAGAAGAUUAAAAAAAAUUGAUUUAUAUAAGCAAGACUAAACGACACCGUUUUGGCUGGUGUUCAAAAGUCCUAAAACGGUGUCGUUUUGAAGCUUGGCUUACCAACCCGACCCAAAUCCGCGUGUUUUCGUGGAGUAGUCUAUUUGCAACCCUGGUCCUUCUGCUUUUGAACCUGUUUUUUUGAUAUAGUCCUAAUCUUCAUUUUUUUCUUUUUAGAUUGCACCUUUUAAUUUUAACUUGUUUUCAAUUUAGUCCUUCAUUUGUCGACCUUCUGGGGAAUGACGCGUGUCCUGGGGUUUGGAAUAAUUACCAAUUUAAGCCUUGUUUAUUUUCCCAUUUCUUAUUUUAGUCCUUUAUUUACUUAUUUAUUUAUUUUAUUACAAUUUAUGCUUUUAAUUUCAUUUUAAUUUCGAUUCAGUCCUUGGUUUAUUUAAUUUCAACCUUUUAUGAAUUGUUUUUAUUUAUUUAUUUAUUAUUUAUUUACCGUUUUUUAUAAUUAAAAUUCAUGUUAUUUAUAUUUCCUUUUUAUUGUGCAUUUUUCGCCCUUAUUAUUAUGAUAGUAAUUAUAAUAUGAUUAUCGUUAUUAUUACUAUAAUUUUUUUUUCACUAUCAUUAUAGUUGUAUUAUUAUUACUCACUAGCAUAGCAUUUUUAUUUUUAUUUUAUUGAUUUGUUCAUUUAUUUACUUAUCAUUUUAAUACCAUUAUUUCAUUUUUACCCGUUACUAUGUUACUUUAUUUUGCUAACAUCCAUGCCGUGUAUCGCGUUAAAACAUAUCCAUCCCUUUUACUACUAGACCUAGAUAAAUUAAAAAGCAAUCGUUAAAAGGUUGCAUUCAUUUUACGAUAUGAAUAUGAAAUAUUUUAAAGGAAAAACCAAGGCAGUGUUCAUUAUUUUUGGAAUUAGAGGAGUCGUGCUCCCAACUUACAGAGUAUGGCCUCUUUCUAAAACCCAAAUAGUUGAAUAUAUAUUUUAAAAAAAAAGAGAUUUAAGUAAUGAUCAAAUGGCGAUUAUUCUUGUUUUCGAGGAUUUAAGACAUUGUGUCCUAACUUAUAGGGCACGAUCUUUUCUUCUCGAUUAACUUGAAAUAUGACAUUUUCGUGAAAAUUAAUUUAAUUAAGCGAUAUUUUAAUAUCAUACAAAGAGGGAUCGUAUUCUAAAUUUGCUUCGCUUUUUCAAUUCUCGACAUCACAACAUUAAAUAACCAACUAGGUACCAAUUUUGGGCUCUAUGAGGGUGCUAAUCAUUCCUCAUACAUAACCGACAACCCACAUUCUUGGAUUUCGUAGGCUAAAAAUUAUCAUUUUAGAAAAUCUAAUAUUUUAUUAAGAUGGUUAAAAUUUGAGGUGACCCGAUUACACCUAAUAAAAAGGAUCGGUGGCGACUCCAUUUUUAUUUUUUUAAAUAAAAGUCUAUUUCAAAAAUAAAAAGGUUUCAACAAGCACCACUAAGUAUUCGAUACUCAACGCAUGGUUAUGUUUGUUUCUAUGUGCAAGUACCGAACGUGAGUAGAUGUAGAUUAUAGUGUCCAGCAUCCAACUCAACAACUCAACUCAGAACAUGCCUUAUUACCUCUUUUGUGUGUGUGUGUGUUUGAGUUGAAAUGGCAUGUACCUAGAUUGUUUUGGGCAUGUUGCUUAAGUUUUCAUUUUGGUAUUUUUGUAUUUGGCCUAUAAGGUUUUAUAAGAUGAAUUUUAAUAUUUAAUUAGUAGAUAAUUAUGCUAGUUUAUAUAAGUUUGAUUAUGUGAAUUAGUUGGUUAAAAGAUGUUACAUUGAUGGUUAUGAUUUGAUGAUGUUUAAUUGUGUUUAUAUGUGUUUAAUUGAUGGCCUUAAUUUCAUGUAAAAUUUUUGUAUAUUUAAUGUACCAUUUGGUAUGGUUUGGACACAUGAAAAUGUGCAUUUAGAGCUAUUUUACCAUUGAGUCGCAAGAUAGUAGGAACAUGUCGCGAGACCAUAAGAACAAAAUUUACCUUAUAAUUUAACUUAUAUGUUUAGUGUCUCAAGAUUUGGCAAGCUAGUCUCGAGACAAUCCUAUUCAAGCCUCGAGACAAGUGGUCAUUGUCUUGAGACAAGUAAACUUUGAAGCUAAAUUAGAUUUGCUCAGUUUCAGGUCUCGAGACAAAAACCCCUUGUCCCUAGACAUUUAAACAUCGAAGCUAAAUUAAUGAAACAGGGGAGGUUGGCCUCAAGACACAAAGAACCUUCCCUUAAGACACUACCUCUAGUGUCUCGAGACAUGUUGGCAUCGAAGAAAAAUACCUAAAAUAAAAUGAGGACUAUCUUGAGACAAGAAGUCCUCUAUCUCGAGACAUAACAUUGAAAUUUGAUAGUUGAGUUUGGAUUUGAGUCCUAACUCUAAAUUUAACCUUGUGUAACCCCAUAACAUGAGGAAUUGAAUCCUAAACACUAUGAAUGCAUAUGUGUGAGUAUGUUUGAUGAUUAAAUCAGUUUAUAUGAUAAUUAUGAUUUAAAUUUUAUUAUUAUAAAAUGAGAUAGUUUGAGUUGUUUUGGUAACAUAAUGUGACAUCACGCAUUUAGAUCCAACAAUCGAGUCGGGUGUAAGGUGUUAUAGUCAUGGUGUUGAAGUCUAAUGUCAAGUGAAGGAUGUGUAUGGAUUUCACCAACCUCAAUAAAGCUUGCCCAAAAGAAAGCUUCCCUCUCCUCUUCAAAGACAAAAUGGUUGACACCUUUUUCUGGGCAUAAUCACAUCUUGAUGGCUUAGGAAGACCAGGGAAGGACCACUUUCAUCAACUAACUAUCAACCAAUUUAGCAUAUAAAAAAACUUAAAUCCUACACAAGCAUUUUAUUAAACACAUAGUAGAAAUAAAAUAUAAAAGAUAAGGAUAUGAGAAAGUGCCCAUUAAUAGAUUAAAAUACGAUGAAGCCUACAAGCUUGAUCAUCUCCAUUUACAGAGUUCUCGAUAAAAGGGAAGAAAAUCUAUGCUAAAAUUAUUCUAAAGAAAAUGAAAGAAAAGAAAAAUAAAUAUAAUCUAAAAAGAUGAAAAGUAGAAAUAUGUUCUACCCUACAACUCUACUACAAAAAGACUUAUAAAGUAGUUUUCAUAGUCUUUUCUAACUUAACCUAACAAUGAUAAUUAUGCCCUCCCUUAAAAAUCUAAUUUGAAGGUUGUUGGACAAUAAAAUACCCUCAGCUAUUUUGCCUCGUCAAGGGUCGAUGUCACAACACCUACGAUAGUCUACACAUUUGGGUUAUUGGGUCUUUUAGUGUCGCAACAAUGGCCUUUGGUUUCAUGACAUUGUCUUCAGGCAACUUGAGUCCUUCAACUUUAGAGGCUAUGAUCAAUGUUGCGACAUUGCUAGCCUAGUGUUAAAACCACCAAGGUUUGUGUUGCAACAUCAACUCCUUGGUGUCACGACAAUGGAAGUAAUCUCCACAAAUGUGCAAUUUAUUGAAGUCUCACUCCUCGGAUGAUGUUGGAAGCAUUGGUGUCGCAACCUUUGCUCUAGUUUAGCCUCCUCUUCUCAUUUUCGCAUCAACCAAGUAACUGAACCAAGCUUAAGUUCCUAAUGUCAUAAACUUGUCAUUUUAUUCUGAGAACAUAAAAACGAAAUAAAAACUAAGAUUAAGUAUUAAAUCUACUAAUUGUGGAAAAGUAAUAACAGACGAUAUAAAAUACUCAAGAAUAAAUAGCUUAAUUUGACACAUAAAUACGAUAGAUCAAACUCCUCUAUACUUAAGUUAUUGUUUGUCCACAAGCAAACACACAAAACAUGCAUAAGAUGACCCUUGGAAUAUGGUGAACAAUAAGAAAUAUGACAAUCGAAUAUUGAAUUUAUACAAGACCUAUUUCACAUGCAAUUUAAGAUUGAUUUUUAGCUAACUUAAGUACUCCUAAAGCAAAUCUACCUAGUUAACUAAGUUAAAAAACUAAUAAACCUUGUGGCAAUUCAAAUGAGUAAAUACUCAAUUAUGUUAUCCAUCAAUAUAACUUAAAUAGAUAUAUAGUAGACACAACAUGCGAAUCCAAAGCUUUCAAUAAGCUAACUAUAAACAAGUCAAGAAGAUCAUGUAAAGGAAAUGCUUAGGUCACAUAAGUCUUCUUGGCUUGUAACAUUCUAAGGCUUAGGAAGGUUUGGAUUCAAAGAAAAAAAUAGCUCAAAAUGGUUUCAAGCACUAGAGACUGUAAGCACAUGACAUUGUCCUCUUUUCUUCCCCGAUUUUACCAUUAUGCUCACCGCCUUAUUUUCUCCUUCCCGCACCUCCCUUUUUUCUCCAAAGAUGUAAAAGAUAUGGAUCAAUAUUGUUAUAUAAAAAAAGCUAGCAAGUAUUUGUGAAUUAAGAAAUGAAAUAUUUCUUUUAAACUCGAAAAUAAAUUUUGUUUGAGCACUUUUCUUGAUACUAAAAUUUCAUAUAAUUGAAAAACUAUAAUUUAAAAUUUUUAUAUUAAAAAAAUACAUUCAAUUUAAAUUUUAAUCAUAAACACAAAUAGAAAAAAAAAUCUAAUUUUGUCUUAAUAAAUUCUUUUUACUUUCGAUCUAUAUGAGAAAAUAACUUUUUUACCAAUUAUCAAGGGAAUCACUUUCCAUUACCGAAAGAAAUUAAAUUUGAAUCACAUUUUAACCAAUUAUAUGUCAUAAAAAAUGAUAACUUUCCAUCAUACCAAACGUCCUUUUAGUCAAAACAAUACAUAAAUUACAAAAUCUUCUUAUUAAAUAAUAAUUAAAUUAUCCUUGAAAAGUUCAUACAUAUAUACACUCAUUUAUUAUCCAUAUGAAAUUCAAAAGUAAAAUAUUCCAUAUUUUCCUAAAAUAUUAUAUUUAUCAAUAACAAGAUAAAAUGAUUGUAGUUUUUUAGUUUUAAUUAUCUUUUUAAGUCAAAAGAAUACAACCUUAAAAUGAAAAUAUCAAUGGAGAGGGUGUCGUUUUUGAAUUAUUUUUUUUCUUUCCUUUUUUGGUACGUCAUUUAAUGUCCAAAAUAGUCUAUCUGGCGGUCACAUUAUCGUGUAUAUAUAUAUUUGGAAAUUUGGGACACUAACUACAAAUUAUUUUAGGGAGAUCUAUUUACAGUGAUUUACUCUUUCAUAUCUUUUUUUAAAACUAAUAUUGUAACAAUUUAACUGCUGAAUUUAUUGAUAUAAUUAUAUUUGUCAUGCAUGUAAAUUUUUGAAUUAAUCUGAUAUCUUCAUCACAUCAAUCUAAAAUACUAUAGAUAUAUAUUAAUAUUUAUUGAAUGGUUAAUUUUUUUACCUAAAACAAAUAGUUAGAAUAUAUAAAUAAAAUAAUAAUUUUACGAUUAAAUAACUAAAAUAUUAAUCAUAUUAAGAGAUAUAAAAAACUGUAAAAUUAUUUUAAAUUUAUACAUAUAUAAAUGGAUCAUUAUCGAAAACUUAAUUUUAAUUACUAAAAAUAUUGACAGUGAUAGUAUUAUUAAGACAUUUAUUGAUGGAUAUAUUUACUUUAGAUUAAAAUUUUAAAUAGGUAUUACGAAUCAAUCAAAUAUUAAUUUAAUUUAAAAUAUAAAAAAAAUAGUUAAGAAAUCAUUAUUUAUAAGUAUUGCAACUCAUUCUUAUUUGGGAAGAACUCGAUUUUAAAGUCACUACCGCAGGUAACCAUAUUUUAAGUUUAAUUUUGAAAAAUCCAAGUUUAAUAUUGCUCCAAGUUUCGGCGGUUGAUUUUAAUUUUUGACCUUAACUUUGAUUUUGACUAUAAAUUUUGAUUUUUUGAUUUUGAUUUUUUGGUUUUUAUGGUAUUUGUCAAUGCUAUUAACAUUUAAGGGUGGCAUGACCUCCUCCCUCAUUUUGCAAAGGAAGAGAAAGAAAAAGGUAAUAAGAAAAAAGAGAGAGGUCAAGAGAACAGUGAAGCAUUCAAAGGAGAAAGACAGGAAGCUUACAAGUGAGGUAGAAGAAGAACCAAGAAGGGAGCAUAUAUAGAGAGAGGAUCUAGUUUGUAUUGUAACCCUCUCUCGUUUGCAUACGAUGAAAUCUUACUUCGAAUAAACACGAGUUGAAGGUAAAUAAUUUCAUGGUUUUAGGUGUAUGGUUGCAUGCUCUUGGAAUCUCACUAUUCUUGAGUCCUUCAGACUGUGAGAUUGCAAAUUUUGUUUAUUUCAUGUGAGAGAUUGCAAAAUUUGUUUGUGUUAUUAGGAUGUGUGUGUGUUUGAGUCUUCUGUGCAACAUGCACUUGGGAUAUAUCUUUUGGGUUUCAAAAGUGGAAACACCACAUGUGGGUUAUAUGUUAUCGUGGACAACCUCAAUAGUAAAGUACCCAACAAAGUGUUUUGGGUAUAUGUACCAUCCACAAAUGUGACUAAAGGCAUACUCGUAAAUUUAGUUUUUAAUGUUUAUCUUUUUUUUAUCAAUUUAAUCUUUAUUUUUUUGUGAUCAAUCUUAUAAAAAAAAAAGUUAAAUUUAACCAUUAAUCUUUCGAUAACAGUUGAAUUUAACCAUUAAAUGUUUUAAACAUGAUACCUCACAUGACAAUCCACAUAUAUUUCAUGCAAAUUUCUUUUGAGUUUUUAUGAACUUUUUUAAAAUUUUUUAUUUUGAAUAUUUUUAAAUUAAUUGUUGUAUAAAUUACACAUAGAUUGCCAUGCCAACAUCGUUAAAAACUUAAUGUUUUAAUUAACAUUUCUAGUAAAGAAAAGCGAUUCAACUCUUUUUAAAAGUUUAAUUGCAAAAUUUAAUUGAAAAGAAAGAGAGUAAAGGUCAAAUUGAUAAAAAUAUAAACGUUGAGAGCUUAAUUUAUUAUUAUAUUCUUACUAUUUAUCUCAAAGGAUACCAACUAUUUUGGAUCUAGUAAAAAUUCAUUUUAUAUAAAUAAAAAUUAUUUUUUAUUAUGAGCAAUGGUUUUUAAAUAUAGUUAUUUUAAUCCAAUUUACAAAUACUCAUAAUUAUUUGGUACCCCUUUAAUAAUGGGUGUCAUGAGUAAUGGGUGUCAUGAGGAUGCUAACAUCUUUCUUUCUACGCAUAAUCGUGCUCUUAAACUCAGAUUUAUUUUCGCCCAUCAAAAUUUGUUUUAAUGAUUUUAAACUUUCUAUGCAGUCAACCACUCUUUAAAAGAAAUUGGUGGCGGCUUCGUCUGGUUUUAAAAAUUCGUCAGCGGUAUUAUAAUAUUAUGAGGGUGAUUUUAUCUUUUUCACAUAUUUUUAUAUAGAAUCGAUAAAUUUAUAUGUAUUGUGAUAUUUAAACAUAAAAUAUUAUAAUUUUUAAAUAUUUCACUUUACAAUUUUAAUCAAUUUUCUAUUUAAUUCUUACAUAAACGUUAAUGAAUACAUUUUUUCUACCUUCAGUCCCCUAGCAAUGAUUAAAUACUCAAAUGGUAGAUAUAAUUAUCAUUAAGAAAAAACGAAUAGAGAAACAAAGAGAAAGGUACAUGCAUCUAACAUUAUUUUAUUUCAAAUCAUAGUCAUUAUUUUGAGAUAUACAUUGGCAACAUUUAUUGAAUAUUCAUUGGGAAAAGAAAACAAGACUAUAAGAUAAACGAAAUUAAAUAUCAUAACCAAAUCUUGAAAAUGAAUACUAAUAAAUUUAAACAUAUGGUGUUGGAUCACAUUAAAAUAUACACCAUUAAUUACUUUUUAGCUUAAUAAAAAUAAUGUAAUGAACGUAAAACAAUUUUUUUAAAUGUUAAUUAACAAUCUUCAAUCAAAUACUUGCAAGAGUUUUAAAGUUUGGGUGUUUUCCGUUAAAGUUAUUUUGGGUUAAUUUAAUUUUUUUCCUCCUUAUGAUCAAAUCAAGAUAAUCAUGUUUGAGUUUGGAUUAAUAAGAUCAAAGUUUGGUUUAUCUUUUAUCGCAUAUUAAAAAAAAUAGUUAUGUCGAUUGAAUUUUAGUUCGAUUAAAAUGGAUAUUGUUAUCAAUGUAGGAGGACGUGUUUAUCGUUAGAGAGGGGUUAUGGAUAGUUUUAGGCAUUGUGUUAAAAAUAAUAUGACCAGAACCUAUAAUGCGAUUAUUCAAAUAAUAAUAAUUACUCAAAACUGAUUUUUGAUUUUUUAAAUUUAUUCUCAUAUAUAUUAUAUUGAAAUAAUAUGAAAAAAAGAAGUUAAUUAACAUAAUGACAUAAUUUAAGGAAGAAAAGAAAGGCACAUUAAUCUUAUUUUCAGCCAUCUAAAAAAAAGCAAUAAAAUAUCGACUCUAGACUUACACUAUGUUUGGUUGGGUGUAUUGGCUAAUCCAAUACACCCCUAAUCGGUGGCCCCACCCAAUCCCCCCUCAUUCCUAUGUUUGGUUCAUAGUAUUGCCUAAUACAGGCCUAUUACGUUACGCCCCUAAUCCUCGAAAUUCUCUGUUUUGUAAUCCUUGCCUCCUCCUCAGAUUACAUCCGUUUUACAUCUCACGCCCUGAUUUGCCCUCCCAACUCGAAAUCCACCUCUAGCCUCUCCCUCCCAACAUCAAACAGCAGCUGCGAGCGAAGUCACCUCCACCCGACUCCACCGUCUCAGGUCUCCGGCCCCAUUGUUUCGGUAAGUGCUUUUUCACUGUAUCUUUCCAUGCUCUUGUUCUGGGGUGUUUUUACUGUAUUUCCCGUUGUGGGUUGUGAUGUUCAUGGCUGCUUUCUUUGGGUUUUUUGGCUAUGCUCUUCAAUGGCUUGUUAUCAAACAAAUCAUUUCCCUGCCUUAUUUCCUGGUUAGUUCUCCAUCUUUAUAGACUCUUUCAUGGUAUUAGUAACUUUGAUAGACUUAAAUUGCCUGGUUUCUCUUCUUCCUGGGAUUUCUAAUCUGUUCUAUUUUUUUACUGAAUUUUGCAGUUUUGCCUGGUUUCUCUUCUUCCUGGGAUUUCUAAUCUGUUCUAUUUUUUUACUGAAUUUUGCAGUUUUUUUUCCUUCCAUUUUCUUUAAAUUAUUUAUUCUAUUUUCAGAAUUUGCUGCUUUUGUAAGUUUAAUUUUUUUUAUCUUCGUUUCCAUGGGUAGGUUGGGGGGGUUAGUGGAAUAAUUAUAUACUGAACCUCAAUCCAUACAAAAUCAAACAUUAGAACACAAUGUAAAGAGAUUGUAAAGGAAGAAGCGCCAUCGUCCUCCUCCGGUGUCGUUCCUGCGAAAAGCCGUCCUUUUGGUAGCCUGAGAGGCGUUCAAUGGCGUAUCAAUCUUGGGAUUCUACCUCCUUCUUCUUCAAUUGAUGAUCUUCGUAGGGUAACUGCUGAUUUUCGCAGAAGGUAACCAUUUCAUCUUUACCUUUUCCUUUUUUUUUUAAAUCCUAAGAAAAAUUUAGCAUCAGAGUGUGAAUUUUUAAAUUACAGCUUCUUUUUUUAUUGUACAGAUUACCUAAACUUGAUUUAAUUUUUUUUUCUAAUUUUAUAUCCAUUUUGUUCAUAUUUUUAUAAAGCAUUUCAGCUAAUUCUAGCUUAAAUUUUAUUUAAAAUUGAUAACUUUGUGUCUCUCUUAGAUUGUUUCAAAGAACAUUGUUUUCCUUAAUUAAAUUACAAUUUUUUUAUUAUAAACUAACUUCGUGAAUUUAGAUAUGCUGGUUUGAGAAGGCAACUGUUAGUGGAUCCACAUGUUCCCAAGGAUGGAGCAACCAAUUCCCUUGAUCUUGUUAUGGAUAAUCCACUUUCACAAAACCCAGGUAAUUGUAAUGUUUAUGCUUUCUUUUUUGCUGUAUUGCUUCGAUUUUUAGUUCAUUAUUGAUUAAAUUAAACAAUUUGCAUUGUUGAUCCAUCAGCUUUUGUUUUAACUAGUAUUGUUGUUUACUCCUUGUUAUGUUAUCUUGAUUAAUGUUGAAUUCAUAUGGACAGUGAUUAUGGGUCCAAUGUCUGUUUCGAUUUCAUAAAAUGGAGAAUCUCUUUUCCUGGAUUUACACCUUAUCAUGGUUAGUUGGCUUUUUCGAGCCAGGAAUUGUAACUGAACUUUGUCAAUGGAAAAUUAGAUCGCCCUGAAUGCUUGGAAUAUUUCUUCUAUGAGCAAAUUUACUAUGGUUUCGACGUAUUUUAUGAUUUUACAAAAUAAUGUGUUUGGAGUACAACUGAAUUAUUUAUUUUGGUUUUCUGGUUUCAGACAAUGGAUAUUUCUAAUAUGGUUCUUGGGGAUGCUUCUUUCACUGCACCUUUCAAGCUUAUUGCAGAGCGUGAUGAUUACAUCCAUGCUUUCGUUGCAUAUUUUGAUGUUUCGUUUACCAAAUGCCACAAAUUGAUGGGUUUCUUUACAGGUUUGUAUCUACAUCAAAAUUCUCCAUCCUUUGUCCUUUCCAUUUUAUCUACGAAUAGAAAUCAGCAAGCCAGCCUAGAAGAACUUUGCCUUGGCUAAUGGCAAAUACAAAAUGCAGGACCAAGAUCGCGAGCUACCCAUUGGAAGCAAACAGUCCUAUAUCUAGAGGAUGUGUUAACCAUCUGUGAAGGGGAGACAAUAAUUGGGAGCAUGACUGUUGCACCAAACAAGAAGAAUCCCCGAGACGUUGAUAUAAUGGUUAAAUAUUCAUUGAGCGGACGACGUUGUGUGGUUUCGAGAGUUCAAUUCUAUAAGAUGCGCUGAUUUUGUUGCAGAGUAUUUCAUCACCACUACUAGCUGUAGGAUACCUUGUUUGCAUGUUCCUCAAAUGUUUCACCAACAUUUUUUUAAUUCCUUUUCUACUUUCUUUUUUCUCGAAAGGUUUUCCCUGAGAAAGAAAAACACAUAAGAUGCAUGUACUUCAUUAACUCAAUCCAACUAUUUUCUUCUCAUGUAUGCUUCAUAUUGAGUCUUGUGUUUUGUGCUGAUGUGAGGGAGCAUAUAUACAAAUGACAUUGGAUGUAUGACAUAGGACUAAAUAGAUUUUGAGCUUUGACAAGCUGCUUAUAAGCAUUGUUUCUUAUAGAAGAAACACAUUAUUGGAGAAAGCUUUUGAAUCUCCCAACUAUUGGAUUUGGGUUUCUUUUUGACAAUUUGUUUAUUGUGCUUUUGUUUAGAUGAUGAGAAAGGAAAGUCAAGAAUUAUAUUUACUCGUUAAGUUAAAUGAAGAUAUUUGUAAUUUAAAAAAAUAAAAAUUCAAUAUAAAUUUAAAAUAAGAGUUUAACUAAAAAAUAAGAGUUAGUGGCAAAAAUUAAUAAAAUUUAAAUUUUAGUGGUAAAAUUCAAUAACAUAAAAAUUAAGUUACAAAUUUACUCAUUUUUUAAAAAAAUAACGGCAAAUAUAAAUAAAAAUAAAGUACAGUGACAAAUUUCAAUAUUUAUCUAUAGUAUGAUGAUAAAUUAUAUAUUUUUAUUAACUUAUAUUUAAUAAUAAUUAUGUUAAAUUAUAUUUUAUAGUAUUAUAUAUUAUGAUUUUAGAAAAUUCAUAUAAGAAUAUUUAAUAUUAAGAAUUUUAUUAAAUCAUAUAUUUUAAUUAAAAUAUAUUUAAUAUUAAUUAUUUCAAAUUAUAUUUUAUAGUAUCAUAUAUUAUGAUUUGAGUAAAUUCAUAUAAGAAUAUUGAUUAUUAAGAAUUUUAUUAUAAAUUAUAUAUUUUAAUUAAAAUAUAUUUAAUAAUAAUUAUGUUAAAAUAUGAUUAAAUUAUUUAUUACUGAUAAUAAUAAUCUUAUUAAAAUUUAAAUAACAAUAACAAUAAUCAUUUACCAAAACAAUUUUAUGCUAAGGGUAUUCUAGUCAUUUUAGUUUUUUCCAUUAUGCUAUUACACCUCUAUUCCAUUCAACCAAACACAAGAUUACUAUUACGCCUCUAUUCCAUUACAUUCAACCAAACAGUGGAUUAGCUAUUACACCUCUAAUCCAAUACACCUCUAAUCCCAAUACACCUCUAAUCCAAUACAGCAAACCAAACGCACCCUUAGAGUGUUGAAAAGUCAUUUGAAUCAUCGGAAAUGACAAAUUAGUCAACUUUAGUGACGGAUUCUCACUGUAUAGUUACGAAAUUCAUUGAAAAAAAACAACGAAAACUGAUAAACGUAAACCAUAAAAUAAGCGUGAAAUAUAUAAAAAAAAUUCUAAUAAAAUCUAACCAUACAAACAAGACAGCUUCACUCUUUGAAUAACGUAUUUUUCACUAUUUAAUUUAACAUAUUUUUUAAUUUGAAUUGUAAUCUCCGUAGCUGCAUGAUUUAGUCGAUGCUAAAAAUUUAUAUUUAAAUUCAUCAUUUAAAAUAUUCUAAUACAUUAACUACGAGAGUUAGAUGAGAUGAUAAUGUUUUUUUUAUGGGCCUUAAAUAUGAAGUGACUUUAAAAUUUAGAGUCAACAUCUAUCUUUUAAUGAACCUACAGAAUACGAAAAAAUUAGUUACUACGCUCGCUCCAGUAGAUACCUUAGAAGAAAAUCUAAUACAUUAGAAUUGAGAUAAAAUAUUGAAAGGGAAUUAAGUAAAUUUCACCAAAGGCGUCUAUUUAUAAUUCAAAGUUUUCAAUGAAAUUAAUAUCUUUCUUUCUUUAUAAUAAUUUAUUGUGCAUGUGUUACAACUUAGGACUUUUGAACUGUGCUGAACAAAUUACUUUUGAACUAUGCGUCCAAACUUAGGACUUCCCAAAUCUUGGGGUGUUACAACCUUUUUUAACUUUUAAAGGGAAAAUUAAAUCUCUCUAUAACCAAAAACUAAAUUUUUCUCAAAAAAUAAAAUUUAUUAUAAAAUAAAAUUGCCACUAUUUUUCGACAAAAUAAUGGUGCUCUCAAAAUUGUGUUAUUUAUAGAGAUAUGGUAUAAGAGUUCUAUUCGAAUAAAGUAUAAUUAAUUUUAUAUAUAUUUUAAUAAAAAAUAUAAAUUCUACUUGGAAGUAGAAUAAGGGGUGGGUAGUGGCACCCCUAGGGUAUUAGGGUUUGUUACUCCUUAUAUUAAACCGGGCCUAAUUUGGGUCUUUCAUGUAUUAGGUACUAUUAUAUGUGUUAUCUAGAUUUUUAACUAAUACUUAUAAUUUAUCCAACCCAAUAAUUAUUUUCUAUUUCUUAAAAUAUUAAUUAAUAACUUAAUUUAAUUAACUAAUUAGUUAAAUUAAUUUCACAAUUAAAUUCUUUUCUCAACCCAAUUCUAAUUUUGUUGAAGUCACACAACUUUACCGUAUUAGAAUCUAGGAGGAAAAAUAUUUAAUUAUCCCUUUCAAUAAAUCCAUGUUGACUAAUUAAAUUAAUUCUAAAUAAUUACAAUUAAUUAAAUAAUAAUAUAAAGAAGUUAAAUUAAUUUAUAAGUCAUCUUUUGUAAUUAGCGAGAAAAUGCAUUCAUUACAGAUAGUAUACAUGCAAUCUAUUUAUCUUAUUUCAUUGUUUUCAUUCAUUUCAUAUAAUUGGUUUUGCAUGCAAUUUGUUUUGAGUUAUCUUGAGCUAACAGAGAGACCAAUUGAACAUAUAUAAUUAUGGCUCAAAUAAUUUGUAAUUAAGUUUCGACUCUUCAUCUAUUAAUUAUAAUAUUAUUUAAUCAUAGAGUCAUUCCACUAAAGUACCAUGAUUGAACACUUCUUUAUUAUAUACUAUUAUAAAAGCUACUAAUUAAGUGUUCAUUCAAAUACCUUGUCAUAAGUAUGUUACUCUCAUAGGAUCUCCUUAAUCUCAUUGAGAUAAACCCGUGCUCCCAUUAUGAUACUGUUUUAUGUCAUGGUAACCAUAAAAUCUUCAUUCAUGAAAAGUCAAUUACUAAUUAAAUAAUUUAUCUCUAAGACAAAUGACCUAUGGUCACAUUACUUUCCAUCUAUCAUCAUUUCCCCUUAAUUGGGCUAUGAAUUUCACUAUUGUGGAAUGAUCCUACAUCAUGCAGAAGUCAUAUACCCAAUGUACCAACUUUUGAUUAUUUAUCUAUUUGAACACCUGUUUUCAUUUACAUCAAAGUAUCCGAGUCACAUAUACAUACUCCCUUAUCCAUUCAAUUAGCCAUUCAAUGUUAAAGUAUAUCACACUAUGAAUGUCAUAAGUGACUAAAUCCAUAAAUGGAUCUAGAAUUUAUUCUACUUGGUUAUUGUUCGAUGUACUAUCUCAACCACAUCUAUGUCUCUAUUUUUUGAAAAUCAUCCACUCCAAUAUCUGAAACAAAAUAUUUCCCUAAUUAAACUUGAUAAAAAAAUAAUAAUCAAUCAACCAAUUUAAUCAAUUCCGAUCAUUCCAUUUAAGAAAUAAUUAUUUUGAAAUUGACUACUAAUCCUUUAAGAUUGGCUACAAAUUUGAUGAUUUUUAAGCCGCAAUUAAUAGUAAGUAUUUUAUAUGUCAAACUUAAUCAAAAUUAAAUAAAUAACGAGUUCAAAGUUUAUGUCAAUAAACUUAAAGUGGUAAGGGAUAGUGGAUUUUUUUUAUCUUAAUUCCAAUAUUUAUAAUUCGUCCUACUUUUAUAUCACAUAUUCUUUUAUAUAAAAAAGUAUAUAAAAAUAAGUAAAUAUAAAAUAUAAAAAAAGAAUAUUUUUCAUAAUGGAAAGCUUGAAAAGAACUUUAUUGAAUUAAUAGAAGGUAAUGAGUACAAAGACAAUCGAUUCGGACUUUCUUUGAUAAUAUAUAUGAAUAUUAUACAACAUUAUUAAUUAGAACUUAAUAACUAUUUCUUAAGGAAGAUGCUUGAAGAGGAAAAUUUAAUAUAAAUUUCAAAGUGCAAUUGGUUCAAUAAGCAAUGAAGUGAUUCCACCCUUAGCCGCUUUUCCAACAUAUGUAUAUCCAUCUCCUUCCCUGUAAAGUACAUCCAUCACCCUUGCAAGGUUUAGGCUACGAUUUAAAACUUCUGUUGGCAUUUCUGUUGGUUUCUGAAACUCUUGAUUCACAUUCUUCCAGGCACUCUCAACAUGCUUGUUGAAUACAUCGUAUGCCUCUUGUGCUGAUACGCCAUAUUCUUCCAUGUAACACUCUAUUGCUGAGCAAUCGUCUUCUCUCCUAUGCUUAAACUGCAGCCAUAAUAAAAUCAAAAUUAUUCUAUCACUAUAUACCCUAAAAUCUAUCAGUUUAUUAAACUACCUUUGUUUGUGACGAUAAAAUACAUUUAUUGACAAUACUUCCUCACUAAAAGCCCUAAAAUGAAACUAGAUUUCUUUUUUUAUUCUUCAAUUUGAGGCUAAACAUUUUAUAUAUAAACAUUAAACUUUAAUUUUUUUUAGAUCAUGACAAAAACCAUCGUUUGAUUUUGUUACAAAGACAUUGAAUUAUUUAGUUAAGAGUUUGGUUUCUUGUGGUUAUCUAAAUAUAUUAUUAUACCUUGUGUUCCGCAACAUCAUCCAUAAACCUACAAAUAAUUGUGGAAGCUUGAAUGAUCUUAGGGUCAUUGGCUGCCCAUUUAAAGGUCUCUGGUGUUACGAUAUCUCCCAUGCCGACGAAAGAUGUAAUAGCAAGCAUGGCAUAACCACAAGUUGGCAAUGCAUUAGCCUUAAACUCUUCGAAUGAUGGUUUGUAGUUUUGAAGAGUCCAUCUGGCCUCCACAAGAUAAGAUUGAGCAAGUCGUAUCAUCUGAGGCGACAAAAUCCCAACAAUUAUCACUAAUAUCAAUUCAAAUUCGAUAAUAAUAUUUAAAUGAUUAUAUAUUGUUAUUCGAGUUAGUUGUUUAUUCAAAUCUAGAAUUUAGCUAAGAUCUUAUCUCUUUUGUACAAAAUAAAUGUUUGUUGAUGUACAUACCGCAUUUUUCGCAUAUUCGACACGAUAUUGUCUCCCAUGCUCAGCCACCAGUUGUUCCAUUUCUUCAUAAACAUCUAAUAGUGCCUUGUAGCUCGGCUUCAUGUAUUCAGGAAGUUCAUCUAUGCAUUUGAUAUCCCACCUGAAUCCAACUUCAACGUUAUAUUUAAUCAUUCCUCGUAAUAUAUUAUUGAAUGUUAACUUCAACUAAAGAAACCUAACCUAUUACCAACAAAAUUAAAGAAAUCUAACCUCUCAAUUGCAUUUGUAUAUGGAAUGAGCUCUUCAUAUGUUGCAUAUGAGUCAUAUGUAUCAUCUACAAUAGAUGCCAUUGCUAUCACUUUUGUCAACAUCUUUCUACCAAGUGAAUAUUGGGGCUCAAAGUACACUCCUGAGAUCCAAAAGUAGCCUUCAACCACUCUAUCUCUUGCAUAUGGCAACUUUCUUUGAAAGUCUAAAUCUUUCCACCACCUAAAAAAUGAUAUCAUAAAAAACCCCAUUAGCACAAUGAAUAUUCAAUGUUUCAAUUAGUUUCACAUUCAUGUUGUUAGAUUUAAGUCAAUUGGCAACCUCAAAUAUUAAAAUAUAUAUAAGUAAAAUGAUAUAGGUGAAAAAGAUGAAUCCAAGGUUCAUGCCAUCACUUUUAACUUGUACUAUUUAAUAAGAUUCAAAUAUUAGCAUUUGCAACUUGUCUCCUAUACUGAGAAUGAUGUCUCCAAUAAAUUCAACCCUCCUUCCACUAAUAAAUAAAUAAAUAAAUAAGAUGAAAAAGAAAAAAUGGGUGAAAGAGAUUAAAAAACAUACCUACAAAUCUCGCUUAGCUCUUUCCUAUGCAAAAAUUGUAACAUGUUGAAGUCGAUCUUAGCAAACUCCAACAAAGCCUUAUUAUGGGACUCAAUAUCUUGGUAUACUGAAAGAUAGUGCCUUGCCUCAACCCUUGGCAAGCCUCUUCGAAUUGAUUGUUUCAAAGCAUGAGAAACCUCUUCGGACAAAGGAUGGUCCAAAGAUGAUACUGCAAGGCUUAAAUGGUUGGUGGUGAAAGAAAUUGCUUCAUCCAAUAUAUCUUCCCCAUGAACCCUCAAAUAGGAAGCUUGGUAAAGUUCCAACAAUCCUUGAACAUCGCUUGUCACGGAUGACUUGAAAUUCCCUUGCUCGUCUUUAAACUUGUUGAAUACGUCUGACAUGAAAUUACCCAAAAUGAAACAUCGUUAUCAAACAUUCCAUGCUAUUAUAUUCUCAAGAAACUUAAAAACACUAUGUUUCUGUUCCAAUAAUUACCGCAUGAAACAUUGUAUCCAUGCUCUCGGAGUAGUCGGAAUCGAAGAGAUGUAGUGUAGAGGUCGUUCUCGGCAUCAUUGUUGUUAUGGUAGAUAUUCUCUAGUUCAUCUUCGAUCUCCUUGGUGAAAUGGUAACUCACACCCAGUCUUUGGACUGAAUCAAUGAAGGCUAACUUUUGGGUCGAAUUAGCCAUUGGUGCCACAAUCAUCUUCCUCACUUCUUCUUUCAAUUGUUGGUGGCGUUUUUCAGUUCCAGCAUCAAUAUUCUGCUCAAAACAAUGAAAAUUUUCUUCAUAUUGAAUCACUAAAUAAUUAAACAAAUAAUAUGUUAAGAUUAUAUCAAUAUGGUGAUAUGUAUGUAUACCUUGUCGGGACAAUUGAGGAAGAAAUCUCCCCAAAUGCUAGGCUGAAAAUCGGCUUUGGGACGGAUUUCAUCCUUAUUGGAAGAAAGGGGUGAUGAAGAAGGCAUUUGAGAAACUUGAGAAGCCAUUUCGAUUGAUCAAAAGCAGAUAUUGAAAAGCUGAAUUUGCAGCCUUUUCUUGGUUUGCUCUUGAAAUUUGGCACAGAAUUUGUGUGAGCAUAAGAGUGCAAUUGUUGCAUGUAUUUAUAGGUAAGAAAAAUAGUGGUGAUAUUUGAAGUCAAAAAAGGAGAACUUAAAUUCAAGAAAACAAAGUGCAUGAGAAAUACAAAUAGAUUAAAAGAAAUGUUGAUUUGUCUUUUGUUUGAUUCUUUUGAUUCAAAGUUGAUGUCUGUAAAAAAUGUUUAAAUAUCCUCUAUUUACUUUAAACUUUUGCAGUUCGAUCAAAAUGUUUGAGGGCAUGAAUGAUAUUUAUUCUUUUCUCUGCUUUUGACAUACUCUUCACAAAACUUUUGUCCAGUAAUCUUAUAUUAAUUUCUUAGGAAAUAUGAUUGGAAAGAAAGAACAAUACGACUCUAUAGUAUUCAAAAUACUGACUUAUUUUGAUAUAAAGUUUUAAAAUUUUACUUUAAAAAAAUGUUUGUCAUGUUUCUUUUAAUCCUUAGUGAUCAAAUGUAUUUGUUUACUUGUUAUCAUUUUAAAAUAAAUAAAUUUGUUACUUAUUUGACCCACUCUCUUUAGGAUAUCAGAAUUGUUUUUAAAUGGAUGAAUUUAAAAACUAAGAAAAGAAAUUGUUUAUAUGUAUCAUUCUUAAAAUUCUAAACAUCAAAUAUUUUAUAAUUAUUUUUUUAAAAAUUAAUAAAAAUAAUAACGAAGAGAUUAAAAAUUAAUAAAAAUUAAAGUAGUUUUAUACACUUUUAUAAUUAUUUAUAUAAUUAAUAUUUUAACGAUAAAACCGUUAUGUUUUAUGGUUUAUUCCUUUAAAUCAUGCAUAAUAAAUUUUAUAUAAAUUUAAUUUAUUUUAUGUAAAAAAUUCAACCAUCAAAUAUAUAUUAAAUAUAUUAAGUAUUUUUUAUAUGAAAAUAAAAAUUGAAUGAAGUCGGUUAAGCAUCUGAAAGUAUUUGCCUUUCUUUUCUGCCUUUUUACAACUGAUUUUUCAUGGAUUUUUAUAGAGCAUGUCAGGUUUGACCAAGGAUUUGUUUACAAUUCACCAUAAACACAUUAGACGCAAUGUUCUCAAGCAUAAUACAAGUUAAGCUGAUGUAAGGAACAUGUAGUGAUUCAAUGCAUAUAUAGUUUAUUCAUGAUGCAAAUGCAAUUAUAAAUUUAAUUUCCAACCUGUCCAUCUUAAUCGCCAUCAAGCAUCGCUCGACACACCAAAACACAUAAAAAAAACUAACCAUCUCGGAUUUGAUUUCCGAUGACGAUGGUCGUUCACUUGUCAUAUGUGACGAUGACUUUUACAACAAUAACUUACCAUCUCAGUUACCCGAUUUUUUAUGGCUUUUUAAACUAUCAUCCUGAUUUAUCCAGUUUUGAUGACAUAGCCACCUACUCUGUGCAAUACUGACUUUUGGUGUGGACUUGAAUUGCCACUAUCUCCUAUGGAACUCCUUCGACCUUCUUACCUAAAUUCAUGUAAUUAUGCACAUACAAUUAGCAUAUUAUGCUAUUUAUCAUCUUUCAAUGCUUCAUUUGAUAUUUCAUACUAUCAUUUAAUGGCAUGUGAUCAUUCAUUCAUUCCCAUCAAUUUCACAUAUACAAUUAAUUUAAGUGAUCUAAAACAAUUUCACAUAUACAAUAUCUUCAUGCGUAUUAACAUUCUUAGUUCGGCUAACACAUACAUAAGCAGGGUUUGCACAUACAGGGUUCUCACAUAUAGGAUUGCACAUAUGGGUUAGCGCAUGUAGGGUUUGCACCUAGGGGUUCGUACAUGUAGGGUUUGCACAUAUGCUACAGUUCACCUAACAGAGUUCGCACAUACAGGGGGGUUCGCAUAGUACCUAGGAUUUUCAUGAUAUGCAAGCUUUGCAUAUUACCUAAGGUUCACAUGAUAUAUAUAGCUCGUAUAGGACCUAGGGUUUGCAUGAUAUACUCGAUUCACAUAUUACCUAGGGUUUGCAUGUUAUAAAAAGCUCGCAAAGUAUGUUUAGGGUGCGCAUGAUAUAUAUGCCUCGCGUAAUAUAUAUAGGGUUUGCAACUUAAAUCCUAUACUAAAAAUCAUGAGGGUUUGCAUAUGUAUAUACAAGCUACAGUUCAUCUAUAGGGGUUCGCGUAUAGAGGUUCGCUCACAAGCUCACACACAGGGGGUUUUGCACACGGGGAUCACACACAGGGCCCGCACAUGCAAGGGGGUUCGCAUAACAUGGGGGUUGCAUAGCAGACUUAUUACUUCCUAACACUACAGUUAAUCAUAUAUAAUGAUUUAUGUUUAGAUCCUACACCUGAUUCGAAGACACAAAAACCUUAAUUUGGAUGAGGAGAAUGAUGUUCUACUUGGGAGGAGAGGGACGAUUUUGGAAACCUUGGAUUUCUUUGCUUGAAAAUUGAUUUGGUAAUGAUGGAGAAAAUGAAGAACUUGAGAGUUUUCCUUGAAAAAUUGACUAGAUAAAAUUUCUAGAGUUUUGAAAAGAUUUCCUAAUUAUAAAACUCUUUUUCCCUAAUUGAAAUAGGUUUUAGGAUUCCAUGGAGAAGCAAGACUAUUUUAAAUUAAGGACUAAAUUAGAAAAUAAAAUUUUUUGGUUUGGGCUAGUUUGAAAAUUCGGCACUUUUAUGGGGUAAAAAUAAGAAAAUAAAAUAUUUUGCUUGAAAGGUGAACAAUAGAUUUCAAACUUGAGACCCAAGAGAAAGCUAAGGCCUUACCAAUGAACUAGUAGACUAAUUCUUGUUAAUUUCUUAUCAAAAAUAAUUUUUAAGGCGUUCUAAAUUCUUUUACCCUAUGCUUAAAAAAAUAAAAUCUAAAUUUUAUCCCUAUUUCUUUUAGCCUUAUUUUUGGGAAGUGACAAUACUCAAAUUUACAAUUUAAUUCAUGUUUUAAGUAUGCUCCACAUUAUAUCCUAAUUGACAUUUAACACUUAAAUUAACUACUAUGCUAAUGGAAAACCUAUUUGAUACCAUGUAAAUAACAUAUUUUGAAGUUUAAAACUAAUUAAGAAUUGGCAUAAUGUCAAAUUUAUCCCUUAAUGUUUACAUUUUUUUAUCAAUUUGGCUCACGACCUUUAAAAAAAAUCAUAUUUGACCAUCAACCUUUCAAAAAAAUUUAAAUUGUUAUUUUUUUAACGGAAAUAUUAGCUAGACAUUAGGUUUUUAGACAUGACAGCUCGCAUAACAAUCCGCAUGUACUUCAUGCUCUCGUUUUUUUUGGAAUUUUUUAUAAUUUAAAUUAUUUCUUGGUGUGACAUAUAAGAUAAAGUGUCAUGUUAGCAUGAAGUACACGUGGAUUACCACACGGGUUGACAUACCAACAUCGUUAAAAAUUAAGGUUUUAAUCAAUAUUUUCAUUAAAAAGUGAUUUGACAAUUUUUUUAAAAAAAAUUGAGGGCCAAAUUUAUAACUCAAAAAAGAAUAAGAACCAAACUGAAAAAAGAUAUAAACAAUUUGACAUUAUACCUUAAACAUAUUGACAAUAAUUUAGAGACAAUUGAUUGAAUUAGCUCAAAAUAAUAUAAGAUAAUGUAAAUGAUAAAACAAGGAUUUCAAUUUAAAAUGGAUUUAUAUGUGAUGCAUUACCGUAAAAUGAAUAUAAAGAAUACAAAAGAAAAAAUUCAUUUAAAUUUUAGAAAUAUGUCCUCAAUUCACUAGCAACAUAUAAAAAGAUUAUAUGAUGAUUGUUGGGAAUCGAUCCGAUUAAGCAACAAACAAGUAAAAAAUAGCGGAAGCAAUUGAGAAAUUGAACACACAAAUUUAACGUGAAAAAACCCCUCCAAAGAGGAUAAAAAACCACGGACAAAGAUAAUUUUACUAUAAUGGCAAAAAAAUAAAAAUUACAAAAGAUGGAGAUAAAAACUAAACCCCGAAACCUAAAAAAAAGAACCCUCAAAAUGUAAAUACAAAAUUCUCCAAAAGUGUAUGAGUUCUAAUAUUUUAAUGGGUGUUUUUUAUAAUGUUGUAAAAGAUCCUAUUUAUAGGCUAAAUUCGUAGGUCAAAUAAUAAUAAAAUAAUCUAGACUAAUCAAAAUUUAACUGAAACAAAUAAACAGGGUUUAACUAAGAGAUUAUCUCUUAAAUUUAACUAUAAGUCAUACUCAACAAUAAUAUUAACCAUUUCAAAAUUACUAUAGAAAUGCUGAAAAUUCUAAGGAUUAACAAGUUUUUCUCUCAUGUAACUUCCUUUUCCAAGAUAACUUAAUUUCCAUAUUCAAAAUUAAGACAAACCAACCUAUUAAACAAAAUACUUUUCAAGUGUAAAUAUUCAUAUUUUAUCAUUUCCAAACAAAAGAAUUUAAAUAAUUAUAUUCAUAUUUUAUAUUUAAUGCGAAUUAAGUGUAAAUAUUCUAAAGGAGACGUACUAAGACCAAUGUUUCUUAAUAAUAAAUAUACAGCAAAUAGAUUUUAUUAAACUUAAUCUUGGACCGGUCAAAAAGAAAUUACGUAUUAUAUUCGGAUUUGAUUUAAUUUCAAUGCACGAAUAAAAUAAUAAUAUAAUAAUAACAGCUUAAAAAGACUGCUAAGGAUACUUAAUGAUAGAAGUCAUGCAUGAUUUAUGAUUCUCACCCAUGCUUCGUGUUGAUUAUUUAUUCUUUUAAUUAAAUUAUUAUAUUUCAAGUUUUUGAAAUAAAAUAUUUAAAUUAACUAAUGAUAUUAAAAAGGAUGAGAAAUCAAAUUAUAAAAAAUUAAAGUAUAUAGAUUAAAUUUAAAAUUUGAGCGAAGUAUACGAAUCAAAACUAAAAUUUAACGACUCUCAUAUAAAGAAAGCUAGUAGGAUUAGAAAAACUUUUAGCCAUUGGUUUAUAAUAUAUAUAAUGCGUAUUUUGUACAUUAGUAGUGUAUUUUUUUAAAAUUUCACAAACAAUCUUAAAAAUUAUAAUGUGUAUUUUUUUAAAAAAAUUACUAUAUUCUUAUAAGAUACUUGUCAAUCUUUAACCGAUUUUACAAAAAGUAUAAUAUUAUAUAUUUUUCCAAAACAUUAUAUUCAUGAAUAACAUGCUUAAAUCAUUGCAAUCUCUUUAGCCUUAAUUAUUCUUUUUAAGUCAAAAGAAUACAACCUUUAAUUAAUAUAUAUAUAUAUAUAUAUAUAUAUAUAUAUAGGUUUUUAAGUUGUUUGUUCUUUUCUUUUUAUUUUUUAUGGUACGUCAUUUAAUGUCCACUAUAGUCUAUCUAGUUGAUAUAACCUUUCUUAUAGCAAAUAUAGUUUCUUUUUUAUAAUUUUGGGACACCAAUCACAAAUUAUCCAUUGUUUUAUUUUAGGGUAAAUUACAUUUCAAGUCAUCCAACUAUUAGUAAUUUUCUUUUUUUAGCCACCCAAUUAUGAAAAGUUACGAAGUGGUCACUCAACUAUUUGGUUUUUUCGUUUUUGGUCACUAGUCGUUGAAUGAUUGGAUAAAAGGUGGCGUAUAACUUUUAAAAUUGGCAUAAUAGAAACUUUAGCACUCAACAUUUAUACAUUGUGACCCUCAGUGUUUACACAUUAUGUAAUUUGGUAUUUUUUUCUUUGUUUUCUUUGUGACCCUUUCACCUAAUAAGCUAAGAAAAACAAUCUAUCAACUAAAUUUAAUUGGAAAUAUAUCAAAAACGAAAACACCCAAAAUCCAAGAUAAUAAUUUUCAUAUUUUCUCAUUCUUUUAAAAUUAACCCUCAAUGUCACAAAUAAAAGUAAAACUGCAAAAAAAAAAUUACACAAUGUGUAAAUGUUGAGGGUUAAUUUUUUUUUGAAUUAAGACUAAAUUGACACAAUGUAUAAAUUAAUGGCCGGUAGUUGGUUGACCAAAUAGAAAAAAGUUGAAUAAUUAUUGACCAUUUUUGUAACAUUUCAUAGUUGCAUGACAAAAAAAAAAAAUACUAAUAGUUGAGUGACUACCAAUGUAGUUCUUCAUUUAAUUAUCAAAUAAUUAUUUUCUAUUAUUUGAACUUAUUGAAAGAAAUUAAUUUUAAUUACUAAAAGGGUAAACUACAACAAUAGUCACCAAUUAUGCCUUCGGUUCUAUUUGGUCACCUGACUAUUGAUUUUUUUUCCAUUUUGCCACUCAAUUUUUUAAAAUUAAAUAUUUUAGUCACUCUCUAGUUAGUUGUUGUUAGAUGAGUGGUGAAAAGCUCGGUAAGCCCUUUUUAUUGAUCUAAUAACAAAUUUAGCUUCCAAUAUUUACAUAUUCUAUCAAUUUGAUCCUAAAUCUAAAACAAAAUCAACAAAAUUAGCCCUAAAUGUUUACAAAAUUUGUCAUUUUAGUUUGAAUUCUAAAAAAAUUAAUAAAUUUAGCCAUCCCAGAAUUUGUCAGUUCUAAUUCUAAAAAUUUCAAUAGAAAAUUGGAAAGUAUUUAAAUUUUUUAAAAUAUUCUUUAACCCAAAAUAUAUUAAACAAGAAGAGUAUUUAACACUAUUUGUAUUGUGCUCUUUUUAAAUUAAUAUCACCUUUUUGAAUAUGGUAAAAAAUCAAAUUGACUUAAAUCCAACUAUUUUAGUGUCAUAUUUUAGAUUAAUAUCAUAUCAUCUAAGAAUCAAUUCCUCUAAAUAGAUUAACAAUUCUUUAAACAAUUACAAAUUAAUUAUUUCCAUGUUUUUCUUAUUUAAAAAAUGUACAAAAUACUUAAUAUUCAAAUAGAGGAAACAAUGAAAUGCGAAAUCUUUCAAAACAUGAAAAACAUAGAAUAUUUGUUUUUUUUCGCCUUUUUUUUUACUUGGACAUAUCAUCAUCAGUAACUUUCAAAUUUGGGUAGAACGUGUAAAUAUUAGAAGACUAAAUUUAUUAUUAGGCCAAUAAAGAAACUCACAUCAGCUUUUCAUUACUUAUCUAACGGCAAUUAACAAGAACGUAACUAAAAUAUUUAAUUUCAAAAAGUUAAGUGAUUAAAUUAAAAUUUUUAAUAAUUGAAUAAUUAAAAUAAAUUGAAAACCAUAGUUGAGUGCUAUUUUUAUAAUUUACCUUUACUAAAAUUAUCAAUAGAUGCGGCGGGUAUUAACUAUUGCACACCAAUCAGUUUCAACAUAAAUACUAAACGUAAAUAAUACAAAAGCAUCAAACUCGAAAUCAAAAACAUUAAAUCUAAAACUCGAAACUUGGAAAAAAGUUACGGGUUUUUCUAGUGUAAAUUUUUUUAGUGAAUUACAAUAACAGGGUAAAGCUCAAACAACAAACACCACUAGUGCAACUCGAACCUCAGCCACACUUGAAGUGGUGAAUACCCUUGACUUUUGAGCCAUCACAUCGGGUUCUCUCACGUACAAUUUUUAUUACCUUAAAAUUUUCUUAUUAAAUAAUAAUUAAAUUAUCCUUGAAGAGUUUAUGUGCACAUUUAUUAUUUAUAUGAAAUUCAAAAGUAAAAUAUUCCAUAGUUUUCAAUAACACGAUGAAAAUAAAAAUAUUAAUAUGUAUUAAUUUAUGAGUCGUUUUAUUAGUUUUUUUUUUCAUCUAAUAGAAGGACAAAUCGAAGAAAAAAGAACUGAAUUAAAUACAGUCUUGAACAAUUAGUAUUUGCUUUUAAAACAUUUAAAUUAGAAUUUAUGUUUCUAUUUAAAUUUUUUGUAUCAGUAUCACUCAUUAAUCAAACAUCAAUUCGAUUAAAAAAUAAUUAAAAAAUAUUAUUUAUAUUAUGAGUAUUCAUUUUUAUCCAGGCUAAACUUAAUUUUAAAGUCACUUUCAAUAAAUCUGAAUUCUAGGGUUAAGUUUAAUUUGAAAAAUCUAAGUUGACUGUUGCUACACUUUCAUAGCUCGAUUUUAUUUUGGAUUUUGACUAUUAAUUUUUUAGUUUAGAUUAUUAUGUUAUUUGUCAGUGUUAUUAACAUUUAAGGGUGGCAUGGCCUCCUGCCUCAUUUUGCAUGGAAAAGCAAAAAAAGGUAAGAAGAAAAAAGAGAGAGGUGACGAGAACAGUGAAGCAUGUAAAGGAGAAAGAAAAGAAGUUUACAAGAGAGGAAGAAGAAGAAGAAGAAGAAGAAGAAGAAGAAGAAGAAGAAGAAGAAAACUACGGAAAAAGAAAGGAGGAAAAGAGAGGAUCUGCUUUGUAUUGUAAUUCUCUUUUGUUUGCAUACGGUGAAAUCUCACUCUAAAUAAACUCAAAUAAAAGGUAAUAUCUUUUGGCUUAAUAUCUGAAAUUUUCACUUUGGUUCUUUUAUAAAAACAUAGAAAAGUAAUAAAAAAACUAAAAAAAUCAUAAUAUAUUUUUCAAAACUAUAUUUUUUUGAAAAAAAAAGUAUAAGCAUGCGAAACUUUGAAAAAAAAGUUAAAAAAAAAAGAGAGUUUCUUUUUGGAAUUUUAGGUUUGUAGAAAAUUUUAGGUUUUUAGAAAAUUUUGGAAUUUUAUUAAAAUUUAGAAGAAAUUUAUGGGAUUUUUUUUUUGGAAAUCCUAAGUAAAAAUUACCAUAAAAUUCUUAAAUUUUUUCAUAAAAUUCUAUAUUUUUAUAAAACCCUAAAUUCAAAAAAGAAAAACAUUUUUUAUAUUUUUAUGAUUUUUUUAUUUUCUUGAAGUUCUGCAUACUUAUAAGUUUAGUUUUUUUUUUAUAAUUUUCAAAAAUAGAUUAAGAUUUUUUAAAAGUUUAUUUUAUAAUUUUCAAAGUUAUAAGAUUUUUUGGGGGUGUUUUUUUAAUAUAUAUAUAUUUGGAAUUUUAAUAUUUUUUAGUUUUUUAUAUUUUUAAAAUUUUUAAGUGAAUUUGAAAUAGAUUAAUAUUUUGAUUUUGUUUUAAAUUUCAGAAUUUUAAGAUUUUUCUGGAUUUAAAAAAAAUGUUUUUUUGGGGAAUUUUAAUGAUUUGUUUUAGUUUUUUUAUAUUUUUUAAAUUUUAAGUGAAUUUGAAAUAGAUUAAGAUUUUAUAUUUUUUUUUGUGGUUUAAGAUUUUUGGGACUCUUUUAAAAAAAUUAUGAUUUUUGUGGAAUUUAAAUGAGUUCUUAUUUUUUUUAAAUAAUUUUUUGUAAAAAAAUAAUUUUUAUAAUUUUCAAAGGUAGAUUAGGAUAUUUUAAAAAAAAAUUCUAUGUUUUCAAAUUUUUGUUAUUUUUGAGAUAUUUUGGAUUUUUAAUUUUUAAGUAAAAUUUUUAAUUUUUUAAAAUGUGGCACAGCAAGUCAUUCGUCGAUUUAAUAUUUUUAAUGAAACUUGCUAAAAGGGCUAAGUUAGUGACGAAAUGGAAAUAGAGAAAACAAUCUGACCAAAAAAUAAUAAAAGGCCAUAAUAAGAAUUUCACUAUAGUACAAAGACCAAAAAUAGUAUUAAGCUUCUUCAUGCAUAACAGUUAAUUUCGAAUUUAGAUUUUGAUUUCGUAGAUAAAAAAUUAUUUUAAUUGAUUUUAAAAUUUUAUUAUAACCAUGAUUUUCUAAAUAACAAAUCACAGUUAAAUAAAAAAAAUAUGUCUAUGUUAGAAAUUUUAUUAGGGUUGGUUUUGAUGAUGUUACAUAGCCAACUUUUCGCUAGAAAUUAAAGCGCAAACUGAUCGAAUUUGUACCAUUUGCUUCAAGUCUUCUCUUUUCUACAAGGGAUGGUUGAGGGUUUUUCAUUUGGAUGCACAAAAAGUAAUCUUUUACGAUCUGAAAGUUUUAAGUAAAUAAAAAAAAUGACAGUGAAAAUCUUCAUUCUUUUAGAUGAAGAAGAUGAGGGGGAUUUUUUAAAAAUAAUUUUCAGAUUUUCAACAAAAUAUUUUUAAUUUUAUUUUUUUUUUUCAAAUUUGAAUGAUUUUAAAUAUAUAUAGUAUUGAGAAUUUUGUUAGAGUUGAGUGGUUCGGAUUCUUGUUAAAAUAAAAUAUAGUGGUAAAUUAAAAUAAAAGUAAAAUCCAAUAGAAUUAUACUUCUUUUAUUUUGCAUUGAUUAGAAAAAGGUUUUUCAACAUUACUACACUUCAUCUAUUUGACAUUGAUUAAAAUAAGGUUUUUCAACCUAUAAAUAGAUAUAGUCUAAAUUUCUCUUGUAUCAUUCGAAUUCGACAUUAGUGAAUUUUCUUCUCCUCUACCGUGGUUUUUUUCUCGAAAGGGUUUCCGCGUAAAAUCUGUGUUUUCUUAUUUUUCUUUCUUUUGCUUUGUGAUUGUUUUAUAUUGUCAUUGUCGACGUUCAACUUUUACAAACUGGUAUCAAAGCUUUUCGGGUUGUUUGUCUCGAUCAUGGUAAUGACGACAUUGAAGUAUGAUAUUCGACUAUUGGAUCACAACACCUGGUUCGCAUUAUGGAAGAUAAAGAUGCAGCCAGUUCUUGCACAAAUGGAGUUAGAGGAUGCCUUGCUAGGGGUAGAUAAGAUGCCUUCGACAUUGACGGAGGAGGAGAAGAAACAUAAAGAUCGAAAGGCUUUAACACAAUUACAUCUACAUUUGUUGAAUGAAAUUCUACAGGGCGUGAUGAAUGAGAAGAUCGUUGGUGCAUUACGGGCAAAGUUGCAACAACUAUACAUGUCGAAAACCUUAACUAGCAAGUUGCAUAUAACCAGCGUCUUUAUGCUCAUCAUUUGGAGGAAGGUGCGUCUGUGCACGAACACUUAACUGUGUUUAAAGAAAUUCUUUCUGACCUAGAGGCCAUGGAGGUUUAGUAUGACAAAGAAGAUUUAGGUUUAAUUCUACUUUAUUCGUUACCCCCGUCUUAUUCAACCUUUACAGAUACGAUUUUGUAUAGUUGUGAAUCUAUCACAGUUUAUGAACUCUAUGCUUCUUUAACAUCGUAUGACAAGAUGAAACAUCCUGUGGUUGGAUCCGACUCUCAGGGAAAGGGUCUCAUUGUUCGUGGGAGACAAUAACAAAAUACUAAUGAUAAUCAUCAGAGGACAUAAGAGCAAAAUCCUCGCAGUAAAUCUAAGGGUAGAUCAAGAUCUUCAAACAAAGGUAAAACCUGUGACUUCUGUAAGAAGAAAGGGCACAUUAAAUCUAAGUGCUAUAAGUUGUAAAACAAGAUCAAAAGGGAGACUGUGAAUCAAAAGGGAAAACAACCAGAACAAUCCGGUGAAGCUGAUGUAGCAGAAAACUACAGUGAUGGUGAACUUCUAGUUAUUUUUGCCAACAAAUUUAAAGUGAGCGAGGAGGGGAUCCUCGAUUUUGGUUGUACGUUCCAUAUGAGUCCAAAUCGAGAUUGGUCUACAACAUAUAAAACUAUGUCUGAAGGUGUUGUUUUGAUGAGAAAUAAUGUUUCAUGUAAAAUCGCAGGUAUUGACAUGAUCAAAAUUAAAAUGUUCGAUAGAGUUAUCAGAACACUUAGUGGCAUACGACAUGUACCAUGAUUGAAGAGGAAUUUGAUUUCGUUGAGUACUCUUGAUUCAAAAGGGCACAAGUACAUAGCUGAAAGUGGAGUUCUAAAGAUUAGUAAUGAUUCCCUUGUUGUGAUGAAAGGGCAGAGAAAGAUUGCCAAGUUAUAUGUUUUGCAAGGUUCUACUGUUACUGGUGAUACAGCCGUCGCGUCCUCUUCCUUGUCAGAUGAUUAUGUUACUAGACUUUGGCAUAUACGUCUAGGGCAUAUGAGUGAGAAUAGCGCGGCAGAAUUAAGCAAAAGAAGACUUCUUGAUGGACAAGGCAAUAGCAAACUGAAGUUUUGUGAGCACUGCAUUUUUAGGAAGCAAAAGAGAGUUUGAUUCACUAGAGGAAUCCAUAACAUGAAGAGAAUGCUAGAUUAUAUUCAUUCUGAUCUUUGGGGACCAUCCAGAGUGCCUUCGAAGGGUGAUGCUAAUUAUAUGCUGACAAUCAUUAAUGAUUUUUGCAGAAAAGUGAUGUGUUUUUUGUGUUUAAGACUUGGAAAACUAUGAUCAAUAAGCAGACAGGAAAAUAGAUAAAACACCUUCGUAUAGAUAAUGGCUUGGAAUUAUGUUCUGACGAGUUUAUUAAAUUGCGCAAAUCAAAAGGAAUCAUGCGACUCUUGGCAGUUUGUCAUACUCCACAGCAAAACGGCGUUGCACAAUGGAUGAAUAGAAUAAUCAUGGAAAAGGUUUCAUGUAUGUUAUCAAAUGCUUGUUUACCGAAGUCGUUUUGGGCUGAAGCAGCCUGUAUUACAUGUUUUUUGAUUAACCAGUCUCUGUUUGUUGCCAUUGGGAAAAAGGCUCCACAAAAGGUAUGGUCUGGUAAUCCUACUGAUUAUUCUAAUUUGAGGAUUUUUGGGUGUCCUUUGUAUGUUCAUGUUGAUAAUGGGAAAUUGGAACCUAGAUCCAUUAAAUGUGUUUUUUCUUGAUUAUAAGGCUGGUGUUAAAGGAUAUAAAUUAUUGUGUCCUGAAAAUAGAAAAGUUGUGAUUAGCAGAGAUAUUAUUUUUUAUGAAACUGCUAUGCUACCUAACUUAUCUCUUAAAGACUCUUCCAAUAGAAACCAGGAAAAACAGGUGGAGCCUCAGAUAGAUCCAGGAUCUAUAACAGAGUCUACUUCUUAAGUUAGUACAGAAACUUAGAGUAGAGUUGUUCUUCACCACAGUAUUCUACUACCAAGAAUAAACCUAGAAGAGAAAUUAAACCUCCAAAGAGGUACGUUGAGGUCGAUCUAGUUGCUUAUGCUUUAAAUGUGGCUAAAGAUAUAGAUGCAAAUCAAAAGCCAUCUACUUAUUCUGAGGUAAUUAAUUAUGAAGAUUUAAGAAAAUGGAUGAUUGCCAUGCUAGAAGAGAUGGAAUCGCUCUAUAAGAAUAGAACGUGGGAUCUAGUGAAAUUUCUUAAAGGUAAAAAGGUUGUACGUUGUAAAUGGGUGUUCAAAAAGAAAUAAGGAACUCCAGGAGUUGAAGAACCCAUAUAUAAAGUAAGGCUGGUUGCAAAAGGUUAUAGUCAGAUUUCAAGUGUAUACUUUAUAGAUAUGUUUUCUCCAGUUGUGAAACAUACUUUGAUUCGAGCCUUGUUUGGUAUUGUGGCCAUGUAUGAUUUGGAGCUUGAGUAGUUAGAUGUAAAUACAACGUUCUUGCAUGGGGAAUCUGAAGAAGAUAUUUACAUGCAACAACCAAAGGAUUUUACUUAUCAGAAAAGGAUGACUAUGUUUGCUUGUUGAAAAAGUUCAUUUAUGGCUUGAAACAGUCACCAAGGCAGUGAUACAAGAGGUUCGAUUCUUUUAUGACUACUCAUGAUUUCAAAAGAAGCAACUUUGAUAGUUGUGUUUAUUUUAAGAAAAAAAGGGAUGGUUCUUUUGUGUAUCUACUCUUCUAUGUUGAUGACAUGUUGAUAGCAGCCAAUAGUCUGUAAAGGAGAGAUAAGAAAGUUCAAAGCCCAACUUAAUAAAGAAUUUGAGAUAAAGGGUUUGAGAGCAGUAAAGGAGAUACUUGAGAUGAAGAUUCUCAGAGAUAGAAAAGCGUGUAAAUUGUACCUAAGUUAGAAAUGGUACAUUGAGAAAGUUCUUUGCAGGUUCAAUAUGCAGAAUGCCAAGCCUAUUAGGACUCUAUUAGCAACCCACUUCAGACUUUCAUCAGUUUUGUCCUGCAAUCAGUAUUCUAGUGUAGUGGGAUCUCUCAUGUGUGCUAUGGUUUGCUCAUGUCCAGAUUUGUCAUAUAUAAUUAGUGCAAUUAGUAGAUACAUGGCGAAUCCCAAUAAAGAACACUGGAAAACAGUUUAGUGGAUUUUCAUAUACUUAUGAGGUACUACUAAUGUUUGCUUAUAGUUUGGAAGAACUAGAGAUGGAGUCAUUGCGAAUGUUGAUUCUGAUUUUACUGGAUACCUUGAUAAAAGAAGAUCUCUCAUAGGGUAUGUCUUUACAAUUGGGGGUUGCACAAUCAGUUGGAAAGCUACUUUGCAAACUACAGUUGCUUUGUCUACUACUGAAGCUGAGUACAUGGCGAUUAUCGAGGCUUGUAAAAAAACUAUUUGGUUAAAGAGACUCUUUGGUGAACUCAGUAAAGACCUUUAGAUCAAUACAUUGUUUUGUGAUAGUUAGAGUGUCAUCUUCCUUACGAAUGAUCAAAUGUUUCAUGAGAGAACAAAUCAUAUUGAUGUUCGGUAUGAUUUUGUGCAUGAUAUUAUUUUCGUGGUGAUAUUGUUGUGAGAAAAGUUAGUACUCAUGAAAAUCCUACAGAUAUGAUGACUAAGUCACUUCCUAUAACCAAGAAGUUUGAGUCUUGCUUGGACUUGGUUGGUAUUCAUUGUUGAAGAGCACCCUUUAAAGGGUUUUGUGGAAGAGGUGGAGAACUUGUUCGUUAAGAGUUCGUGGUGAAGAACUUGUUCGCUGAGAAUUCAUGUCAAGGUGGAGAUUGUUAGAGUUGAGUGACUUGAGUCCUUGUUAAAAUAAAAUAAAAAUAAAAAUAAAAUUCAUAUAAAACUAUACUUCUUUUAUUUUACAUUGAUUAGAAUAAGGUUUUUUAACCUUACUACACUUUAUCUAUUUGACAUUGAUUAGAAUAAGGUUUUUCAACCUAUAAAUAGACGUAGUCUAAACUCCUCUUGUAUCUUUCGAAUUCGACAUUAGUGAAUUUUUUUUUCUCUACCCGUGGUCUUUUUUUCCCGAAAGGGUUUCCACGUAAAAUUUGCGUGUUCAUAUUUUUCUUUCUUUUGCUUUGCAAUCGUUCUAUAUUGUUAUUGUCGACGUUCAACUUUUACAAAUUUUUUAAAUUGCUAAUUAACAUAGUAUAAAUAAUUUAAAUAAUUUGAGUAAUUGAGUUUAGUUUUUAGAGUCAGAUUUGGACAAGAAUUUUUGCACUUCGAACCGGCCUGACUUGAAUUCAAUUUAAAUAAUAAAAAAUAUUUUAAAAUUAAAAUUUAAUUCUAAAAUUAUAUAAAAUAACAAUUAAAAAUUUAUUUUUAAUAUUUUAUUAAUUUUUAACCCGAAAAUAGACUUAAACUUGAAAAAUAUUUUAAACUAGAUCUCGACUCAACCCAACUUUUAACUCAUAAAUAUCUAAUGAUGAAUUGUUUUCAAUUCUUUGCUUUAAACAUGAAUUUAUAUUUGCAAGUGUACUGCCAUUAUAAUAGUAAAAGCUUUAAAAGAAUGCUUGACUAUUUCAAUAACAUAUUUUUCACAAUUAAUUUAACAUAAUUUUCAGCAUAAUGAGAUAAUUUAAGGGGGGAAAAGGGGCACAUUGAUCAUAUUUUCAGCAUCCAUAAAAAAACAGUAAAAUUAUUGACUUGAAACAUAAUAUACGGACUCCGGAGGAACCCCUUAGACUGAGAGUGUUGAAAAGUCUUUUGGAUCAUUGUAAAGGACAAAUUAGUCAAUCUUAGUGACGAAGAAUUCGUUGAAAUAAGAAAUAAAAAUGAGAAACAUAUAAUAAGAUUUAAUCUAUUAAUUAAUCAUGUGCAACUGUGAUGUGUGUCGGGCGGAGCCAGAGGAAUUGGCAGGAAUUUCGGUUACCCUUAAAAUGAAAAAUUUUUUAUUUAAGGUUUUUUAUAAUUUAUAAAAUUUUAAAUUAGUAAUGAUAAAAUUGUACUUUGACCCUAAAAAUAAUAAAUUUUGAUUUAAUUUUUUAAAAAUUAUAAAGAUAUAAACUAUUAAAAUGAUAAAAUUAUCUUUUUACUAUCGAAACAAUAUAUAAUUUAUUUUCAGGCCCUCUAAAAAGAAUUUUUAAAUUCACCCGACGCUUUAAUUUCAACAUGAAUAUAAUUAUUUAACAUGUGUUUGUUUACUUCAUAUUUAUAAUAAAAAAAAAAGAAAGAAAAAAAAAUGUCGGCUUGACUCUUUAAAUAAGGUAUUUUUCACAAUUAAUUUAACAUAUUUUUUUCAAAUUGAAUUCUAUAGUUGUAUGAUUCAGUCAAUACUAGAAUUUUAUAUUUGGAACUCAUAAUUUUAAAAAAAAUAUUCAAAGGGAAUCAGCAAAUUUCAGUAAAGGCGUCUAGAUUUAUCAAUAAAAUUAAUAUAUUCUUCCCUUAUUGUGCAUUCGUAGUUCUACUAAUGGCAUUAAUAAUUCAUUUGGAUAAACUUUAAAUUCUAAAAAUAACUUUCACUUAUUAUAAUUACUUUUUACUAAUUGAUAGUAAACUUAUCUAAUACUGAGUAAUUAAGUAUUACAUUUUUAUUUAUAUUAAACCAAAUCAAUUAAUUUCUAACACAAUAUAAAAAUUAAAUAUUUAAUAUAUUUUUUAAAUUUGGCAUGUUAAAAAAAAGAAAGAAAUAACGGCUAUUAAAAAAACGUAAUAAUUUAUUUAGCCCUUCAACUUUAUAAAAUGUCAUUUUAAUUUUUCAUUUAAUUUUUCGUCUCUUUUAGCUCUUGAAUUUGCAUUGUUUGUCAAAUCAUCCCAAAAUGGAUGGAAAAAUUAAUGUUUGUUAACUUUAUUACUAUGGCAUCCACGUAUGUGCCACGUUAACAAUUAAUUAAUUUUUAAAAUUUUCAAAAUAUAUUUUUAAAAUUUUUAAAAUGAUUUUAAAUUUUAAAAUAUUUUUUAUAUAUUUUGUUAAACUUUCUAAAUUUUAAAAAUUUUAAUUGUUGAGAUUUCAUUCACAUAGCAAUUUACAUAUAUACCACAUCAACAAAGUUAACAUAUAUUAACUCCUUUCUUUUUAGUAUUUUUGAAUUUAAGUAUUUCCAACAAGCAUGUGGUCAGUUGGUAUAGUUUGAAACUUUUAGAUUUUUAAAAUUUUUCAUAAUUUUUAAACUUAAAAUUUAAUUUUUAUAAAUAGUAUAAAUAUUGUAUAGUAGAAACUUAACAUUAAAUAUAUAUAUAGUUUGGCGUGCAUAUGUAUGAUAUUUUUUUUCUUGAGGUACAUAUAUAUAAUAUUAUAUAGGAUAAAUUAUAAAAAUAUUCAUUUAUCUGUGGUUUAAAUUACAUUUUAGUCAUUGGACUUUAAUUUGUUACGAAAUGGUUACUAACGUUAUCGAUUUAUAAUAUUUAGUUAUUGAGCUAUUAAGUAUUAUUAGUGAAAUAACAGUAAGCUAACGUAAGAUGUUAAGUAAUUAUGUUAGAUGAAAAAUUUAAGUUGAAUUGCAGAACUAAUCACUAUAUAUAUAUAUUUCUUUUUUAUAGUUCCUAAAAAUUUUUAAAUAAAAAUGAUAUAAAAAUUUUAAAAAAACUAAAAAAUAUAUGAAAGGAUUAAUAAUAUAUAAAUAAAUAAAAUUUAAAAAAAAUCCUAUUUUCAAAUCCAAUCCUUUGCUUGAUUUUCGAAAAAAAACUUAGAAAUCCCUAAAAAUCUAAAGUUUAGGCUUUCCACCUUCUGAAAUGGGCUUGUCACUUUUCUUUCUUUUGUUUUCUUCUCAAUUUCUUCAUGUUUUUUAUUGCUAAUGAUGAAUCUUUUAUUCAGAUUUCUCUCUUUUGAAAUGGACUUUUAUUUUAUGAAAGCACGAAAUGACCAUUGAAUGAUGGUAAGGGGAGCUAGAAGUUGAUGCUUUAGUUUAGUUCUGUAGCUAGGAGAUUGAAGGGUUAACUCAUAACGAAGCUUAAAACAUAUUGUUAAAAUUAACGAACACUUUAGCCACAGGAGUUAAAUGAGAUGUUAAGGGUCUCUUCUAUCUUAACCAGUGGUCCAAGGUUCAAUUAUUAUCCUGGGUAUGGAGUAAUUUUAAAACUCGUUGUCCGCAUCUACCCCUUAAUGGACCUAUUGAAUGUGGAGGAUUAAUUAUUAAAUUCACUCGAAUAACUUAGAGAAAUAAAAAAAAAUUGAUGAAACCUUUCUAAUUUGCAGCAAACCCACAAACCCAAGGAACAAAAGUGCUUAUUAUGGCCAAACUAAAUUAAAAUUAAAAUAUAUUGAAUAACCUAAAUCAAUUAUUGAAUAUCUUAAAACAUUUUAAUGUUUACCUAAUUUUUCAUAAUUUCGUAAAUUACUAAAUUUCGUAAAAAUACUGAAUUACUAAAACUCUUAAAGAAUUAUUGAAUUACUGAUAGAAUUCCUUAAGAAAUUAGAUAAAUAAAAAAUGUCAUAAUGGAUUCAGUAAUAGUUGAAAUUUUUUUUGGUAAUCAUGUAAGUAAUUCAGUAAUUAUUAUAAAUUCAGUAAUUUUAAAAAAGUUUUAGUGUGGGCUACUUAAAAUACUGAAUUUGCUACAACAUUGUAACAUUUUCAAUAAAUUAUUGAAUUUCUUACAAUGUAAAUUACUAAGUCUUUUACAAAGCUACUUAUAUUAGGAAUACAGAUUUCUUGUAAUAUUACUAAAUAUUUAAUAAUAUUACUGGAUUUUUUACUUACAACUCAUGAGAAGAUUAUUUCUAAACAACUUUUUUUUAGAAAAUUUCUAAAACAGAAAUGGAAAUUUCACAAUGUGGGUCAUUGUAUUAUGAAGUAAAAGACUAAAUUAAUUCAUUAAUUAUUGUUAGAGUUUGUGUGACCCAAAUCCCGUCAUUUGUUGAAGAACUAUGUUUAUUCUAUUUGAUAUUGAUUAGAAUAGGAUUUUUUAACCUUUUUAAUAGAUGUAGUCGAAAUUUCUCUUGUAUCAUUCGUUUUUCAACAUUAGUAAAUUUCUUCUCCUUUGUCCGUAGUUUUUUCCCGAAAGGGUUUCCACGUAAAAUCUGUGUUCUUUUUUUUUCAUACUUUGCGAUCAUGCUAUUGUCAUUAUCGACGUUUAUUAUAACAAUUAUAAAAGUCAACAAUUUUGUCUCUAGACAUUUUCGCUUUGCUUGUUGGAGUGGAAAGAAAAUUGGAAAGAUGGAAAAUUGAAGGGGUUGAAAAUUAGAAGGAUGGAAAACAUAAAUUUUCUUUCCAUAGGUGUGUUUGAUAGGAGAAAUGAAAAAGUGGAAAAACAAAGUAAUUUUCUUUCCCUCUAUUGUUUGAUAGAGAUAAAAAAUGAAAUGAAAGAAAAUAGCAUAAUUUUAAAUUAACAUACACAUCUUUAUAAUAUUCUCUCCUCUCAUCUUUCCAAUUUGGAAGGAUUGAUUUCUAUGCAUUAAGAUGAAAAAUGAUUCUCUCCUAUUUUCUUUUCUCUCACUUUUAUUCCCUACGAAGUACAAUUAAAUUUUAUUUUCUUUCCACUUUUCCACUCCUUCCUCCCAUUCCUCUAGUUUUUCAACCAACCAAUAACACCAAUAAUUUUGAAGCAAAAAGGUAAGAUUUAAACAAAAGUAAUCUUAAACAUUAAAGAAUUGGUAAACUACACUUAUAGCCACUCAACAACUAGUAAGUUUACACUUUGGUCACCUAACUAUUCAAAGAUCAUUUAAGUUUACCUCAUUGUAUUUGUAAUGGCCAAAUUUGUUUGUUUGGUUAUGGAAUUCCUUUAUCAGUCCAUGUGGAAGAAUGAUCCUUGGAGUAUUUAUGUAAGUGUUCCAUUGUAACUACUAUAUUAUAAUUUGACACCAUCAUGCUUAUGAUAAUGUGGUGCCUACGUUGUUGAUAUAAUUGAUUUUAUUUGUUCCAUUUUUAUGUCAGUGUGCUUGGGUGGAUCACCCCUCUAUUGCAAUUGAGCAAGAGAUUAUAAAGUGGCCUUCCAUGAGAUAAUGUUUUUGGGCAAGGUGUAAUGUGUUGUCAUUGGCUUGCCUAGAGAGGUGAUGUUGAUGGUGUAGACAUUUUGUUGGUGGAGCUUCUUGGUGAGUUUGAAAGGAGAGCUUUGUAGCACUAAUUCUAAAGGGCAAGUUGAUAAUGGUAGGGCUUAAAGAGGUGAAGGUGCUGUUAGCUUACUAAGAGAGAUAACAGCAAUAUGAAAAAAAAUAAAGGAAAGGGAAAAUAAGAUGAUCAGUUCAUUUAUUCGCAACAUCAAGAACCUAUUAUAUAUGCAAUUACAUAACAGAAAAAACAAGAAAUUAGGCACUAACAUAAUAAGGCUCACAAUAGGACUCACAAUAAGGGAAAUAAUUAGCCAGGUCUGGUGAAUAUGUCAUCCAGCUGAUCUUUACUCUUGCAGCAUUUAAGAUCAACUACCCCAUCAUUGUUAAGAUCUCUCAAAAAAUAGUACUUCACAUCAAUAUGCUUGCUUCUACCAUGUAAUACUGGAUUUUUUGAGAGUCCGAUAACUGAGUUGUUGUCACAAAAAAUUAUUGUGGCUCCCAUUCUCUUGAAUUUCAGCUCCUCCAAGAUUUUUCUCAACGAAAUAGCUUGACAAGCACAAGUUGUUGCAACAACAAAUUCAGCUUCAGUUGUUGACAAAGGAACAAUAGAUUGCCUUUUGGAUGACCAUGAAACAACUCCGAUUUCCAUCAUGAAAACAUAAAUUGAAGUGUUUUUUCUAUCAUCUAGAUCUCCUACAGUCACAGUCAAUGAACCUAAAUAGAUAUUAAAAUUCUCCUUUUUUGUAAAACAACCCAAAAUAUAUGGUUCUUUGCAAGUAACGAAGGAUUCUCUUAGUAACCAAUAAAUGCAUCUCUGUAGGAUUCUCCAUAAACCUAUUGAUCAAACUCACAAAAUAUAUUAUGUCAGGUCUUGUACCAAUCAAGUACAUUAAAUUGCCUACAAUCUGCUUAUAAAAAGUGUUGUCCACUUACUUUCCUUCUUUGCUCAACUUCAAGCCAAACUCAAUGGUGGUGCUUGCUAGAUUGAAAUCCUUCAUGUCAAACUUGCUCAGAAUAUCUUGAACGUAUUUCCUUUGAGAAAAAAAUAUUCCAUUAGUUGAUUGCACUACUUCUAUGCCUAGAAAAUAAUGCAUCAUACUAAGAUCUGACAUUUUAAACUCAACCAUCAGACUUCUUGAAUCCAUUAAACAUGGAACUACAAUUUCCAAUGAAAAUAAGACCAUCAACAUAUAAACUCACAAUAAGUAUUUUCCUUUUAUCACCAGUUUUAAUGAAAAGAGUAGACUCACAAGGACACUUGGGAAAACCAGCUUUCAAGAAAUACGCUUCAAUUCGACUAUACCAAGCAUGUGGGGCUUGUUUCAACCCAUAUAAAGCCUUUUUUCAGUUUAUAAACUUUAUUUUCACUUUCAUGUUUAACAUAACCAGUAUGUUGUUCAAUAAAAACCUAUUCUUUGAGCUCACCAUGUAAAAAUGUCGAAUUCACAUCUAGUUGGAAGAUAGGCCAAGAGUAUUAGACUAUAAGUGAAAUCACCAAUCUGAUUGUAUCAUGCCUUGGAACAGGAGCAAAGGCUUCUUUGUAAUCUACCCCAAACUCCUAUUUAUAACCUUUAGCCACAAAUGUGCCUUAUACUUAUUAACUUCUCCAUUCUCUUUCAACUUUGUCUUGUACACCUAUUUGACACUAAUUGUCUUGUGCCGUUUUGGAAGUUUAGUCAACUUGUAUGUAUCAUUCCUCUCUAUACUGCAAUUUUUUCAUCCAUUGUUUUUCUCCAUUUUGACUCAUUUACAGCACUUUCAAAGGUUGUUAGAUCACAAUCCGCAAAUAAAGCAAAAUGGAUGGUUGGAUCUUCAGUCUGCCCAACGCUGAUUACCUCAAAAUCUCCUAUCCAAGCUGGUCUCCGUCGAAUAUAGCUAGGAUGAGGUUCAACUACUUCUACUUCAAUGGUUAUUAGAGUAUUAUUUGGUGAACUCUUAAGAUUAAGUGUUGCUUGAGUCUACUAAUCUAAAGGCUACUGCUUUUCAUCUUCAACUUCAGUACCAACAAAGGUUUGAAAAGGUUGUUUGUCAUCCCAAUUCCAAGUAUUCUCCUCAUAAAAAAUUACAUCCCUGCUAAUCACAAUUUUCUCCUUUAAAGGAUUAAAAAAUUUAUACACUUCAGAUGUUUCACUUACACCUAGAAAGACACACUUCUCUCCCUUGACAUUAAGCUUCUUUCUCUUUACAUUUGGAACAUGUGCAUAAGUAAUGCAACCAAAAAUUUUGAAGUGAUCUGCAGCUGGUCUCCUUCCACUCCAAGCUUCUUCAGGUGUCAUGUUUUGAACAGAAAAAGUUGGGCUUCUAUUCAAGACAUGGAUGCUCCAAUUUACUCCUUUUGCCCAAAAUUAUUUUAAGACCCUUCCACUAGCAAGCAUGCUUUUCACCAUAUUAAGUAUGGUUCUGUUUUUCCUCUCUUAUAUGCUAUUUUGUUGGGAGGUAUAUGCAGUGGUAAGCUUUUUCCAGAUGUCAUGGCUCUCACAAAAUGCUUCAAAUUCCUUGAAAUAAUAUUCUCCACCACAAUCAAUGCGAAGAACUUGAAUGGUUUUCCUGAUUUCAUUCUCAACAAGUGCCUUGAAGCUAGUAAAUGCACUAAAUGCUUCCAAUUUCUCCUGCAAAAAGUAAACCCACAAUUUUUGGAAAUAAUCAUCGAUGAAAGUAAAGAAAUAAAUUUUACCUUCAUUAGAUUAUGGUUUUAUUGGUCCACAGAUAUCUGAAUGAACCAAUUCCUGCACAUGUUUUGCUAUCUAAAACUUUCUUUUGGGAAAUUGUUCAUGAUGUUGUCUGCUAACAACACAAUCUUCACACACAUGGUUUGGAAUGACAAUCUGAGGGAGGCCGUUGACCAUCUCUUUCUACCAAAGAGUCUUCAAACCCUCAAAAUUAAGAUGACCACAUCAAAAAUGCCAAAGCCAUGUGUUGUCCUUCACUUUAGCCAUCAAGCAAGGUUGAAAACAAUCAAUCACUAAUGGAAACAACCUGUUGGAACUCAUUGGAACCACUGGAAUAGCACCUCUAGAAGGAUCAUAAAUUUCACAAGCACUUUUUGAUACCGUAAUCACAUAUCUUUUUCCUUGCAAUUGACCAGCACUUAAUAAGUUACUUUUCAAAACAGACACAAAGAAAACAUGGGACAUUGUUUCUUCAAAACUAUUAUUGGUUCUUAUACUAAUACCACCCUUUCCCACUACAUCAACAAUAGAUUUAUCUCCAAAAGGCACAUUAAUGUGAAAGUCUUCAUUUAGAUAAGAGAAAGAAAACUUAUUACCACACAUGUGGUUGCUACAGCCUGUAUCCACAUACCAUAAACAUGAGUUUUGUGGCUUCUCUUGCUUGUCAUGAAUUGCCAUUAACAAGGUUUUAGCUUCUUUUUAUGAAAAUUUUGACUUUUCUCCCUUUUCCUUAUCAUUAGAUAGAUUAGUACGACAUUCAAAACAAUAAUGACCAAACUUAUAACAUCCAAAACAUUCUACCUUUGACUUGUCAAAUUGUCGAUCUUGUUUUUUUCCUUUAUCAUCUAAUCUGGCAUACCUGCCACUAUUUUUAUUCCAACUGUCUCCUCUGUCUCUUCCCUUUCCUUGACCUCCGUUUCUUCUUUUGAAAGAAUGAGUUGAAGUUUUCAAAGCCUGCUCCAUUGGGGGUAGAAGUUCUAUUCAUCUUCUAUUUAUGGACCAACAAGGAACUCUGGAGUUCAUCAAUGGUGAGUGCAUCAAUGUCCUUGGAUUCUUCAAUUGAGUAGACAACAUAAUCAUACUUUGGUGAUGAGGACCGUAGUAUCUUCUUAGCAAUGGUUGUGUCAUUCAUCUUCUCACCAUGAAAUCACAUAUUACUCAUGAUUCCCAUGGAAGAACCUCAAGGUCCUUCCAAAGAGCCUGAAGCUAUGCACGCUUCACUUUGAAAAAAGCCUUGACAUUUUGUCUUAAUGGAGUACCAAAUAUCCUUGAAAGUUUCUUUGCAAAGAAUGGUUUCUAGGAUCGAACGAUCAAUAGCUUGAAAUAAGUAAUUUUUUGCUUUCAAAUCUUUCAACUUCAGCCCCUUCAAGUCCUUUUUGUUGUAUUCUGUAAGCUUUUCUCCAUCUGUUGGUGUUGCUAUACUGUGCUUAAUGACUUGCCAAUACUCCUUGGACUGUAAGAAGUUCUCCAUCAACAUCUCCAAUGGUUAUAGUGACCAUCAAAAUGUGGAAUAGGUAGCUGCAAACAAUUUUCAAAAGCCAUAAGAGGACCAUAAACAUUUUUCUCUCACUGAAAAUACUCUUCUUUUACCAGGCUCUGACACCACUAUUAGCUUACUAAGGAGAUAACAGCAAGAUGAAAAAAAUAAAGGAAAUGGAAAAUAAGAUGAUCAACUCAUUUAUUCACAACCUUAAGAACCUAUUAUAUAGGCAAUUACAUGAUAGAAAAAUCAAGAAAUCGCACACUAACAACAAACGACUCAGAAUAGGACUCUUAACAACUAAGGAAAAAAAUCUAAACCAAAUAAACCCAUGAUCUGUAGCCACUAAAUCCUUGAUGUGCAACAACUAUAUGCCUAGAAACAAGGACAACAAACAUAUUUUAUUAACAAGUAUCCCUAUUUAAGUGAGCUUCUAGUGGCGAUCCUUGAAAAGGCUAUCUGAAUGGCAAAACUUUAUCACAUGCAAUCUUGAUGAUAAUGUUAUGGCGAAGAAGAGAAAAAUCAUUGAAAGUGACAACAAUGUUGGUAAAAAGGAAGAGCAUGAUAGGAUCAUACUCUAAAUUUUGUGUUCAAAGCUAUAGCAACGAAAGAAGGAAAAUUAAAAUAUAAAAUAUAAAAGAGCAGAUUUUUCACAAAUGAAAGCUUGAAAAGAACUUUAUUAGAUCAAUACAAGGAAAUGAAUACAAAGACAGUUGAUUUAGAAUUUCUUUUAUAAUAUAUAUAUUAUAAAACAUUAUUAAUUAUAACUUAAUAACUAUUCCUUAAGGAACAGAAGAGGAAAAUUUAAUACGAUUUCUAAGUGCAAUUGGUUCAAUGAGUAAUGAAGUGAUUCCACCCUUAGCCGCUUUUCCAACAUAUGUGUAGCCAUCACCUUCUCUAUAGAGUACAUCCAUCACCCUUGCAAGGUUUAAGCUACGAUUCAAAACUUCUGUUGGCAUUUCUGUUGGUUUCAGAAACUCUUGAUUCACAUCCUUCCAAGCACUCUCAACAUGCUUGUUGAAUACAUCAUAUGCCUCUUGUGCUGUUACACCAUAUUCUUCCAUGUAACACUCAAUUGCUGAGCAAUCGUCUUCUCUCCUAUGUUUGAACUGCAACCAUAAUAAAAUAAAAAUUAUUCAAUUACUAUAUAACCUAAAUUCUAUUCGUUUGUUAAACUAUAUAUAUUUUUAAAAUGAAACUAGAUAUCUUUUCUUAUUCUUCGAUUUAAGGCUAAACAUUUGAUAUAUAAACAUUAAACUUUAAUUGUUUCAAAUCAUGACAAAAACCAUCGUUAUUGAGUUAAUAGUUUGGUUUCUUGUGAUUAUUUAAAUAUAUUAUUAUACCUUGUGUUCAGCAACAUCAUCCAUAAACCUACAAAUAAUUGUGGAAGCUUGAAUGAUCUUAGGGUCAUUGGCUGCCCAUUUAAAGGUUUCUGGUGUUACAAUAUCUCCCAUGCCAACGAAAGAUGUAAUAGCAAGCAUGGCAUAACCACAAGUUGGCAAUGCAUUAGCCUUAAACUCCUCGAAUGAUGGUUUGUAGUUUUGAAGAGUCCAUCUGGCCUCCACAAGAUAAGAUUGAGCAAGUCGUAUCAUCUGAGGCAACAAAAUCCCAACAAUUAUCACUAAUAUCAAUUCAAAUUCAAUAAUAAUAUUUAAAUGAUUAUAUAUUGUUAUUCGAGUUAGUUGUUUAUUCAAAUCUAGAAUUUAGCUAAGAUCUUAUCUCUUUUGUACAAAAUAAAUGUUUGUUGAUGUACAUACCGCAUUUUUCGCAUAUUCGACACGAUAUUGUCUCCCAUGCUCAGCCACCAGUUGUUCCAUUUCUUCAUAAACAUCUAAUAGUGCCUUGUAGCUCGGCUUCAUGUAUUCAGGAAGUUCAUCUAUGCAUUUGAUAUCCCACCUGAAUUCAACUUCAAUGUUAACUUCAACUAAAGAAACCUAACCUAUUACCAACAAAAUUUUAGAAAUCUAACCUCUCAAUUGCAUUUGUAUAGGGAAUAAGCUCUUCAUAUGUUGCAUAUGAGUCAUAUGUAUCAUCUACAAUAGAUGCCAUUGCUAUCACUUUUGUCAACAUCUUUCUACCAAGAGAAUAUUGGGGCUCAAAAUACACUCCUGAGAUCCAAAAAUAGCCUUCAACCACUCUAUCUCUUGCGUAUGGCAACUUUCUUUGAAAGUCUAAAUCCUUCCACCACCUAAAAAAAUCAUAUCAUAGAAAACCCCAUUAGCAAAAUGAAUAUUCAAAGUUUUAAUUUGUUUCACAUUCAUGUUGUCAAUAAGUAAAUUGUUAGAUUCUUAAGUAAAUUGGCAACCUGAAAUUUUAAAAUAUAUAUAUAACUUAUAUAAUAUAAGUAAAAUAAUGUAAGUGAAAAAGAUGAAUCCAUCACUUUUAACUUGUGCUAUAUAUUAAGAUUCAAAUAUUAGCAUUUGCAACUCGUCUCCUAUAUUGAGAAUGAUGCCGCGAUUAAAUUCAACCCUCCUUCCACCAAAAAAAAAAAAAAGACAAAAAAGAAAAAAAAAUGGGUGAAAGAGAUUCAAAAACAUACCUAGAAAUCUCACUUAGCUCUUUUCUAUGCAAAAGUUGUACCAUGUUGAAAUCGAUCUUAGCAAACUCCAACAAAACCUUAUUAUGGGACUCAAUAUCUUGGUAUACUGAAAGAUAGUGUCUUGCCUCAACCCUUGGCAAGCCUCUUCGAAUUGAUUGUUUCAAAGCAUGAGAAACCUCUUCGGAUAAAGGAUGGUCCAAAGAUGCUACUGCAAGGCUUAAAUGGUUGCUGGUGAAAGAAAUUGCUUCAUCCAAUAUAUCUUCCCCAUGAACCCUCAAAUAGGAAGCUUGGUAAAGUUCCAACAAUCCUCGAACAUCGCUUGUCACGGAUGACUUGAAAUUCCCUUGCUCGUCUUUAAACUUGUUGAAUACGUCUGAGAUGAAAUUACCCAAAAUGAAAUAUUGUUAUCAAACAUUCCAUGCUAUUAUAUACUCAAGAAACUUAAAAAUACCAUGUUGUUGUUCCAGUAAUUACCGCAUGAAACAUUGAAUCCAUGCUCUCGGAGUAGUCGGAAUCGAAGGGAUGUGGUGUAGAGGUCGUUCUCGGCAUCAUUGUUGUUAUGGUAGAUAUUCUCUAGUUCAUCUUCGAUCUCCUUGGUGAAAUGGUAACUCACACCCAGUCUUUGGACUGAAUCAAUGAAGGCUAACUUUUGGGUUGAAUUAGCCAUUGGUGCCACAAUCAUCUUCCUCACUUCUUCUUUCAAUUGUUGGUGGCGUUUUUGAGUUUCAGCAUCAAUAUUCUGCUCAAAAUAAUGAAAAUUUGCUUCAUAUUGAAUCACUAAAUAACUAAACAAAUAAUCUGUUAAGAUUAUAUAUAUACCAAUAUGGUGAUAUGUAUGUAUACCUUGUCGGGACAAUUGAGGAAGAAAUCUCCCCAAAUGCUAGGCUGAAAAUCGGCUUUGGGACGCAUUUCAUCCUUAUUGGAAGAAAGGGGUGAUGAAGAAGGCAUUUGAGAAACUUGUGAAGCCAUUUCGAUUGAUUAAAAGCAAAUAUUGAAAAGCUUAAUUUGCUGCCUUUUUUGGUUUGCUCUUGAAAUUUGGCACAGAAUCUGUGAGGAUAAGAGUGCAAUUGUUGCAUGUAUUUAUAGGUAAAAUAUACUGGGGAGUUUAAGUCAAAAAAGACAACCUAUAUGCAAGGAAACAAUUAUACAAUAAGAUUGGUGUAGGGCGGCCCAUUGCAUGAGAAUUGCAAAUAGAUUAAAAGAGAUGUUGAUUUGUCUUUUUGUUUGAUUCUCUUAUUCAAAGUUGAUGCCUGUAAAAUAUUAGAAGAUGAAAUGUGUAGAAAUGUGUUACAAAGUAAAUAUUUAUCCUCUGUUGAACUUUAGAAUUAUAGAAAUAUAUCAUUUCAGUCCUUCCCUCGGCCGGUCAGCCUCAAUUAAAAUAUAAAUUAAAUCAGUUGGACCAACUGAACUAAAUUAUUUAAUUAAAACAUAAUUAAAUGUUAAAUGUGAUUUCAUAUUAAAUAAGUCUAAAAAGUAGUAACUAGUUCCUUAAAAAAGAAGUAGUAAUUAGCUAAUAAAGAUAUGUAUUUUCUAUCUUGGGUAUGUACAAAAUUAGACAGACCACCAAUUUUCAAUUUAAUCAAUUAACCCAAUACUAUUUUCUUUUUAUAUAAAUAUAACUAUUUUUUAAAAUUAAUAAAAAUUAUAUAUAUUUAAAAUCGAUAAAAUUUUAUUAAUAAUAUAUUAAAUGCAAGAAACCUGUUUUCAAAUAAUAAAUAAUCUUUAACGAUCUUUUAAGUCCUAACCAUUGUUAAUCUUUAAGGCAUCUGAAAGUUAGAUCGGUGCAUGCAUUUGUUUCAGACGCAAAGACUUUUGUUUCUCAGUUCUUCCCACUAAUCUUUUUGAUUGAUUUUUAUAAUAGAGCACGUCAGGUUUCAUCAAGGACUAAGCAACGUCACUUGUUUACUAUUAUCCUAUUGACUAAUUGGCCAUGAACACAUAAACUAUGACGUAAUAUUUAUAAUAUUUAUAAUAUUUAUAAUAAUUUUUAAACCGAAAUAGCAUGUAAUUUUGAAAAUUAAUCAAGUCAAAUUAAAUAGUUCUAAUCCUACGAUUUAAGGCCAACAUAAAUGAUAAUUACAAUCCCACAAUUAAACUGAGUAAAGAGAAGUUAAUGUUUACUAUUAUAAUAGAGCAUGUCAGGUUUGAUCAAGGACUAGGCAACGUAACUUGUUUACUAUUAUACUAUUGACUAAUUUACCAUAAACACAUUAAACUAUGACGUAAUGUUCUCAAAUUAUGCAGAUUUUAAAUUCAAUUUUAAAUUUUAAAAAUAUUUUAAUUCAAUCCGCAAAGUAUUAGUAUCAUAUCAAUCAAGCCUUUCCAUUAGCUUAACAAUUAGUUUAGGCAUUAAAUGUCAACUCAAGCUUGAGUUAAAGUGUAUAUGAAAUACGUAGAUCAAAUUGUAAAGAUGUAUCUAUCUGUAACAUAGAUAAUAUUUUAUUGACAUUAAUUUUUUAAUACGUUAAAAUUUAUUGCAUAGAUACAAUGCUAAUAUUUUAAAGAUUUAAUUAACCUAUUUUGAAGUUUAGAACUAAUUAAGAAUAGGCAUAACCUUAAAUUUAGUUCUCAACAUUUACAUUCUUUUUUGUUAAUUUGACUUUUAUUUUUUUAGCUAAAAUUGAUCCUCACCCUUUUAAAAAAAAUCAUAUUUAACCUUAAACCUUUCAAAAAUAGUUGAAAUGCUAUUUUUUUAAUGAAAAUAAACCGUUAAAUUUUUAAACAUGGCAGCUCACAUACUAAUCCACAUGUACUCCAUAUUAUUAUUAUUAUUUAUUUUUUUUAUUUUUUUGUAAUUUUUAAAUUACUUGUUGGUGUGGCAUAUAAUAAAUAGAGUUAUGUCUACAUGAAGUACAUGUGGACUGUAACACAAGUUUCCAUGCCAACUUUGUUGAAAAAUUAAUGUUUUAGUUAGGAUUUUUGUUUAAACAAAUUUUUUGACUCUUUUUUAAAAGACUAAGGGCAAAUUUAGCUAAAAAGAAUAAGAAAAAGAGUUAAAUUGACAAAAUAUAUAAAUAUGGUGGCUAAAUUUGACAUUAUGCUAUAAGACUAUUGGCAAUAAAUUAGAGAUGACUGAUAGAAUUAAUCAAAAUAAUAUGGGCUUAUUAAGAAUUUUAACUUUAAAAAAAAUAAUUAAAUCCCUCGGAACCUCUUCUACUCAAUUGAAUCCUUGAAUUGACAAUUUUGACCAACAAAGCCCUUUGACCAACAUUGAUCGUUAGAAACUAACAGCAGCGCUAACGUGAUUGUCAACAGAUGCCACAUCAGACAACAAAGGCUAACUUGGCAGUGCCACAUUAGUAAAAAUAACAAAAAAGUAAAAAAAUAUUUUUAAUUUAUUUAAAAAUAUAUAUACAAUGAUGCUGGAUAAAUGAUUGUCCAAAUUCAUUUCAAUCUGAGCACUCAUUUAUUUAAGUUCCUUUGAAACUAGAGACACAUUUCUCAAGAUUCAUUUCGAAAUUAAUAAACAUAAAAAUUAUAAAAAAAUCAUUCAAAUUAUAAAAAAAAUUAUAAACUAAUUAAAAACUAUUGUAACACCACCAAUCAAGCGUAAAAGUUUCGACUAAGUCGAAGAAAUCACAUUUGAUCAUUUGAUGAUUGAAGUGACCGUUGAAACCACUAGUCUAUUUUGUAGGGAAGUUGUUCCUUUUGAUCUUAGGAAAUCAUUUAUUAUUUUUAAGCCGGUUUUAUUUAAAGAUUCAGUUUCGCUAUUAUUCUGGUGGUGUUUUGAAAGCGGCUGAUGUUUUUGGAAAAGGAAAUUAUAAAACCAUUGAAACAAACAGCGAAAAAUAUUUAUAAUAAUUUUCUAAAUCAAAAUAGCAUGUAAUUAUGAAAAUUAAUCAGUUGUAAAUAAAUGAUAAUUACAAUCCCACAAUUAAACUGAGUAAAGAGAAGUUAAUGUUUACUAUUAUAAUAAAGCAUGUCAGGUUUACCAUUCACUAAUUUACCAUAAACACUUUAAACUAUGACGUAAUGUUCUCAAAUUAUGCAUAUUUUAAAUUCAAUUCCAAAUUUUAAAAAUGUUUUAAUUCAGUCCUCAAAGUAUUAGUAUCAUAUCAAUCAAGUCUUUCUAUUAUGUUAACAAUUAGUUGAGGCAUUAAAUGCUAACUCAAGUUUGAGUUGAAGUGUAUUUGAAAUACGUAGAUCAAAUUGUAAAGACGUAUAUAUCUACAACAUAGAUAACAUUUUAUUGACAUCGAUUUUUAAAUACGUCAAAACUAAAUUUUUUAUGUGGUAGAUACACAUGAGUUUACAGUUUAUUCCGUUUGCUUUUAAGCAUGCCGCAUAUCAUAUCUUGAUUCACAUUUAACAAUUAGAUUAACUACGACAUUGAUAGAAAACCUAUUUGAUACAAUGUUGAUAUUUUAAAGAUUCAAUUAACAUGUUUUGAAGUUUUAAACUAAUUAAGAAUGGGCAUAACACAAAUUUAGUCCUUACAUUUACAAUUUUUUUUGUCAAUUUGAUCCCUUUUUUUUAGCUAAAUUUGGUCAUCAACCUUUCAAAAAAAUGUCAUAUUUAAAUUAAACCUUUCAAAAAUUGUUGAAUUGCUAUUUUUUAAUGAAAAUUAACCGUUAAAUUUUUAAACACGGUAGCUCACAUACCAAUCCACAUGUACUUCAUACUUUGUUUUUUGAAUUUUUAUAAUUUUUUUUUAUUUUUUAAUUUUUAAAUUAUAUUUUGGUGUGGCAUAUAAUAAAUAGUGUUAUGUCAAAAUGAAGUACACGUGGAUUGCCACAUGAGUUGCCAUGCCAUCUUCAUUAAAAAAAAUUUAAUGUUUUAGUCAGGAUUUUCUAUAAAAAAUAAUUUAACUCUUUUUUAAAAGAUUAAGGGCCAAAUUUAACUAAAAUAGAAACAAAAAAAACCAAAUUGAUGAAAGAUGUAAAUGUUGCGGUUAAAUUUGACAUUAUGAUAUUGGCAAUAGUUUAGAGACGAUUGAUAGAAUUAAUGGAUUGAAAAUAAUAUAGGCUUAUUAAGCAUUCAAACUUCUUUCAAAAAUCAAGUAAACCCCUCCAAAUCUUUUCUACUUAAUUGAAUCAUUGAAUUGAUAAUUUUGACCAACAAGGCCAUUUGACCAAUAUUGAUAGUUAGAAACUAACAGCAACUCUAAUAUGAUUGUUAACAAAUGCCACAUUAACCAACAAAUGCUAACUUGACAGUGCCACAUCAGUAAAAAUAAAAAAAUAAAAAAAAUAUUUUAAAAUUAUUUUUAAAAAAUGUACAAUGAUGCUGGACAAAAGAUUGUCCAUGCUCAUUUGAACAUGGACCCACAUUUUUCAAUAUUCAUUUCGAAAUUAUAAAAAAAAUAAAAAAUUAUAAAAUAUAAUUAAAAUUUAUAAAAUUAUUAUAAAAUUAUUAAAAUUAUUUUUUAAAAGUUUUUUUUAAAAUUAUUAAAAAUUAUUAAAACGUAUAAAAUUAAAAACCAAAUUAUAUUUAUAUAAAAGUUUUUUUUGUAAUUGUUUAUGUAUUAUUAAAACCAAAUGGAUUUUAAAUAAAAAUAUUUUUAGAAACUAUAAUAAUUUUAAUGUUUUUAAAUAAAAUCUUUAGAAACUUUUAAAAAAGUCCAAAUGGAUUUUUAAUUAAAAGCUUCUAUUCAACCUAAUGGACUUUAUAAAAAUUUAUAAUAAAAAGCUGUGUUUUAAUUUAUUUUAUAAAAUUUUAUGAUUUUUAAUUAAUUUAUAAUAAUUUUAUUAUUUUUUAUAAUUUUAAUUAUUCUUUAUAAUUUUUUUCUUUUUAUAAUUCCAUGAUGAAUAUGGACAUAUGAAUAUCUACAUUCAAAUGAACCUGGACAACUAUUUGUUUAAGUUUAUUGUGUACAUUUUUUUACAAUAAUUUUAAAAUAUUUUUAAUUUUUAUUGAUGCGGAUCACCCCAUCAGCAUUUGUUGAUUAAUGUGAUAUCCAUUAAUGACCACAUCAAUGUUGGUGUUGGUUUCUAAUGAUCAACGUUGGUAAAAAAAUCUCGUUGGUCGAAAUUGUCAGUUUAAAGACUCAAGUGGAUAUAAAAAGUUCAAAUGGAUUUAGUCGAUCAUUUAAAAAUAAUUCAAAAAUUUAUUGUACCAAUAAGCCAAUAAUAAUAGCUAAUAUAAAUGUAUAGAACUUGAGUUCAAUGGAUUUAUAUAUGAUGCAUUGACACUAUCAGUAAAUCAUAUAAUACUAUAAAAUUUAAAAAAAUUUCAUUUAAUUUUUAAUAAUAUAUUCACUAGGAACACGUAAAAUUAUUAUACCUUUCAAAAUUACUAUAUAUAUUUUUUAAAAUUGUAAGGAAGAACAUUUUUUUCAAAAUUACUUAAUUUCCAUAUUCAAAGUUAAGGCAAACCUAGCAAUCAAACAAGAUUCUUUUCAAGGAUUUCGUAUUAGAUAUUGCCGCCAAGCUUAAGAAAUUAUAUAUUUAUUCCUUUCCAAACAAAAGAAUUUAAACAAUUAUAUUCAUAUUUUAUAUUUAUGCGAAUUAAGUGUAAAUAUUCUAAAGGAGACGUACGAAGACCAAUGUUUAUCGAUAAUAAAUAUACAACAAAUAGAUUUUAUUAAAUUUCAUCUUGGAUCAGUCAAAAAAAAAAUAUGUAUAAUAUUCGUAUUUUUAUUUAGUUUCAAUGCACGUGUAAAGGAAUAAUUUAAUAAUAACAGCUUAAAAAGACUGGUAAGGAUAUUAUUAAUUAUAAAAAUCAUAAUCGAUUAUUUAUUGUUUUGAUUAAAUUAAUAAAAAUUGAAAGAUUAUAAAUAGAAUAAACAAUGUUAAUAUACUGUAUUCACUUGACUUUAGUGAAAGCAAUGUAUUAUUGUAAAAACUUCUUGUUAACUGCACAUCUAUAUAUUAUUUAUUAUGAAAUUAAAAAUUAUUUUUUUCCAAAGCAUUAUAGUUGUCUAUAACAUGCUAAAAUCAUUGCAACCUUUUAGCCUCUAUUGUUUUUUUUUAAGUCAAAAGGAUACAACCUUAAAAUAAAAAUAUAAAUGGAGGGCAUAUCGGUUUUUGAGUUGUUCUUUUGGUAAAUUAUAGGUAAAUCUUCGUUUUGAUCACUUAACUAAAAAAAUUAUAAUUUGAUCAUUGAAUCAUUAGAAAAUUUUUAUUUAAGUCAAUGAAGUAUUCAAAAAAUUUUAUUAAGUUACUACGCUAUUAUUUUUUUUAGAAGUUUCGCAAGAAAGCUCAAAGCAAUGAUUCGACAAUCGGUACACUGAAUCAAUAACUAUUGACGAGUAGAAGAACAUAUCUUAGAUACAAGUUGAUUUGAUGGUCAAUGUCGGAGAUUAGAGAAAAAAGCUUUUUGAAUUUUGAAUUGCAAAUUUAUGACGUUCAAAGCUAUUUCAUAAAAAAAUGAACUGUAGAAAAGAAAGGAAAGAGAGGUUUCAAUUGGUGCAGGCAGCGAGAUCUAUUCAUUGAUAAGAGAAAGAAAAAACGUGAGCGGUGAUUGGAUUGAUGAGAAAAUAGAAUCCUGGGUCGCGAACAGUGAUUCGAUUGAUGAUAAAGAAAGAGAAUUCUUGGUUCAAUUCUCCACCUUAACAGCAGAAAAAAGGAUUGAUCAAAUUCUAUUGAGUCUGACUCAUAGUGAUCAUUUAUCAAAGAAUGACUCUGGUUAUCAAAUGAUUGAACAACCUGGACCAAUUUACUUACGAUACUUAGUUGACAUUCAUAAAAAGUAUCUAAUGAAUUACGAGUUCAAUACAUCCUGUUUAGCCAUAUAACAUUGAUUUUAAUAGCUCACUGACUUAAAUGAAAACUUUUGAAUAGUUUAGUAAUCAAAUUGUAACUUUUUUAGUUAAGCGACUAAAAUGAAAACUUACUUAUAGUUUAGGGACUAAUGAUGUAAUUUAUCCUUUUAUUUUUUAUUGUUCGUCAUUUAAUGCCCUCGAUAGUCUAUCUGGUGCAUAUAGCCUUUUCGAUAUCAUAUAUAGUUUCUUUUUUUUUUAGAAAAUUUGGGACACCAAUGACAAAUUUGUUUAUUUAAGGGUAAAUUACACUUAUAGUAAUCCAACUAUAAAAAGUUACAAGAUGGUCACUUAAUUAUUUAGAUUUUUUUUCUUAGUCACCUGCUGUUAAAGGGCUAAUGGGAAGAUGACGUGACAACUUUUAAAAUUGGUUAAACAACUUUUAACCAUCAACAUUUAUAUAUUGGUUCAAUUUAGUUUUGAUUCUAACAAAUUUAACUCUCAACAUUUUCACAUUGUGUAAUAUGCUUUUUUUCCAAUUUUGCUUUUCGUUGUGACCCUUUCACCUAAAAAGCUAAAAAAAAAACAAUCUAUCAACUAAAUUUGAUCAGAAAUAUACAAAAAAUAGAAACACCAAAAAAUCCAAGAUAAUAAUAUGCAUCUUAUGUAAUUCUUUUAAAAUUAACCCUCAAUGUCACAAAUAAAAGUAAAACUGUAAAAAGAGAGAGAGAGAGAGAGAGAGACCAAAUUAUAUAAUGUGUAAAUGUUGAUAUUUUUUUUUGAAAUCAAGACUAAAUUAACACAAUGCAUAAAUGUUGAGCGUUAAAGUUGUUAUUAUGCCAAUUUUAAAAAUUGUCAAGUUAUCUUUUUAUUAGCAAAUUAAUGGUCGGAGACCAAAAAAGAAAAAUUCAUAUAGUUGUGUGACAAAAAAGAAAAAGGGUGAAUAGUUGGAUGGUCAUUUUUUGUAAAGUUCCAUAGUUGGGUGACUCAAAAAAUACUAAAAGUUGGAUGACUACUUUCAAUGCCAUUUUUAUGAACAAAGCUAGCUUGAGAAAUUUUGAGAAAAAUAUGAAAAAUUUAAAAUAUUAAAACAUUGGGUUUUUAUUUAGAACAUAAGAUUUGUCACAAAUCUUUUAACUAGGUGUGAUCAAGUACCUAUAAAAUCGCCUUUUAAAAAUAUAAUUAGUUGGUUUGUUAUUUGAAAAUCAAAGAAAAUUCGAGUUCAGGAAUCAAUUACAUGCGAUGAAGGUAUUAACACCUUCACAAUGCCCAAAAAAAAUAUCUUAUUAAUUAUGUGUUGAUUUUAAAUUCAAAAAUUACAAGUUCAAAUUCAGUAUUCAGUCAUCAUCUGUAAUAUUCUGUUUGUUAAUUAUAUGUUUGUCUGCAUGUUGUGUGCAUUUUUACAUUUGCAUAAAUAAUUUGGGGUUUUGGUUGUGAAGAGAAGAAAGUUUGAUUUGAUCAGUUUAUCUGUAAUAUUCUGUACAACAAUUUUACUGCAUUAUUAUAUAUAUGUCAGCUUAGUUGCAUAUUUUCUUUUGAGUGGCUUAUACCCACUAUCGUGGUGUGUAGGGUGGAUCGGCCUACCAUAGCCCAAUUGUGGUGUGCAGGGUGGUCGGAGUGGUGUUCCGGUUGGUUGGGUGGGUUUUAAUAUUUAUUGCUUUCUUUUAUUAUUAUUAUUUUUAACUUUGUUGAAAACCUUUAUAUGAAUAUGUUUAUGUAACAUCUUUAACCAGACCUAGACGUUAGAUCUGAAUUCAAAAGAUUAUAUUAUCCACUAAAGUGGCUCAAUAAGCUAUCAAAGUUUUGAAAACGAUCAUUUUAAAACAUUUGUUUAUUUUGGUAGGAAAUUUAGAUACAACUCAAAAUUUUAAUUAUGAUUUAGCAACGGAAAAGUACUGUCUAUUUAUUUUUAAUAAAAAUCGGGGUUCAUGCAUACUAGUUAAUAAUCGUAACAUGAUGUCCUAAAAAUUUAAAUCAAGUGUUAUGCAAAAUAAAAACAAACUCAAAUCAUAAACCCCAUGCCACAAUUCGAAUAAAAUAAUAAUACAAUCUCUAAAUAAUGAAAUAUCAAAUAAUAUAUCUAAAAAUAUUUUAACAAAAUUGAGCCGAGACCCUCUGGAUCUAUAAGGAUGAAAAUUAAAGGGGGACUGAGCUAUGACGCUCACUUUGAGUUCCAUCACAAUAAAAUUAGCGUAACAGUCAGUAAGGCAUAUUAAAUAAUAAUGCAUAAAAUAAUCGCAAUUAAGUAGCAGUUCAAAAUAUCCAUUUUCAAUUUAGCCAUCAUUAGCAUAUAUAAUUUACAAUAGCAAUAUCAAAAUAUUGAUUUCACAGAUCACUCAUUCAUAUAUUUAGAUAUAAAUAUAUCUUACCAGAAAUUCUAGGUUUGCAUGCAGAUGCUUUCAUAGAUGCCAUACGGUAUCAGUUUUAACAGAAAAGAUCCUACUCCACCGCUACACACUACGAUUAGAGUUAUCCAAAACUCCAACCGCUAACACACCAAAUUAUGGAUUAACUACCAAUAGAUUACAGUUUUACUGCCAAUGGUUGUGGACACAAAAUAGUGCAGGUAAAAUCUGCCAAUGGCCAUGGAUGCAAAACAUGCUUGCAGAUGAUUACUGUCAAAGGGUUAUGGAUGCACAACAAAAACAUCACAGAUGGAAUCUGCCUAUGGUUGUGGGUACACAAUAAGCCGUCGUAGAUGGAAUUUGCCAAUGGCUGUGGGUUCACAGCAAAAUAAAUGCAGAUAUACUGCAAAUACUUCCUCUAUUCAUAACAUCCUAUCCCAUGUAAAGCAAUAUGACAUGUUCGGCAGAUUAAUAAAAUAACAUUAAAUUAUGCUUUUAACAAACAAUACAAUAGCAAUCAGUAUUCUUAUAAUGGUUUGGUUCAGUAGCAAUGAACAUGCUUGUGACAGAUUAAUUUAUUAGUAAAAAUCAUGCUUUUUUGUGUGCUUGGUUUGACACUUACAUAAGGCAUACCAUACAUACGAUUACAACCCCUAAAAUAAUAGACAUAUAUAUAAUGUUCACAAUUCAUGUGUAUAUAUAUAAAUAUCAUACUAAAUCAAUUCAUCAAAUCAUGGAUUCUAACAUAAUUCAUAUCAUCAGGGCUUAAUUGAAUAAUUUGAAGCACUAUAAAUAGUUCAAAAAUCAUUCAGGGACUAAACUAAACAAAACAUAAAAUUCUUGGUCAAAAUCGUAAAAUCUAAGGUACAGGGGACACACGACAAUGUGGAAAGCCCUAGACUGUGUGGAAGGAGUGCACGGCAAUGUGGCUAGGUCGUGUGACAGACUAUGGCCUUGUGGCAUUUGAAAAAUCAACCUAUAAGGGAGACAUGACCGUGUGGAGGGUCCUAGGCCGUGUGAGGGUCGAAAUAACCUAGGGUUUCAGGGGGACAUGGUCAUGUGAGGGGGCCGUGUGGUCCACACGGGUGGCCCACGCGCCUGUGUGGCACUAUCUUAGGCAUGAUUUUGCAUUGUUUCACUUGUAAAAGAACAUACACUUGACUUCGGGAUCUCAAACGAUGUUCCUUGCGCCUAAAUCUGAUUCGAGGUACCUAGAUCAAGUCCUUCAAAUGACAUUUAAGCAAGAAUUAAUAAUGAUAUUCAAGAUUUAUCAAGAUUACUGGGAAAUAUUGACAAGAUUCGUAAAAGAUCAUUUGAUCAAUCUUAAAAUUAACAUGAAUAAAAAGUCUACAGGAAUUUAAGAUCUAAACUUUAGGAUUAGAAUGUUCUUACUGAUUCUUGGCAACGAGCGGAGAAUGUUUCGAAUUGCGAUUACGAAUCUAGUUGAAAAGUGAGUUAAAAUCAAGAAUAGAUUUCAAUUUUGGGUAAUCAAGAACGAUUUUCAACAAUGGAACAAAAUUUUGAUGAAAAGAAAAGCAAAGAAAAGAAAUAGGGAAGAAAUAGAAAAGAUGGAAGUAAAGUUCUAGGAGAAUUGGAAAAGGAAACAAAAUCCUAGCCUAGUUAGGAUAAUGGUUUAAAUAGCUAGGGUUUUCAAAUUUUUAGGGACUGUUUGGAUGGGUGAUUAACCAUUCUUGCCGAAAAUAAAAAAGGAAAUAGGGUGAGUGGUGUGACUUAAACUUGGGAUUCAAGGGAGAAAUGAAUGAUGCUUAACCAUUGAGCUACUACCCACACUUGAUCAUUUUUUACUCCAUUCAAUAUAUAUUCUAUGGAGAUUUUCAUUCUAGUUUGCUGAAAAUGAAAAGAAAAAUAUGGGUGAGAUGUAACACCCCAAACCCAGCCUAGACGUUAUGGUCGUAUCUGGUAAUGUCACACGAUAGUGUUUUUCAAACCUCGUUGUUACGAUGAAAACAUUCCAUGUUAUUAUCUUUAGUAAACCUUUGUUAGAACUUAGGAAUUCACCUUUAUUCAUUUAAAACAUUUGUUUUGAAACAUCCCUCGUUACAAAAGCUUUAAUAAAACAGUCUAAGUGAUCAUACGUGUAGAAAAUACUUUAACUUUUUGAAAACCAAAUUUCCUAUUACCAACAGGUAUAAAUCCAUAAAGUAAAAUAAAUAAAUAAAAAUCCAAAAUUUAAAACCAAAGUCCCAGAGGGUCCUUAAAUUACAACCCAAAUAAUCAAUACUAAUUAAUCAUAAAACGUAAAUUGAAAACCAUGAAGUCCAAAAAUUUCUGUGGUCACCGCUGAGUCCUCCGUCGCACCGAUCCAUCUAAGUUUGGGGAUUACCUGUGCACAUUAAACAAAAAGUGUGAGUUUACGUAAACUCAGUGUGUAAUCCCGCAGAAACAAACAAGCAAUCAGUAUUCAUAGUGCACAGUUGAACAGUCUUGGGCCUAAGCCCUUUUCAGUAUCAGUGACAAUUUGGGCCUUAGCCCAUCUCAGUAUAGUGUCAAAAAUGCAGUAGGGCCUUAGCCCAUCACAGUAUCAGUAGCAGUAACAAUUAUGCAGUAGCAAAAUCCUACCCAUCCAGCCUUUACAUACCAUCUCCGUCCAACCCUGCACUCCAUGUGGGGAUAUAAUCAACCGAUCCAUCCUUACACUCCAAUUAGUAUCGAAUGCAGCACAAAACAGUAGUUUGCAGCUGAGCUACUAGUAAAUUAGGCUUAAAGCCUUUUAGUCAACUUCCUCCGAAUAACAACCUCUAACCCAAUGCAAUGCAACAUACCAUGGAUGAUAUGCUAUUAUGCAAUUUCAGUACAUAUAUUCAGUUAAGAUAUUAACAUGCUCAGUAUAAAUAUCAUUCAGUCAAUUUCACACAUUUAGGGGUCUAAGUAGCGCUUACCGACCUUACAGUAGGUUCACAGUCGACUUGGGCGACCCAUGCAACCUUAGAAACAUUCCAGUAAGAAUGAGCCCACAAGCCCGUGUGUGCCCGUGUAGCCCACUCUGCCCAAAUUGGCCUUGGUCGUGUGAUCCAUUUUUAAUGUAACCCAUGCUAGCUAAAUAUUCAUAUAUGUUUUCACUAUUUACUUAUAUGUUCAUUCAAAGCUGUCUACUUGAGUCAUUGUCACUAAAUUAUUUAUAUCUUGAGCUACAGAAUUAUAAAUUAAAAUCCACUUGAUGUUUUCAAAACUAGACUCAAAUACUUUUCUACCAUAAAAUUUUUAGAUUUUAUAGUUUAUCAAAUAAGUACAGUAAAAUCUUCAAAUCUAUCCCGAUUCUACUAUUUGACAGCUUCAAUCUUUCCUUACUAAAAUUAUUUAUCUCUUAGUACGGAAUUUGGAUGAUAUUUCUGUUUGUUUCUCUUGAAAAUAGACUUGUUAAGGACUUAAAAAUAUAAAUUUAAGCGCCUAAUUAUUUUUUACAAUUUUUGAUGAUUUUUCCAAAGUCAGAAUAGGGGAACCCGAAACCAUUGUUUCUUCCAUUGCUUACAUUGUUUCUUCCAUGAAAAACUAGAGUCAACAAAAUUUAAUUUCAUAUUUUAUUCAACCUCUAACUCUAUUUCCACUAUUUUAGAUGAUUUUUUCAAAGUUAGACUACUGCUGCAGUCCAAAACUAUUUUAGUGCAAAAUGUCGAUUUCCAAGAUUAUAACACCCUUAUUUCCUUUCUCUACAAUUUUUCACAUCAUUUUCUCUUAUUUCUCGACAGUAAGCAAUUUUGGCUUUUCGCUGAAUCUCAUUUUCUUCCUUUCGGGUACACACCUGUAUCGUUUUCGUUGCUUACGCAAUCCCGAGAUCACCAAAAACCUUCUAACUUUGCACAAUUCCACGACUACUCAACACGAGGGAAAUAGCAACCGAAAUGAUUCGUUGCUGUAAAAAUAACCAUUCCUCAUUAAAGAAGAGUUCAACAAAGUUAAGAACGAAUUCAAAGCCAAAACCACUCGCCCAAACAACACAAGAAAACACAUGCCCUAUACGCAUACCAAACGAUCACCCCUUCGAGUCAAAUCGAUGAAUGUUAAUUCCAGAUGCACGAUCGACUCCUAAACAAUCAACAAAACACCCCUUAAUCCCUUAUCCAGAGUAACAUUCGAGUUUAAUAAAAUGGAAACUUACCGUACAACACAAUUGCACGCUUGCACAAAGGGUAAAAGAUGAAGAAAGACAACGAAAACGAAAGGGGAAUUCAAAGGAAAUUCAACAACAAUGAUUUAUUAUUUAGAAAAAAAGAGGAAAACUGAAAAUUGAGAGUGAGGGAGAAGAGAGAAAAUGUUAGAAAGGUGGAAAAGAGUUCUAAAUUUGAAAAAAAAACUAAACAAAAAGAUAAUGCCUAAAAAAUCUGGUAACUCAUCUCCUUAGUUCUCUCCCUAACCUCCCACAACAACUCCACUACUCGAAAUUUCAAUUUGACUAGGACUCCACUACGCCACACGGCCAAGCAACAAAAAAAAUAAUUCCCUAGCUCAUGCAAGGACUUGAACUCUAGAUCUCCCACCUCCCAACACAUAGCUUAGCCACCAAACCAGCAAGCCCAUUCUAAUAAUAUUUGCCAACUUUUACUUAAAAGCCUACUGACCAAAGAUAGGGCUUAUUCAUAAAAAUACCAAAAUUUUCCCAAGUCCUGGCUUGAACUUAAAACCUCACACACACACAGAAUACUUAACCACUGAAGCAAAUACACAAUUAUGUCACACUUUCGCAAGAACAAAAAUAAAAAUUCUGGGGCGUUACAUGAGAUGUGGAUAAAACCUAGGACCAUUAGGAAAGUGCUAACUUUUUAACCAUCAAACCAAGGACAUUUCUUGAUUAAUUAACCCUAUAUAUUUUGUGGUGUUACAAUUUCUUAAUAGCUAAAUUUCCCAUUUAGCUUUAAGGUGAUAGUCAAUUCGGGAGAAAACCAUGAGAUUUAAAAUCGUACUUAAAAAACAUUUAUUCUGGUAUUUAUUAUUUCUCUUGUUUAAGGAAUAGACAUUGCCGUCUCAUAAAGUUAUAGUGACACCAGGUAAAAAAUAGUUCGUUGAUAUGGUGUUGAUAGACAUACAAUUUGAAGAAUCGAUAUAAUCUGUUAUCGUAUUCGAUCUAUGGAAAAACUCAUUGGCGUGUCCAUUUAAGUGGUUGGUUGGAUCUGUCAAGAGAAAUAACAAUCGAAUUUAAAUGACCCACACGUUUAAGGUUGUUGAUUCUUUUUGGGCUCUUCUAGUUCACAAGGCUAUCGAAGAGCUAAAUCGUGGACUCGUGUUUUGUGGUUAUUCGUUCGGUAAGGGUUAGUUUUUGGGUGUUCCCGUAAUUAAUUUACACACGGAAAGAUUGGUGGUAUUAGGUGCCCUCGAUUACUAUAACAGAUUUAUUGAUUGAAGGAGAAGAUGUUUUAUCAAAGAUCAGCUUGAAACUAGAGCCGAAAUUGAGCCUGAAGCUAGAAUAUUUUCACAUUGGUAUAUUCAAUCUAUUUUUUUUUACUUUUAUUUUGAUUUUAAGUAUUUCUAUUAAUUUUAUUUUAAUCAGAUUUAAUUCCCUUUUUUAUUUUUGUACGGAUCAUCACAUGUCGUGCUUGACACUCAACUUAGCUAAAUCGAAAAAUAAUUUUAGAUAUUCAAUCUCUGUGGGAUCGACCCUACUCCUUAUACUGAUGUUUAUAUAUAGUUUAGGCGUAGGAAUAUUAUUUUUGGUGGAUAUGGCACCAAUCAAUUAUCAAAUAAUUAUUUUCAAAAAUAUAUUUUAAAUUUUUUGACUAAACUACACAUUUAGUCAUCCAACUUUCAUAAAUUUUUAUUUUGUGCACUGAAACAGUGCCCAUAUUGUAGUCUUUUUAUUUUCAGUGCCCCAAAAUAAAAAGAUUGCAAUAUGGGCACUAUUGUUACAUACUUUUAUCAUUUUAGUCACUGUCGGGAGUGACGAUGAUAAAAGUAUGCCGAUAAAAUUUUUUAUGUUUGAAAUUAUCGAAAAUUUAAUUUUAAGGGAUAAAUCCCAAAACUAUACAUGAACUAUGGUUUAAUAUGCAAUUGUAUACAUGAACUUUGAUUUUGUGUAAUUUUAUACAUGAAAUUUUGAUUGGAUCCAAUUCUUUUAAAUUAUUAACACAAUUAUUGAUAUUACAUCAUUUUAUGUUUAUAUAUUGCAUGCAUAAAUAAUUACAUUUAUCCAAUAUAAAAAUAAACUGAUGUAUUUAUUUCUUUAAAUGUGUAUGAUUAAAUCAAAAUUAAAGUUUCAAGUAUAUAUUUGAACCACAAUUAGAGUUUCACGCGUAUAAUUCCACCAAAUUAAUGUUCAUGUAUACAAUUACACAUUAAAUCAAAGUUCAUGUAUAAUUUUUAGAUUUAUCCCUAUUUUUAAUUACUAAAAUUAUCAAAUGCGAGACGAAGUUUAACUUAGAACAUUUAAAUUAAAUAUGCAUUUAAUUCAUGAAUCAUCAAAUAAGAUAUAUUUAUAUUUUCUAUUUCAUUGAAUUGAUAUCAUAAAUUAAUCAAACAUCAAUUCAAUUCAAUUGAAUAGUAAUUAAAAAAUUAUUAUUUAUACUAUUAUAACUUAUUUUUAUUCAGGCUAAGCUCGAUUUUAAACUCACUAUCGCAGGUAAUCAGGUUUCUAGUGUUAAGUUUAAUUUUGAAAAAUCCAAGUUGAAUCUUGCUACACUUUCAUAGCUCGAUUUUAAUUUUUGACCUUAACUUGGGUUAACUUGGGUUUUGACUAUAAAUUUUUAAUGUUGGCUUUUAUGUUAUUUGUCAAUGUUAUUAACAUUUAAGGGUGGCCUCUUUUUCCAAAGGAAGAGAAGAAAAAAGAGAGCGGCGAAGAGAACAGUGAAGCAUUUUAAGAAAAGAAGCUUACAAGAGAGGAGGUGGAAGAAGCAGAAGAAGAAGAAGAGAAUAGAGCGAGAGGAUCUGCUGGUAUAGUAUAUACCUUGUAUUGUAACUCUCUUGUUUGCAUACGGUGAAAUCUCACUUUAAAUAAACAUGAAUAAAAGGUAUAUCUUUUUCAUGCAUAAUACUACUUUCUAAUAAACUUUUAAUUUCCCAAACCAAAAAUUGUUUUGAUGAAUUUUAAUUGAUUUCUAAUUUGCAAAAUUGGUAGCACUCCAUUUGUUGUUCAAAAUUCAUCUAGCAGUACAGAAUCAAUAAAUUUCAUAUGUGACGAAGAAUUGAAUCUAAUAUAUUAUGAUUUUAAAUAUUCAAUAUUAUCAUUUUAAUCAAAUUUUUAUUUGGUAAAUAUAUUUUUUAAUAAAUUUUUUUUCAUCCACAAAGUGGAUGUACUAUAAUUUAGUAAUAAUCAAUAGUCUUCAUUGAAUUCUUAAAAAUUUUGAGAUUUCUAAUUCGAAUAUCGUCUCAUUUAAAUGUGUAAAUUCUUUUUUAAAGUUUUUCAGAUCAUAGUUGAUAUAGUUAUUUAAUUUAAUUCAAAGUUUUCCUAGUUAUAUGUAAAUGAAAAAAUUGCUUCUAAGGUACCUUCACUCAUGCUUCUAAUUAUUAAUUAUUUCAAAUUAUCAAUAUAUUUGUUUUAAAAUAAAUAAUGAAAACCGAAUAGAGAAACAAAGAGAAAACUAGAUGCCUCUACCUAAUUUUACAUCAAAUCAUAGUCAUUAUAUCUUGAGAUUUUCGAUUAUUUAUGUUUGAAGUUUGGAAUUUUCGUGUCGAUUUAUUUAAAAUUUAAUUUUUAUGAACAGUUUAAUUUCUAUAUAAUUUUACAUAUUAUUUAUGAGUUAACAAAAGUAUUGAAAUAAUUUUUUUAAAUUUAAAUUUAAAUAAUUUGUUUAAAAAGUUUUACAUGACAACUUUUUAAAAUCCGAACCCAAUUGUUUAGAUUUUUUAUAAAUGUUGUAUUUAUACAAGUCGAUUCAUAAAAUCACUCUCAAGUCAAUUCAGUUUCUUAUUUUUAUUAUAGCAUUAAAUGAUCUAUCCAAAAUAAUUGAUCCAAAAUAAUGGUGCGAUAGACAUCGGAGCUGUAUCCGGUAGAAGCUUAAUGUCGAACUCAACUUCUCGAUUCAGAGGUAAACCCGGUAACUCCUCAGAAAAACAUUCGAAAAUUCCCUCACUGUUCUCAUAUCCUCAACAGAAAGUCCCAAGAAAAACUAAAACACUAACAUAAGCCAAAUACACCUCACACCCUUUUUGAACCAAUUUCUCAACCACUAGAGCGGAGAUUACAUUAGACUAGUAAUCUCGACGCUCGACAAUUACGACAACCUCCUUAUCAUCCUCAGUCGUUAGAACGAAUUAGUCGCACAAUCCAAGCUAACUCGAUGCUCAACUAACCAGUCCAUACCUAGAAUUAAGUCGAACUCCCCAAACGGUAGCUCCAUCAAAUUUGCCGGAACACACAGCCCCUUGUACCCCUAUAUAGUCUACUAACCCGAACAGAUUGCCCUAACGGACUCAGUACAAUAAUCUCAGUAGAAGUACAAUCAACAGAAAUCCCCAAGUUCUCAAAAACAGAACUAGCUACAUAAGAGUGUGUAGAACCUACGUCUAUCAAAGUAGUAUAUGGAGCAUCAAAAUAAAGAACGUACCCGUGAUCACAUCAGGGGCAUCUCUGUCCUCUCAGUGUCGAGCAGCAUAAACCAGUGCAGGCUGCCUCGCCUCAAUCUGAUUAGCAUCUCUACCCGGUGCUCUGUCCUUAGCCCAUACCAUUACCAUCCCUAGCCAGUCCACGGCCUUUAGGUGGCUGCUGCAUUGCUCACUAAGGCUGAGUAGAACCCGGUCCCGAAGCUUGCAUCUGAUCCACACGAUGUGGACAUUCUCUGAUCCAGUGCUCUAAUGAUCCACAUUUUAGAAAAGCCCCUAAUCUCCUCCAACACUCGCUCGGAUGGCGCCUACCACAAUCACCACAAGGUUGAAUCCAAGUAGGAGCAACAGGAACUCCCACUCUAACAGGCCCAUCAGGUCUAGCUUGUUUCUUAGGCCUUUGAACAGAACUAGAGGGCUCCGAAUCCCUCUUAUUCUUGCCCCUCUCUCUGUCUUUGCUCUGGCGCUCCACGCACUUAACAUCUUCGGCAAUCUUUGUAUUAUCUACCAAAACAACAAACUCACGCUCCCUCUGCGAAGUAAUUAGACGCUCAGACUAUCCCUCAAACCAUCCUCAAAACGGACACAUUUGUCAUACUCGGAUGCCACCAUGCCUCGAGCGUAGCAGCUUAAUCUCAAAAAUUCAGCCUCAUACUCAACCACAGACUUAUUACCUUACGUGAGAUUCAUAAACUCAUGCCUAUGAGCAUCAACAUAGCUCGCGCCCACAUAUUUUCCCUGGAAGGCAGUCUUAAAGUAGUUUCAGUUCAGAUGAUCCAGUUGAGUACCCUCCUCUACCGGUAACCACCACUGAUACGCCUCAUUGUGACGUAAAGAAACUGCACCCUUCAAUUUCUUCUUAGGAGUGUUGUCAAUGUCAUUCAUAAUCCUCUCAGUAGCCACCAACCAAUACUCGGCCACAGUAGGGGCGACUCCAGUGACACUCCUAAACAACUCAGCUCCAUUGAACCGGGGUCGUUCAGUUACUGACCCACGGCCCUCAAAUCCAGAAUAGGGUCCAACGACCCUCUCCAACACCCUUAACAUGGCUUGGGACAAUGCGUCGUCCCCAACUGAGCGGCUUUGAGGCCCAGUCUCAGUAACAUGUGAAACUGAUAUCUUACUCGUAUCUAAAUUCGGUAUACUACCCAGAGAGGAAGACUCAGCUUGAGCCCCCUACGGCGCCUGCCGCACCCACGAAUAUUACGAUCGCGAGUUCCACGAGUGCUCAUCGUAUUUUUAGUUUUAUCUACAUUAUAAAAUUUUAUGCAUCAGUUCCAGUAUUUAUUAAUAGAUAUUUUAUGCUCAAGUUAUCAGAAGUUCCAAAGGAUUUCAGAGGUUUUAAUCUCUAACUAACUUAGUGCAGUUUCAGAAAGUACUAACCACAGUAUUUUCAGAAAAUUCUAUCUAAGUUUAGAAAUACUUACAGGAUCGGCGCCGAAGACUUGAUGUACCACAUACGUACUGAAAAUUAUUCAAAUCAAUUAAAAGCCAGUCCUUUGUCAAAACAUAAUUUUGGAACCCAAAAUUCACAGCCCGAGUUUUGUAACUUGGCUCUGAUACCACUAAAUGUAACACCCCAAACACGACCUAGACGUUAUGGCCGAAUUUGAUAGUGUUACGAAGAAGGGUUUUGAAAUUGAUGAUUUUUCAAUAAACCAUGUUUAACUAUUUGAUAAAACGUCCAAGUAUUAUAAAACAUAUUCAUUACUGAAACCGUUAUAAGUUGUUCCUUAAAAUUAAUCGUUUAUUUUGCAGCGGAAGUUUGGAAAUCGUUUAAAACAAAAACCAAGCUCAUGUUUUCGAAAACCCAUUUGUUGCGUAAAGUGUUUUUGUUGACGUUACGAAAAAAUAGCAAAACAAAAUCCAAAUGCAAAAGUUAAAACCAAAUUGUUUGAAGAGUCCCAAAAAUUACAAACUAUCAAGAAAAACCAAACUUUAAAAUUAAACCACUAAUUACUAAAUAAAAACAGUUCUUGGUCGAGUGGUCACCGCUAAGCCUCCGUCGCACCGACCCGCCUAAGUCUGUGGAUUAAUUGAACAGAACAGACAAACAAUUGUGUAUUUUCGUAAACUCAGUGUGUGACCCAAUAGAAAUAGCCAUGCAACAUGCACAGUGUUUCAUAUAAAGUCAGAUACAGAUUCGACCUUAAGUCCAUAACAAACACAAAUAUCAGAAUCAGAUAAACAAAACAAAUAUACAGAAUCCUACCCCCAUCCUCUACACACCGUCUUCGACCAUCCCAUCACACCACGUAGGGUUAAAAACACCCACCCAUCCCUACACAUUAUAUAAUGUCGAUGCGACACAUAAUAGAUAAUAUGCAGUCAAGCUGCCAAAAUAUAGGCGAAGAGUCGCUACACAGAUCACUUCCUCCACAUAUACAAUUUCCACUCCAUUCACAGAUACAAAGUACAGAUGCAGAAAUAUCAUAUUAAACAUGCUUAACAUGCUCGUAUACAGAUAGAUACAUAAUUAAAUAGUACAAUCAUACAUACAUAUCAGUAUCCUACUCAGAUCAGUCUAUCAAAAUAUCAAAUCACAUGAAAUAAGGUUUGGUUAGCCCUUACUGACCCUACGAUAGGCCCACAAUCGAUCGGAACGACUUGUGCAACUUUAGGGAAAGGUUCAGAAUUCUGGGCCCACAUGCCCGUGUGGCCCCACACGCCCGUGUGGCCUACUAGCUUAGCCCAAAACCCACACACCCGUGUAGUAUGCCCGUGUGGCCCAUACGCCUAACUUGGCCUAGCCCGUGUAGCCCAUACGGCCACACUCACACCGUCACAAUACCGUGUCUUGCGCAGGACCACUCCUUCAUCACUCACACGGCCGUGUCUCGCACAUGGCCAUCUACACGGUCAGCCACAUGCCCAUGUAGCGUCGACAGGCUUCAUUUUUAGCUUUUAUCGAAACUCGAUUUUUCGUGUUAGGAGUACACACCUGGUUCAAUUUUGAUGCGAAAUCACUCUUGAGACCACUAAAACCUAAAAUUUAUCAUUAAAAAGUCAAAUUUAGCUGCAUAAAAUGAUGUUAAACUGAAACUAUAUCGAAUUAACAAUCUCUUGUUCAACCAAAACCCUUACCUUCGAAUGAACAACAGUGAUUUCCUGCAGUUAUAACACUGAUGGAAAGCCUUGAGCCCCUUGAUCUUCUCCUAAACGACAAUAAUGAAACCCCAUCAACCAAAAAUUCACUAGCCAAAAACAAGAACCAAACUUACCAAACCGAAAUUGGGUACCAAGACCGAAAUACAAUGAAUUGCACCAACAAAUUUAAUUAUCGAAACAAAAGAGGAAAGGAGAGCAAAAAUUGACAGAAGUCGAAAAGAAGAAGAAAACAAAACGUCAAAACAAAAAAAAAGAUUUUGGGAAAAAAAUAAAAGAAGAUAAAAUAAAAAUAAAUUAAUCUCAAAAUAAAAGUCCCACUAUAUCCACUCCUAACCAACUGAUAACUACCCAUUUAAACAGACUUUCGAUUCCAUCCAAACUUAGUCAACCGAAGCAAAAAUUAUCACCCUCGCUCACGUAGAGAUUCAAACGUAAGACCUCCAGCAAGCUAACUCAUUACCACUCGAACCAACAGGCUCAUUUUGAUAUAGAUUAACAGACAAUUUAUAUAAACCCACCCAAUAGGGAUAAGGCCUGGAUAAAAAAUAACAAAAUUUUUCCAAAUGUAGGACUUGAACCCUAGACCUCACACACACACACUCAAAACACUUAACCACUAAAACAAACUUAAAUUAUUCAAGGCGUUACAAAGUGGAUUGAAUUUUAGCUUGAUUGGUAUAGGUAUUAUUGUCAAUGUAAGAGGAUCUAGUUUCGAGUGCACUUAAACGCUUUAUCCUCCUAUUUAUGGGUUGGAGAGGGGUUAUGGGUUGAUGAGGGGUUAUGGGUAGUUCUUGGCAUUGUGUUAAAAAAAAUAGAUAUCAUCAAAACUUAUAAUGAGAUUAUUAAAAAAAUGUAUAAACAUAAAACAAAUUUUUUUUCAUCAUUUUCAGAUUUAAAUAAGCUUUAGAUUAAAAUAAAUUUGUGUUGCUUGAGGUUUUCGGAUCUAUUUACUCUCAUUUAAGUUGUAAAGUUUUUAUGAGAGGUAAAAUGCCAUCUCACCAUUUUAAUAGCUUACAUCUUUAUAAUUAUUUAAGGACUAAAUCAAAAUUUUAUUAUUUUUAAAAGUCAAAGUAUAAUUUUUACCAUAUACUAAUUUAUAAAAUUUAUAAAAUUUAAAACGCUAAAACAUAAACUUGCCAUUUUAGGGUGCAGAGCCAACCCCUAUAUUUCGAAUUUGAAUCAAUUUAAGUUUGAAUUUUUAUAUGAUUAAAGAAAAAUAAAAUAAGCUUUAUUUUAAAUUCAUCAAGUUAAAUUUAUCAAGUCAAAUUUUUAGUUAGAAAUCAAAAUUGCAAGGUUUACCUAUAUUAAGAAAAAUUAGCUACUCAAAAAUUGUUAAUAUAUGAACCUGUGUAUUGGCCUGAUGGUUAGGAUAUUUAUCGCCCCAAGUGUGACCUGGGUUCAAGUCGCAUUGCUAUUAGGGCUUUGCCCUCCUCUUAUAAUUCACCAAAAAAUUUGUUGAUAUAUAUUAUAUAGAGAUAGUAAACUAUUCGAAAUUUUUGAGUUGAUUUAUUUAAAUUUGAAUUUCUAUGAAUUUUUAUGUAUUAAUAGUUUAACUUAUAUAUAAUUUUACAUAUUAUUUAUGAGUUAACAAAAUUUUUGAAAUAAUUUUUAUUUAAAUUUAAAUUUAAAUAAUUUAUUUUAAAAGGUCUACAUGACAACUUUUUAAAAUCCGAACCGAAUUGUUUAGAUUUUUUUAAAAUGUUAUAAUUAUACAAGUUGGUUCAUAAAAUCACUCUCAAGUCAAUUUAGUUUUUUUUAUAGCAUUAAAUGAUGUAUCCAAAAUAAUUGAUCAGAUUAACUUAUAUGUCAGUCUAAAAUCAGCACUAAAUGUUAAACAAUUAUGUUAAAUUUAAUUUUUAUGAUUAAAAAUAUAAAUAUCAAUAGUCAUAUUAUUAAAUUUUAGAAAUAAAAUUUUUAACAAAAAUAAUUACUUCAUCUUUAAAUUGUUUUUCACUAUCAAUUGACUAAAUUAUAAUAAAAUUUAUAGCAGCCUCAGUGAAAGGGGGUGCUCAUUCUAGUAAAAGGCAUAAUGUUUUCUUUUUCUUUUUUUAUCUUUUAAUGUUAUAAAAAAGUCAUUUUAGUUUUUCAUUUACUUUUUUAUCUUUUAAGUCUUUAAAUUUGUAUUUUUGUCAAAUCACUCCAAAAAUGAAUGGAAAAGUUAACAUUUUUAACUUUGUUGAUGUUGUAUACAUGUGGACUGCUAUAGGGAUGACAUGCCAACAUUUAAUUAAUUUUUUAAAAUUUAAAAAAUUUAAAAUAUUAUAAAUGUUGGCGCCAUUUUUUUUGAUGAAAACGGGGUCGACUUGGGUUUUGAAAAAUGAAACGGGAGUCGCCACCAAUCCUUUUUUAUGAGGUGUGAUUGGAUCACCUUGAAAAGUGGUUGUUUUUAAUAAACGGUUUAGUUUUAUUAAAACAACGAUUUUGGUCCACAAAAUUCAGAAAAAUGGGUUCGGGAGUCGGUUACGCACGAGGAAGGAUUAGCACCCUCGAUACGCCCAAAAUUGGUACCUAAUUGAUUACUUAAUGUCUUAAUGUCGAAAACUUUGAAGAACUUUAAAAAAUACGAUCCUUAUAUUAAAAUAAAAAUUUUUGGGAAAAGUAGCAUAUUUCACGUUAAUCGAGAAAGAGAAUCAUAUCCAGUAAGUUAGGAUACAAUGUCUCAAAUUCCCAACACGCAAAUGAAAAAUGCUUAUUUAAAAGAUAUUUUAGCCAUCUCGGAUUUAAAAAUGAGAUCACGACCCGUAAGUUAGGACGCAAUUUUUUAAUCCCGAGAUCAUUUAAAAUUUGAGUUUAAAAAGAUUCGUCAUUUAGAUUUAUCGUGAAAAUCGAAACCCAGUAAGUUAAGAUACGAUCCUCUCGAAUCUAAAGACGAAAUAUUAUUUAUUCAAAACAAAUUAUGUUAUGUCGAGUAAAAUAAAACACUAAAAUCGUAGUAAAAAAAUGUGAAAGCAAUUUGCAUUGUUGUUAUUCAUGGCAAAAUCAUAAUGAAUACAAAAGUAUAAAAUGAUAUGAGCAAUAGCAACAAUAAUAAAUAAACGUUAGUCCUACAAUCAUAUAAAAUAACAAUGUAUAUAAACAAAUAAAUCAAAACUUUCAUUCAAAAUAAUAAUAAAAUGAAAUAAAUAGUGAACACAAAUAAAACGUAAAGGAAUAUAUAUAUGUAUAGAAAUGUAAAUUAAAAUAUGUGUGUAUACGUAAGUUACAAAAUAUAUGAAAUAUAUAUAAAGUAUAUUUUAAAAUAUAAAGAAAAAAUAAAUAUGUAUGAAGUGUAUGUAAGUAUAUAAAUAUGUAUAUAUAAUAAAGGUGUAUGAAAAUAUAUUUUAUAUACAUGUAUUUAUAAAAAAAUGCAUAUAGAUAUAUAUAGAUGGUUUUAAGCUAUGAAGUAUGAAAAAUAUGUACAUGUAUGAAUUAUAAAAUAUAUAAAAUAUGUACAUAUAUAUAUGUAAAAAUAUGUAUUUAUAUAUUUAUAAAGGUUAGAAAUAUGUACGUGUAUUAUAAAUAUAUAUGCAUAUAUAAAUAAAUUAUAAAAUAGGUAUGUUUAUAUGUAUAUAUAUAUAUAUUACAAAAAAAUGUGUAUAAGUAUAUGUAAAAAUAUAUAAUAAUAUAUGUAUAUAUCUAUAAAAGCAAUUAUAAUAAUAAUAAUAAUGCAAUAACAAUAAUAAUAUAAAAUUUGUAAAGAAAAUAAACAAAAUCACUAAAGGAUUAGAUUAAACAUUAAACAAGAUUCGGGGGGUUCAAAGCGCAAAUAAACGAAAGGGGAGGGAUUGCUCUGAACACGCAUGUAACAUGGAGGGACCAUCAAAGAAAAUUACCCUUCCUUUAAAACGGCGUAGUUCGAGUAAGGACGAAGUUGAAAAUACGAAAAAAUUUUGGGUAAAUUUAAAAGAUCAAAAGAACCUAAUUUAAAAAGCAUUAAAAAAGCGGAAGGGCUAAAGGUGCAAUUAGCCCUUCCGUCAAAAACACGCGGAUCCCUAGAUCAGACGGGUCGGGUCGCGGGUCGGAUCUCGGUUUAGACGCAAAACGGCGUCGUUUGAGGCCGAAUGAAACAGGCCAAAACGACGCCGUUUCAUUUAGGUAUUUAAACCAAUUUUUGUUUAAAAAAAUCAUUCAGCCCCAUUCCCCUUUUUUAAAAAAACUAAAAACUUCUCAGUUCUCUCUCCCUCUUCCCCUUUCUUGAUCUCGGGUCCGGCCGAGGGCCACCUUGUCGGCCGUCGGAUCGCCGGUGCCAGUGACGCCGUACACGGUGGCCGGCGAGUGGAGAAAGGCGUGCCCUUAGAGAUGCCUAUCUCCUAAACCCGAAUCCGGCCUCAAAAUGACCAAAAACGAAUGGGAAAAGGCUGUUAGGCUUCUCUACAGUCGGUUUCCUCACCGGAGAAGGAGUUUCCGACGAGGAGGAAACAGCGACCCGCGGUGAGUCUCUUUUUUCUUUAUUUUAUGUUUUUUAUUUCGUUUAAAAAAUCAAAAUAAAAUAAAAUAAAUACAACGAAAAAAAGAAAAAGUAAAUAUUGCAAUCGAAAACCCAGGGAAUCACCUUGAAGCUUGAUAUUUUUUAUUAUUCUGUUGAAAUUUGUUUUCUUGGUUACAAAUCGAAAAAAGAAAAAGAAGCCCUUUUGAUUUUUUCAAUCGGCCUUAUAUAGCCAAACUACAAAAUAAAAAAUCUCCUUUUGCUAUCCGUAUUUGCUGUUGCUUGUUGGUGUUUGUUGCAGGUACUGGCGGAGCAGUUGGAGCAGGUGAGUCGGUGGCAAGUGGGCGUGGUGACGGCUGUGAACAGAGGGCAGGUGAGGAGGCCAGGAGCAGGUGCGGCACAACAAGGGGCUAGGGUUUCUGCUAGGUGUUUAUGUUUUGGGCUGAUUGGGUUAGGCUAGUUGGGCCUGGGUAGUUUUUAGGUUAAAAUUUGUUAUUGGGCCCUGGGUCAAAAAUUGGGCUUGUACAGCUGCCCCUCUUUGCUCGUUGUCGUGUAACGAUAACAGAGCAAAGACUAAGAAAGACCAAUUUUUGUCCAGUCUUUGCCGAGUAUUGACUUCUCUUGACGCUUCUUUUCAAGUAACUUUAUUCUAGUCCACUGUGUCUUGUUGCGUCGACCCACUCCACUGUAACUUCCAAAAGACAAAACUUGUAGCUUCAAUCCACUCUAUUGUAGCUUCAGGGGGUAAGGUCCAUCAUUUUGACCCGCUCCACUGCAACUUCAGGGAGAUCGGACUCAUAUCUUCAACUUGCCCCACUACAACUUCAGGGGGAUAAGAUUCGUGACUUCAACCUGCUUUACUGCAACUUCAGAGAGACAAGGUUUGUGACUUCGCUUCCAUCUAUUCUACUACAACUUUAGGGGAAUAAGAUUAGACAUGAUAAGAAUCACUAUCUUCUGUCCGCUCCGCUACAACUUUAGGGAGACACGCCUUAUUGUUUUCAGUCUGUUCCACUGCAUCUUCAGGGAAAUAAGACUUGAUGCGAUCUACUCUGCUGUAACCUCAGAGAGAUAAGAUCUUUUAUUUUAAUCCGCUCCACUGUAACUUCAGGGAGAUAGGAUAGUGUCUUCGAUCUGCUCCGCUGUAAUCUCAGGGGGAUAAGAUCUGAAAUUCUUUGGUCUAUUCCACUGUAAUCUCAGGGAGAUAAGACCUGAUGUGAUCUUCUCUACUGUAACUUCAGAGAGAUAAGAUCUUUUAAUCCGCUCCAUUGUAAUCUCAAGGAGAUAGGAUUACUAUCCUUGAUCUGCUCCGCUGUAAUCUCAGUGAGAUAAGAUCUGAAAUUCUUUGGUCUGUUCCACUGUAAUCUCAGGGAGAUAAGACCUGUAUAAUAAACCUAAUUAUGCCUAAUGAUUAGGAUGACAUGAUCAAAAUGAAACAAAUGCUCCUAACUAGACAUAUGUGAAUGGUGUUUGCAUGAAUGCAGAAUUUUAUUUUUCCGAGAAUGAUCUCGCUUAGGUUAUCACUACUCGAAGUUUAUCAAGGUUUUGUGACUGAUGUGCUACAACGCCUUCUCGCUUGGCUGAUUUUUCUGAAGAAACAUUUAGCCAGACUGUCCCCAUUGUAAACCUCAAAGUUAUAUCCACUGGGAUGCCAAAAUUUGUACCAUCAUUCUCUCACAGUAAUCUAAGGGUAGAAAUAUGUGGCUUUUCCUCUGUCCUCUUUUAUCACAAUUUGGGGAUAUAGGAUCUGAACCGUUCUGGUUUCCUACACCAUUCUCAAGGUGUCGUACCAAAGUCUUAUGCGCAAGUGAAGGCUCUCUUCUCCGAGGUAACCUCUUCCUAUUGCCUGAUGAUCAUUGCUUGCUUGUUCAUUUAAGCUUUGUAAUUAACACGACAGCUUGUCAUUUUGUUCAAUCAAUGUUUAGACGACAAAAUCUGAAAGGAUAGUCUUUAACUUAGACUCUUCCUUCCUAGCUAUUUCACCCUUUAAACUUGGUAUUUUCUAAACAAUAGUCAUGUUUCAGGUCCCUAUAUUAUUUAGAAAUUUUCCAGAGUAAUGUGCAAAACUUCUUUCCUGAAAGUUUUAUUAGUUCGUUAAUCAUUAUUCCUAUGCAACAUGUUUGCAAAAAGAUCAUAACAAUGGAUAAGAAUAAAGCUAGCUCUGAUCAUAACUCAAAUAAAACAUCAAAGAUGGCGAAAGAAAGGUAACAAAGAAGUGGAUUGAGAAUGUGCGUUUUCACAAAAGGAAAGGAAGAAAUAAAGAAAAUAAAAAAAUGUAUUUUCAAGAAUACACAUAAGAACUAGGUGCCCCAGUUAUCACCGAUUGAGUUUCUCUGUACAAACUUUCCGAAGACCCUUCUAAGUUUGACAUGUGUUCAGGAGAUCUGUAAUACUCUGUCAAUGUUCCAAGACGUUGCAUAUCCUUUCUCAUUGGUUCAAGUAAAGGAAGAUCAUCAUAUCCCCCCGAUCAAAAUUUGAUCCGCUCAAGUCCUGAUGUUCCAAUCCUGCCCAAUACUUGAGUCGCCCUUUUCGGGUUUUCGACUCAAGCCCUCUUUGGUCUCAAAGUGCCCUUUACGGGUUUUCACCUUAGCCUCUCCAAAGUCUCCCCCUUUUUUUUUUUUUUAGGAAGCAAAGCGCCCUUUACGGGUUUUCACUUUGGUUCCCCUUUCUUUCAAGUGAAGUACUUCUUGACGGAGUCUGCGUUUACAGGAUUUGGUAAAUUUUUGCCAUCCAUCUCGCAUAGGAUCAAAGCUCCACCGGAAAAGGUCUUCUUUACAACAUAAGGGCCUUCCCAAUUUGGCAUCCAUUUUCCUCUAAAAUCUUUUUGCAUAGGAAGAAUCUUUUUUAGUACCAAGUCCCCUUCACGAAAUUCUCGGGGGCGAACCUUUUUAUUAUAGGCUCGCAUCAUUCGUUUCUGGUACAUUUGCCCAUGGUGAAUAGCUCUUAGCCUCUUUUCUUCUAUUAGGUUCAACUGAUCGUACCGAGAUUGGAUCCAAUCGGCUUCAUCCAACUGUAGCUCAGAUAACACCCGUAGAGAAGGGAUUUCAAUUUCAAUGGGUAAUACUGCCUCCAUUCCAUAAACCAGAGAAAAAGGCGUUGCCCCAGUAGAAGUUCUAACAGAUGUUCGAUAGGCAAGGAGAGCAAAUGAUAAUUUCUCAUGCCAAUCCUUGUAGGUUUCAGUCAUUUUCCCCACAAUCUUUUUAAUGUUUUUAUUGGCCGCCUCCACUGCACCAUUCAUUUUGGGACGAUACGGCGAUGAGUUAUGAUGCUUAAUUUUAAAUUUGCUACAAACUUCAGCUAUUGUGCUAUUAUUCAAGUUCAUCGCAUUGUCGGAUAUGAUCCUCUCAGGCAUUCCAUAUCGACAAAUGAUCUCCUUCUUCAAGAAUUUGCUGACUACUGCUUUCGUGACAUUUGCAUAUGAAGCAGCCUCCACCCACUUGGUAAAGUAAUCAAUUACUACGAAGAUGAAGCGAUGCCCAUUAGAAGCCUUUGGUGAUAUUGGCCCAAUAACAUCUAUACCCCACAUGGAAAACAGCCAAGGAGAGGUCAUGACGUGAAGAGGUGAAGGAGGCGCGUGUAUUUUGUCUCCGUAAAUUUGGCAUUUGUGGCACUUCCUGGCAUAAUCAAUACAAUCUCCUUCCAUUGUGGGCCAAUAGUACCCAAAUCUCAUGAUCUGUCUGGCCAUCGUGAAACCACUGGCGUGCGUCCCACAAAUACCCUCAUGGACUUCUUCCAAAAUUUUCUUGGCUUCUACAGCAUCCACACAUCUUAACAGUACUUGAUCCUUCCUUCUUUUAUAUAACACUUCUCCAUCUAAGACAUAUUCAAUGGCUAUCUUUCUCAGAGUUCUUUUGUCAUUCUCUGUCGCUUGAUCAGGGUAUUCCCGAUUCUUCACAUAUUGUAGGAUACUCUGAUACCAAGGACAAUCAUCUUUUCCCUCCUCCUCAAUAUUGCAGCAAUUAGCCGGGGUCUCAGAGAUACUCAUCUGGACAGGCCUCAUUGCCUCAAGUCUAUUCACCUGAAUCAUCGAAGCUAGAGUAGCUAAUGCAUCAGCCAUUUGGUUUUCCUCCCGUGGGAGGUAAUAGAAGGUGAUAUCGUCAAACUCCUCAGCCAAUUCAAGAACUAGUUUUCUAUAACCGAUUAGCUUAGGAUCUCUAGUCUCCCACUCCCCUUUAAGUUGGUAUAUCACCAACGCUGAAUCCCCGUAUACUCUCAAUACUUUGAUGUUCCAUUCAAUGGCUGCACGAAUGCCCAUAAUACAUGCUUCAUAUUCUGCCAUGUUAUUUGUACAAUCGAAGUCCAACUUGCUAGCAACAGGAUAAUGAUCUCCACUUGGGGAUACCAAGACUGCCCCAACUCCAUUACCCGUAGCAUUUGAAGCUCCAUCAAAAUUUAACUUCCAUACGUGAUCCAUUUGAGGAUUUUCUUCAGUAUUCGCCACAUACAUCAAGUCCUCGUUUGGAAAAUCGAAAUUCAAAGAUUCAUAGUCCUCCAAGGCUCUACUAGCUAGGAAAUCGGCUAUUGCACUUCCCUUUAUGGCCUUCUGACUGACAUAUACUAUAUCAAAUUCUGAGAGCAAGAUCUGCCAUCUAGCCAUUCUCCCGUUCAAAGCAGUCGAUUCCAUCAUAUAUUUUAAAGGAUCUAACUAUGAAAUCAGCCAAGUCGUGUGAUACAACAUAUACUGCCUCAGUCUUCGGGUUGCCCAGAUUAGAGCACAACACAACUUCUCAAUUGAUGAGUACCUCAUUUCGCAAUCGGUAAAUUUCUUACUGAGAUAGUAUAUUGCCCUUUCUUUCUUUCCCGCCUCAUCAUGUUGGCCCAAUACGCAUCCCAUGGAAUUCUCCAACACUGUUAGAUACAAUAUCAAUGGCCUAUCUGGACUUGGAGGUGAUAAGACUAGAGUAUUAGCCAAGUACUGCUUUAUCUUAUCGAAAGCCCUCUGACACUCUUCAUCCCAUUCGCCCGGAUUAUGUUUCUUUAAGAGCCGGAAUACUGGAUCACAUUUCUCUGUCAGUUGUGAGAUGAACCGAGCAAUGUAAUUCAGCCUCCCUAGGAAACCUCGAACCUCCUUCUGAGUGCGCGGGGGAGGUAAAUCUCGUAUUGCCUUUACUUUGUCUGGGUCAACCUCGAUCCCCUUUUUGCUAACUAUGAAGCCUAAUAACUUCCCUGAUCUGGCUCCAAACGUGCAUUUGGCCGGGUUAAGCUUGAGCUGAAAUUUUUUUAAUCUCAAAAAUAACCUUUUCAAGACCUGAACAUGCUCUUCUUCCGUUCUAGACUUCGCGAUCAUAUCGUCAACAUAGACUUCGAUCUCCUUGUGCAUCAUGUCAUGAAACAAAGUCACCAUAGCUCUUUGAUACGUUGCUCCCGCAUUCUUCAAUCCGAAGGGCAUUAUAUUGUAACAGAAUGUUCCCCAUAAGGUAAUGAAUGUGGGUUUCCUCAUGUCUCCAGGAUGCAUCUUUAUUUGAUUGUAUCCAGAGAAACCGUCCAUGAAAGAAAACAAUGAAUAGCCGGCCGUGUUAUCUACCAAAGUAUCAAUGUGAGGCAGUGGAAAGUUUUCCUUUGGACUAGCCUUGUUUAAAUCCCUAUAAUCCACACACAUUCGUACCUUUCCAUCUUUUUUGGGAACCGGGACGAUGUUGGCUACCCAAUCCGAAUACUUGACCUCUUGUAAGAAACCAGCGUCGAAUUGUCUUUUAACUUCUUCUCUUAUUUUCAACACAAUGUCAGGUCUCAUUCUCCUAAGCUUCUGUUGAACGGGUUUACAAUCCUCCUUUAUGGGCAGACGAUGCACCACAAUGUUAGUACUUAGCCCAGGCAUAUCUUGGUACGACCACGCGAAAACAUCCUUGAACUCUCAGAGCAAAUUAAUAAGGUCUUGCCUUGUCUUUGCGGUGAUUUCAGUUCCAAUUUUCACCUCCUUUUCGUCCUCUAGGCUCACUAUUUCUAACGAUUCCCUAUGAGGUAGGAUAUGCUUAUCCUCUUGUUCCAUCAUUCUUAACAAGUCCGGAGAUGCAUCAUAAUCUUCGUCAUUUUCAAAGUCGUGGGAUCCCUCUGAACACACUUCUUGCUCAAAAAUAGGCUCCAUGUUUGAGGCUCAUAAGGGCAGAUCUCCAACAAAGCCCUCCUUUCCGUUGCUUCUAUGGCGUUGGUAUAAACGUUUUCCAACAUUCCUCCCAUGCCGCUACCGGACACUCCACAUUCAGAAUGAAUAAAUCCUCCCGACACAAAAGAUGUAGAUAUGUGGGGAAAGGUUAAAGGCUCACACUUAGCUUCAUGUCCAUUCAAACGCGCCCUUCUUCUCUCUUGUCUCUUCUCUACUUCUUUCUUCUUCUGCUUCAUGUCUGGCUUGUACCCUAAACCAAAUCUAUCAAACUUUUCCUUCGGCAUUGGUGCCUCAAUCUUUCCCUGAAGAUAUUUUCCCAAUCCUUUCCCGGGUAAGGCUCCUCUUCCUACCAUCAAUCGCAAUCCCAUCUCAGUGGUUCUGGAUAUUUUCGGUACUGGAAUUCUAUUUCCCUCCGCAAUAAACAUCGCGUUCACAAAUUCUAACGACCGAAAAGAACAUUCUAGUGCCUCAUCGUUGAUGUCCACAUAAGGUGCAUCGCUAGUCAUCAUUGCGAUAAUAUCCUCCUCUGCAUCUAUUGUUACCAACCGAUCCUCCGAUACCAACUUCACCUUCUGAUGUAAUAAUGAAGGUACUGCCCCUGCUGAGUGUAUCCACGGUCUCCCCAAUAGACAGUUGUAGGAGGGUUUAAUAUCCAUUACCAAGAAAUCCACCUCAUAAGUGACUGGGCCAAUCCUUAAUGGUACCUCAAUUCUCCCCAUAACCUCCUUUUUUGUUCCAUCAAAUGCCCUUACUAUGCUCUGGCAUGCUUUCAUGUGCGAACUGUCUAUUGGUAAUCGACUAAGAGUGGACAAAGGCAAUACAUUUAGUGCAGAUCCAUUAUCAACCAAGGCCCCCGGGAGUGUGUACCCUUUGCAUCGGACAGUAACAUGCAGGGCUUUAGUAGAACCUCUUCCUCCGGAUGGUAUUUCAUCAUCACUGAAGAAGAUAAAAUUGUCAGCACCAAUAUUGUUGAUCAGCCGAUCCAGCUUGUUUACCGAAAUAUCGUCAGCCACAUAUGUUUCGUUUAGCACCUUUAAUAGUGCAUUCCGAUGUACUUCUGAGUUUAAGAGUAAAGCUAAUACAGAAAUGCGGGCUGGCUGUUUGUGCAGUUGCUCCGCAACACUGUAUUCACUGUGUUUCAAAAACUUCAAAAACUCCUUUGCCUCCUCUUCUUUUAUUGGUUCAUUUACCAAUGGUUCAACUUCUACUGCUUUCCCUUUCCUCUGUUCUUUCUUCCAAUUCUCUUCCCUGGACGACUCUGCUUGAGCAUCAUAUCUUUUUCCAUUGCGCGUGUAAGAACCUAUUUCCUGAUUUCUUUCUGCUUCUUUUCCCAAAAUGGUCACAUUGCACCCGUAAUUCCACGGCACCAUUUUGUUAUCCCUAUAAGAGAAAUUUGAUGGUUUCUGGAUUACAAUUUUUGGUGUUACCUGAGCCCUAACCUCAUUACCCUUAGGGCGUGAGAUAAUGACCACAGGAUGAUUUAUUUUUGGAGCCUUUGUUCCCAACUCUGUCGCGCAUAUGCUCCUCAUUUCUUUCGCAUCUUCGUAAAACCUCAUCUCCUUGUUAUCCAUCAUGCUUUGAACCAAAGCCUUAAAUCCUUCACAUUCUUGGAUUUCGUGCCCUGUUUUAUGGUGAAAUUCACAAUAAUUUCCCAUCUCAUGCCCUUCCUCAGAAUCUGAAAUAACCAAACCUCUUUUCGCCAUUUCUUUCCAGACCCGUUUCAAUGGAGUUUUUACUUCAGCAAUGUCAGUCUUGACUUCUUCUCCCGUACCUUCGCUAACCAUAUUCACCCCCUUAUCUGCGUGAUUAGGUAACGGAUUCUUUGCGUUAGGUGAGUCGUCAAGUUUGACAACACCUAAAUUGAUAAGUCCUUCUACUACCUUCUUGAAGGCCGUACAAUUUUCUAUCGAGUGCCCAGAAAUUCCCGCAUGAUAAUCACAUUGCGCGUUCGUAUCAUACCAUUUUGGAUACGGGGGUUGUAGAGGACUCAAGUAACGAGGAGCAACAACAUGUGCAUCGAAUAAAGUCUGAUACAACUCCUUGUAUGACAUCGGGAUUGGCGUGAAUUGGGGCUUUUCAGUAGUUUGCCUAGCUCCCGACUCUUGUCUUGAUGAUCCCUGUUGAUUAGCAACCACUUUCUUUGGUUGAUUCACGGUAAUUGACCUACCAUAAGCAUUCACAUUAUUCACUUCAUUUUCUCUUUUCCUCAGGGGUGCCCUCCUAUUAUUUUCUCCUCCAUCUAUUUUUCCACUUUUAAUGGCAUGCUCAAUCAUUUCACCGUUCAUGAUUAUAUCCGAGAAAUUUUUUGAAGCGCUUCCCAACAUGUGAGUGAUGAACGGGGCUUUCAAAGUAUUAAUAAAAAGCGUCGUCAUCUCUUUUUCCAAAAGCAGUGGUUGCACCUGAACCGCCACCUCUCGCCACCUCUGCGCAUAUUUUCUGAAGCUUUCGUUCGAUUUCUUCUCUAAAUUUUGCAGAGUUAUCCUGUCAGGUAUCAUUUCUGAGACAUGAUUGUAUUGUCUCAGGAAAGCCUGUGCUAAAUCCCUCCAAGUAGCAAUUUUAGCUCGGCUCAGCUGAUUGUACCACUUUGACGCCGCUCCCGUAAGACUUUCCUGAAAGCAAUGUAUUAAUAAUUGAUCAUUAUUAAUAUGCCCCGUCAUUCUUCUACAAAACAUAGUAAUAUGGGAUCCUGGGCAACUAGUCCCGUUGUAUUUCUCAAAUUCCGGCAUCUUAAAUUUGUAAGGGAGCACCAAGUCCGGAACCAAGCUCAGAUCCUUUGCAUCUAUUCCAUAGCUUUCGAUGCUUUCUAUUGCCCUAAACUUCUCUUCUAUCCAUUUCCAUUUCUCCUCAAAUUGUUUUGAAAAUUCCUCCUUCGCCUUGUCCUUUUCAACCAUCUCGUAAAGAUCUGGGACAGCAAUAUUAUUCGGGCUAUCACCGGGAUUAAAGCCCGCUCCGGGUUGAAAAUUCAUUGGGAUUGAAGCAUCGCCUUGGAACUGCUGGGGCCUAACCGACACAGAGGGUCUCCGCGGAUGCAGCUCAGUCUGUACUUGCGCAUGCGGAUGCGUGAAACCUAGAGGAUAAAGUGGUUCACCAUUGUUUUCUUCUUCACUAACAAUCACAGGACCUUUACCCUUAUCUACUCCCUUCAAUAAUUGCGUCAUCUUAGCCACCAGAUCAUUUUGGGACUCCUCCAUCUUUUGCACCAUGUCACGCUGAAUCUUUUCUAUUUGCUCUUUCAUUUGCGCCUGCAACUGGUCUUGCAUUUCUUUUUGAAGUCGCUCUAGCUUCUCCAACCUUUGGUCCAUAAUUUUUGUCUUAGCUCGGGUGCCGUAACUUUGUUGGUUUUCCAGGUUAACUGAAAUGAUUUUAUUCGAUUAGGUUUUUAAUGGUCAUUAAUGCAUAUGAUGUGAUGCAAUGCAUGAAAAGAAUGCAAAGAAAAAGAGGCACUGAUUCUAAUUCAACUUCAUUAGAAAACUUUACUAGAUAAAGAGUUUCUUUACAUAAAAUAGACUACAUAUAUGGCUUUGCCCUUACACUCAAAGCCUUAACCUUUCUAAGAAGCCAAGCUAACUCUCGGCCCCUGUUCGACACUAACUCAUACUUCAAACUUAAUAGAUCAGCCUGAACCGCUAGAGUUUACAGAUGAUCAGCUACUUCGCGCACUUGAGUCACCGCCUCUCCCAUAAUAUAAUCUCUUUCUCCAAUCUGCUCUUGAGACCGACGGAAUUGUCUUUGCCACUGCUCAUUACUUUCUUCCAGAAGCUCUAUCUGGAUUUCACUAUUUUGCAAUGCAUUCUCUAGCCCUCCUAUUUGUCUUUUUAAUUCUUCAAUUUUGUCUAAGCUCGCCCUUAAUUCAACCGUAGCAUUACGAUUACAGUACUGGUGAAGCGACCUUUCUAGUUCAGUUAUCCGGACCUUCAACUCCGUCUUCUCGUCUUGGCAAACUAGUAGACUCUUUCCCAAGGCGACUUCUCGAGCCCGAGUAUCCUGAAAUUUCUUUUCCCAUUGAUUAGCUUUCAUCUUUUCCUCCUGAAUUUCUUGUCGCCAUUGUUCUGGCGUUUUACCCAAGCCAGCAGCUCUUACCGACCUACGCAACUUCUUGUAAUCUGUCUUCAGGCUGUCCAAAUCUUCUUCUGCUUUGUUCUUUCCUUUUCUCAAUUUAUCGGCCUCUAACCUUUGAAUGUCCACAUCCAGUCCUAACUGCAUUUUUUCUUCCUCUAGUUGUUCUAUUUUCUUCCCCAAUUCUAAACUCCUUUUUUCAAAUUCUUGUUUGAUGAUUUCUAUCUCAGAAGGCAAAACUUGUAAAUGUUCCUCCAAAGAUCGAGCAGUUUCUGGAUUUGACGCCGGGAUGUUGUCGUUGAUCCUUUGAUCACGCCACCGACCAUACUCGGGGGUAAUUGUCGGACCCACGGCUAAGAUCUUCAUUCGACGAGUCUGGUUCCAGGCACUAGAUAUUUCCCGAACCUUCUUCUUGUAAUUGUCCUCCCUAUAGGAAAAAUCAUAAUAGGCCAACCCCUGCGUUGCUGGUAUGAAUUAUCGUGAUCUAUACUGUCUUGAUACGAAUAGAGGAGCAUAUCCGAUAGCUCCCCAUAUCCCGAGCAGCGGAACCCAGUCAAAAUCUCCACAUUGGUACAAUAUCUCAUCAGGAAUUAACCAAGGAGCCCUCCAUUCAAUAUCUUCAUCCUGGAGAUUCUGGAGUAUCUCUAUCCAUUUUUCUUCUGAAAUAUCAUCCCGUCUUGGCGUGGCCACCAAUUCUCCUAGAGGGGAGUAGCUAUCAGAGAAUACCCGAUAAGAGACCUUUUCGACUUUCCAGAAGUGGCUAUGGAACCAUGCCAAUAAAAGCUGCGCGCAUCCAAUAAACCUUCUCUCCCCUGCUUUUCGACACGCAUUCAAGGAUCUAAAAGUUUCAGCGAGUAUUGCCGGAACCGGCGUAACCCCUUUACUAAGCCGAUCAAACAAAUCAGAUACAGCCUCGUCUAUGUGUCCUAAAGCUUUGGGGAAAACCACUAGUCCAUAGAUACCUAAAGCGAAGACAUCGACCCUUUUCUUUAAGUCAGGAUGUACAAGCACCAAAUCUCGCAAACUUUUCCAAGGAACACAAUUACUGUUGCCCUUCUGUUGGAUCCGGGCAGCGACCCACUGCUCGCUCAUCCCAGUGAUGUUCAUUAAUUUCUUUAACAACGGAGGGACACAAGCAGCUCUGGAAUAAGCCUUGUCGACUUGAAUCUUUGGGCACCGAAGCAAGGUCGUAUACUCCUCCACAGUAGGCGUCAAAUCUACCUUCCCAAAAGUGAAACAACUGUAGGCAGGAUUCCAAAACUGAGCAAGGGCUCGGAAUAAAUACUUGUCCACUUUGACACUAAGCAGAUAAGGUAGGUCACCGUAGUUACAAUAGAACAGCUGCUUGGCCUCGACAUCCCAUUGAUCCCAGACUUCUUUCAUUUCUCGAAGGUCAUUCUGGAUUACACUGAUACGGGUAAAAUCCCACAAUUCUGACACGUACCCUUCGGUAAGACUAUCGCCUUUCUCCCGUUGUGUCGUUUCAGCCCAUAUUCGCACAGCCGCAUUAUCCUCUACUUUAUCAACAAACCCCUUUUCCAUGAUAAGCUUUCUACCAAGAAACUGAACGUAAAUCGACACCUCUUUUAGAAUGAAGAUGCCAUGCAAUCACAAACAAAGUAAAUUAGCAUUAAACACAGAAUAAGAUUUAAAAUAAGCGACAAAUAAAUACAACAUUCAUUUAGGUAAGCACUAAAAAUUUGGAGUAGCUCUACCUAGGUCAGUUCCUAUGGCUCAUUACAUGUGGUUUGGUUCUAAAGUAGGGUACCUGAACCAGCAAAUUCCUCGAUCCUCACCCAUUAUAGGCUCAUACGGACCAAGUUCGAUUCAGGGGGAUACAUUUCCCUAUGGCCAUGCGGAGAUGAAAAUCUCACGAAGACAUAGGUACGGAUAUAUCCCGAAAGCGAUUCACUAUCCCAUGCGGAGGUGAAAACCUCACGAAGGCGUAGCUUCUCACUCCCACCUAAAAAGGUGUGACCAACGGUCAUGCAAUGCAAUGCGGAAAGAUACCAAAAUUUAAACAAAUAGAGCAAUUAUAAACCCCAAUGAUGAUGAUUAUGAUAAAGACAGAUAAAAUGCGAUGAAAGGAUCGUAAUUUUAAACCGAAUUUUCAAUUUUUGACAAAAGACAAAAAGUAAUCACCACGUGGCUUGACCCUCUUAUCGGUGUCCCCAGUGGAGUCGCCAAGCUGUUGGCGCCAUUUUUUUUGAUGAAAACGGGGUCGACUUGGGUUUUGAAAAAUGAAACGGGAGUCGCCACCAAUCCUUUUUUAUGAGGUGUGAUUGGAUCACCUUGAAAAGUGGUUGUUUUUAAUAAACGGUUUAGUUUUAUUAAAACAACGAUUUUGGUCCACAAAAUUCAAAAAAAUGGGUUCGGGAGUCGGUUACGCACGAGGAAGGAUUAGCACCCUCGAUACGCCCAAAAUUGGUACCUAAUUGAUUACUUAAUGUCUUAAUGUCGAAAACUUUGAAGAACUUUAAAAAAUACGAUCCUUAUAUUAAAAUAAAAAUUUUUGGGAAAAGUAGCAUAUUUCACGUUAAUCGAGAAAGAGAAUCAUAUCCAGUAAGUUAGGAUACAAUGUCUCAAAUUCCCAACACGCAAAUGAAAAAUGCUUAUUUAAAAGAUAUUUUAGCCAUCUCGGAUUUAAAAAUGAGAUCACGACCCGUAAGUUAGGACGCAAUUUUUUAAUCCCGAGAUCAUUUAAAAUUUGAGUUUAAAAAGAUUCGUCAUUUAGAUUUAUCGUGAAAAUCGAAACCCAGUAAGUUAAGAUACGAUCCUCUCGAAUCUAAAGACGAAAUAUUAUUUAUUCAAAACAAAUUAUGUUAUGUCGAGUAAAAUAAAACACUAAAAUCGUAGUAAAAAAAUGUGAAAGCAAUUUGCAUUGUUGUUAUUCAUGGCAAAAUCAUAAUGAAUACAAAAGUAUAAAAUGAUAUGAGCAAUAGCAACAAUAAUAAAUAAACGUUAGUCCUACAAUCAUAUAAAAUAACAAUGUAUAUAAACAAAUAAAUCAAAACUUUCAUUCAAAAUAAUAAUAAAAUGAAAUAAAUAGUGAACACAAAUAAAACGUAAAGGAAUAUAUAUAUGUAUAGAAAUGUAAAUUAAAAUAUGUGUGUAUACGUAAGUUACAAAAUAUAUGAAAUAUAUAUAAAGUAUAUUUUAAAAUAUAAAGAAAAAAUAAAUAUGUAUGAAGUGUAUGUAAGUAUAUAAAUAUGUAUAUAUAAUAAAGGUGUAUGAAAAUAUAUUUUAUAUACAUGUAUUUAUAAAAAAAUGCAUAUAGAUAUAUAUAGAUGGUUUUAAGCUAUGAAGUAUGAAAAAUAUGUACAUGUAUGAAUUAUAAAAUAUAUAAAAUAUGUACAUAUAUAUAUGUAAAAAUAUGUAUUUAUAUAUUUAUAAAGGUUAGAAAUAUGUACGUGUAUUAUAAAUAUAUAUGCAUAUAUAAAUAAAUUAUAAAAUAGGUAUGUUUAUAUGUAUAUAUAUAUAUAUUACAAAAAAAUGUGUAUAAGUAUAUGUAAAAAUAUAUAAUAAUAUAUGUAUAUAUCUAUAAAAGCAAUUAUAAUAAUAAUAAUAAUGCAAUAACAAUAAUAAUAUAAAAUUUGUAAAGAAAAUAAACAAAAUCACUAAAGGAUUAGAUUAAACAUUAAACAAGAUUCGGGGGGUUCAAAGCGCAAAUAAACGAAAGGGGAGGGAUUGCUCUGAACACGCAUGUAACAUGGAGGGACCAUCAAAGAAAAUUACCCUUCCUUUAAAACGGCGUAGUUCGAGUAAGGACGAAGUUGAAAAUACGAAAAAAUUUUGGGUAAAUUUAAAAGAUCAAAAGAACCUAAUUUAAAAAGCAUUAAAAAAGCGGAAGGGCUAAAGGUGCAAUUAGCCCUUCCGUCAAAAACACGCGGAUCCCUAGAUCAGACGGGUCGGGUCGCGGGUCGGAUCUCGGUUUAGACGCAAAACGGCGUCGUUUGAGGCCGAAUGAAACAGGCCAAAACGACGCCGUUUCAUUUAGGUAUUUAAACCAAUUUUUGUUUAAAAAAAUCAUUCAGCCCCAUUCCCCUUUUUAAAAAAACUAAAAACUUCUCAGUUCUCUCUCCCUCUUCCCCUUUCUUGAUCUCGGGUCCGGCCGAGGGCCACCUUGUCGGCCGUCGGAUCGCCGGUGCCAGUGACGCCGUACACGGUGGCCGGCGAGUGGAGAAAGGCGUGCCCUUAGAGAUGCCUAUCUCCUAAACCCGAAUCCGGCCUCAAAAUGACCAAAAACGAAUGGGAAAAGGCUGUUAGGCUUCUCUACAGUCGGUUUCCUCACCGGAGAAGGAGUUUCCGACGAGGAGGAAACAGCGACCCGCGGUGAGUCUCUUUUUUCUUUAUUUUAUGUUUUUUAUUUCGUUUAAAAAAUCAAAAUAAAAUAAAAUAAAUACAACGAAAAAAAGAAAAAGUAAAUAUUGCAAUCGAAAACCCAGGGAAUCACCUUGAAGCUUGAUAUUUUUUAUUAUUCUGUUGAAAUUUGUUUUCUUGGUUACAAAUCGAAAAAAGAAAAAGAAGCCCUUUUGAUUUUUUCAAUCGGCCUUAUAUAGCCAAACUACAAAAUAAAAAAUCUCCUUUUGCUAUCCGUAUUUGCUGUUGCUUGUUGGUGUUUGUUGCAGGUACUGGCGGAGCAGUUGGAGCAGGUGAGUCGGUGGCAAGUGGGCGUGGUGACGGCUGUGAACAGAGGGCAGGUGAGGAGGCCAGGAGCAGGUGCGGCACAACAGGGGGCUAGGGUUUCUGCUAGGUGUUUAUGUUUUGGGCUGAUUGGGUUAGGCUAGUUGGGCCUGGGUAGUUUUUAGGUUAAAAUUUGUUAUUGGGCCCUGGGUCAAAAAUUGGGCUUGUACAAUAAAAUUAUUUUUAAAAAAUAAAAAUUAUUAAAAAAUACAAAAACAAUAUUUUUAAUAGUUUAGAGAUGAAUUAAAUGCUAACAUGUCAUCUACUCAGCAAUCCACAUGUAUAACACGUCAUGAAAGUUAAUAAACAUUUAUUUUUUCAUCCACUCUGGAGUGGCUUGACAGAAAAUGUAAAUUCAAGUGUUAAAAGAAGCGAAAAUUUUAAUGGAGGGCUAAAAUGACUUGUUUUGUGAAGUUGGAGGGCCAAAAAAUAAUUAUGCCAAAACUAAAUGAUUAAUAGAAAACAAGGGGAAAUUUGCAUGCAUCUAUAUAAUUUUAUUUCAAACCAUUGUCAUUAUCUUGAGAUAUACAUUGGCAAACAUUCAUUGAAUAUACCUUGGGAAAAAAAAAUACUACAAGACAACGAAAUUAAAUAUCAUAAUCAAAUGUUGAAAAUGAAUGAUAAGAAAUUUAAAUUAAAAAUCAAACAUAGUAGGCUUGAUGUGCAAGCUAUCUGCAAUCUUUUUUUUUAAUUGUUUUAUUAUAUAGAUUUUAAUAUUUCUUACGUCUUUUAUCAGUCAAUUUGAACUGAUGCAUUCAUUUGUUUCAUUCAUAUGGUGUUGGAUCACAUUAAAAAAUAUAUACAAUUAAUUAAUCAUUUUUAGCUUAAUAAAAAAUAUAUAAUCUUGAUUGGUAUGAGUAUUAUUAUUAAUGUAAGAGGAUCUAGUUUUAAGUGUGCUUAAGCGCAUUAUCCUCCUAUUUAUGGGUUGAGGAGGGGUUAUGGGUAAUUUUAGGCAUUAUGUCAAAAAGAGCAUAUAUGAUCAGAACUUGUAAUGAAAUUAUUAAAAAAAAUGUAUAAACAUAAACAAUUUUGUUUACAUAAUUUUUAGAUAUAAAUGAGCUUUGGAUUCAAAUAAUUUUGUGUUGCUUGAGGUUUUCGGAUCUAUUUACUCUCAUUUAAGUUGUAAAGUUUUUACGAGAGGUAAAAUGUAAUUUCAUUAUUUUAAUAGCUUACGUCUUUAUAAUUAAUUAAAGGUUAAAUCAAAAUUUUAUUAUUUUUGAAAGCUAAUGUGUGAUUUUUACCAUGUAGUAAUUUUUAUAAUUUAUAAAAUUUAAAACACUAAAACAUAAACUUACCAUUUUAGGGUGCAGAGCCAGCCCCUAUAUUUUGAAUUUGAAGCAAUUUAAGUUUAAAUUUGUAAUUUUUUAUGAUUAAAUAAAAAUAAAAUAAGCUUUAUUUUAAAUUGAUCAAGUAAAAUUUAUCAAGUCAAAUUUUGAGUUAGAAAUCAAAAUUGUGAGGUUUACCUAUAUUAAGAAAAAUUAGCUACUAAAAAAUUGUUAAUAUAUAAAUUUGUGUGUUGGCUUGUUGGUCAGGGUAUUCAUCGCCCCAAAUGUGAUUUGGGUUCGAGUCGCGUUACUGUUAACGUUUUGUCAUCCUCUUGUAAUUUACUAAAAAAUUGUUAAUAUAUAUUAUAUAAAGAUAGUAAACUGUUGACUAACAUAAUGUCAUCAUUCAUAGAGGAAAAAAAAAGGCACAUUGAUCAUAUUUUCAGCCAUCCAUAAAAUAGCAGUAAAAUAAUUGACUUGAGAAAUAACACAUAAAAUCAUAUGAUAUAUUUGAUACACUGAGAGCAUUGAAGAGUCAUUUGAAUCAUCGUAAAAGACAAAGUAGACAAUUCAGUGACGAAAUUCUCAAUAUAUAUAACUACGAAAUUCCACACAAAAUUGUGAAAACAACGAAAAAUAUCUAAUAAAAAUAAACCAUUCAAACAAGACCGCUUGACUCUUUGAGUAAUGAAUUUUUUUUCACAAUUAAUUUAACAUGUUUUUCCAAUUUGAAUAGUAAACACUAUAGUUGCAAUUCAGUCAAUACUAGAAAUUUAUAUUUUAAACCCAUCGUUUAGAAUAUUCCAUUUUUUACAUUGGAAAUAACACAAAAGAUUCAAAGGAAAAAUAAGCAAAUUUCAUCAAAGGCGUCUAUUUGUAAUGGAAAAUUUAUAAUGUGGAUCCUUGUAUUAUAAACUAAAGAACAAAUUAACUCCUUAAGUAUAAAAGUGAGCAAUUUAGUCCUUUAGGUCUUUUCUCUUUUUUCUCCAAGCCGUUUGUUUCUUCUUUUUUGUUUUGCGUAGCAACGGUGGCAAUCUCCGGGCUGGCUACUGCCCACCUUUUGCUCCCUCCAUUCCAUAUGUUUUCUCUCUUUUCAAUUGAUACAUCUAUUUUGUAGGUAUCUUUGUUGCCUUCACAUGUUGUGAUGGACAGAUGAUGAUGCCUAUCGUCGCUGAAAUUACCCUGGCCAUCAACAGUUUCUCUAAGAAAGUGGGUGACUUUUAAUUGGCUCUUGAUCUAUUUUUGUUUGGAGAGUAUUUUAGAAUAAUAAAUAAUUUUACGAAUCAGUUUGGACCUCUAGUAUUUUAAGUCGUCACCAUUCAUUCCAUGAAUGGAAUCAUAUCAUUUAUGUAAAAGAUAAAACUUAAACAUGUCUUUAUAUUUGUAAAAACUUAACAAUAAGAAGGCUUGACUAUUUGAAUAAGUUAUUUUUCACAAUAUUUUCAAUUUGAAUUGUAAGUACUCCAUAGUUGUAUGAUUCAGUGAAUACUAGAAAUUUAUAUUCAAAACCCAUCAUUUAAAAUUUUCUGAUACAUUAGAAUUGAGAAGAAAAAUAUUUAGAGUAAGCAAAUUUCAGCAAUGGCGUCUAUAUUUAUAAUUGAAAGUUAUCAAUAAAAUUAAUAUCUUAUUUCUUUUUAAUAUUUUAUUGUGCAUGCGUAGUUUUACUAAUGGCAUUGAUAUCCCAGAAUUAAAAUAUUUCCAACAAGCAUGUGCUCUAUUGAUUGACUUUAAAGUCUCUAGAUUUUUAAAAUGAAUUUACUAAAAAAAUGAAAAAAAAUUAUUAGAAUUAAUUUUUAUUAAUUGAUAAUAAACUUAUGAAUAAUUAAGUAUUACAUUUUUAUUAAUUCCAAAUCAAACUUCUUUUUUUAUAUAAUACCUAAAACUACUUAUAAUCCCUUCCUAAUCCUUAAAUAAGAAAAUAAUGUGUUUCAACAUAUUCAAACCCACAUCUUCCUGCACUGACAGAUUAUAUAAAUUUAAAUAUUCAAUAUAUAUAUUUCUCUAAAACUGACAUGUUGAAAAAGGAAAUCACAACUAUAAAACAAUCAUCUUCAAAGUUUCAAUAAUAAAAUAAGUAUAAUACAAAUUUAAUGAUAAAUUCAUGAUGUGUUAGGAUAUAAAACUAAUAUUUUAAAAAAACGAUAUGAAAUUAUAAAUUCUAUUGUGAUUAUAGUAUAUUUAUAAAUGAAUGUUGGGAUAAUUAUAAAAUGGAAUUAAAUUAAUAUAAAAUACAUUAAAAAUUAAAAUAAUUAAAACUAAAAUUGAUUCAUUGGACAAAAAUAUACACUUAACAACGACGCAUUAUAAAAGUAAAGAUCUAGAUAUGAUAAUUGCAUAUAAUAAAAUUUAAAUAUAAAUAUAAAAUACUUAAAAAUUUCAACCAACAAUAUCUUCGUUAAAAUUAUAAAUUCGCUUGAUUAUUUUCCUUUGAUUUAACACAUCUUCUUUUGGUAGCCGUCUGUACCUGACUCGACCAGUUAACCCACAAAACAUUUUACAUGUACAAUAAUGACACAAUUUCGCUCAGGCCUAAUUUACAUAUAAAUACAAAAUUACAAAUCCAAAUAAAAAUAUUACAAGCCCAAAUGUAAAAAGGAAGCCCAGUGGCCCAAAAAACUUAAACAUUUUCAGAAGGACAGAAACCUUAGCCAGCGCGCCGCCCUCUCUGCUUUGCCAGCGGUUUCGUUGCCUGAGGUUUGACGCCUCAUCUGCCAGUUGUCGCCAUCGACUAGGGACACUUGCAAAAAAGGAAGAACAAGGACAGAAGCACAACACCCAAGAAAAAACAGUAGAAACAGUAGAAAAACAGUAAAAAAGAGAGUGUAAUUCGACUAUAAAAGCCAUGACUUUUAUGUAUUUCUUUACAAGAAAAAAAGGAAUAAAAAACAGAACACAAAGAAAACAUUUUUAAAGGUGAUUUUCUUCAUUUUUUUAUCUGUUAUUUUUAGAAAAAAAACAUAAAACAUAAAAUCAAAAAAACUUACUGAGCCGUUUCAUGUUCCACCGCCGCGAGUAGACGAGGACACCGUCCGCGAUGACGGACGGCUCCCUUCGGUGAGACCUCCGAGUCACUUCUGUUUUGUCUAAGGACCACGGCGGAGAAAACCAAGGGGUUGUUCAGAUUUUUUUUAAUUUUUUGUUGGGUUUUGGAAAGUACUGACCCCGGAUUCGGGCUCAAGAAGCCGUAACGGCCAAAAAAUGGUUGCUUGUAGAUUCUAGCCACCGGGAACAGUGAAAUCAUCGCCGGCGCCAGGGGCAAACGUGGAAAACCGAGAGAGAAAAAAAGACUCAGUUUUUUUAAGAAAAACUAAACAUAAUGAUUUUUUUUUUUAAUUUGGCUUAUAUAGGCGAGGCUAAACGACGUCGUUUAAAGCUGGCUUCAAUAGCCCCAAAACGACGUCAUUUUGAAACAUGACCCGAAUACAAACAGGAUCCGCAUGUUUUCUUAAGAAAGGGUCUAAUUUUUACUUCAGUCCUUCUGCUUUUUAAUUGAUUUUCAAUCUAGUCCUAUUUCUUUUUUUUUAAUUUUUGCCCAGUGAUUUUGUUUCUUUUUAGUCCCUCAUGGAACGGUGUGUUUGCGGGCCUGGGAAUAAUUUCCUAGUUGGUCCGUCCUUGUAAUACCCCAAAAAUUACUACAGGAAUAAAGUAAUAUAGUAUCCUUGAUAUAGUAAAAUCAGGAAAUAAAGUGACAAAAAGGGAAAUUUUGAGUUAUGUCAACAUUGGGAAGUAUAUUAUGACAUAUUAAUGCAAAAAAAGAUUAAAUCGCAAAAGUGAGAAAAGUUUUGUUGCCCAAGAGUAAAUACUCAAAAAUUGAGGGGUUAAAGUGUAAAUAUAAAAAAGUUCAAAGACCAAUAGUGAAAAUAUUUUAAGGGUGGAAUGAUAUAGAAAAUAAGGAAAAUGGAUGAAUUAUGACCAAAUUGAAUAGGUGAAGAAUUAUGAUGGACUAAAUCAUAAUUUUACCAAAUUAAGUGAUGACUCAAUGAUGGAAUUUUAAAAGAUCAUGAAGGGCAAAAUGGUCAAUUAGAAAGAGAGAGAACUCUAAAAGGUAAUGAUGAUGUUGGUGAUAUUUUUAAUUAAUUAAUUAGAUAAAUGUUAUUUAAUUAAUAUUUUAUUUAGAUUUUUAGUAUUAUUUUCUUUAUAAUUUGGUUAUUUUACCAAAAAUUCACCAUUUUCACUUAGAAAUCAAAAGAAUUUCUAUAGCUACCAAGANNNNNNNNNNNNNNNNNNNNNNNNNNNNNNNNNNNNNNNNNNNNNNNNNNNNNNNNNNNNNNNNNNNNNNNNNNNNNNNNNNNNNNNNNNNNNNNNNNNNNNNNNNNNNNNNNNNNNNNNNNNNNNNNNNNNNNNNNNNNNNNNNNNNNNNNNNNNNNNNNNNNNNNNNNNNNNNNNNNNNNNNNNNNNNNNNNNNNNNNNNNNNNNNNNNNNNNNNNNNNNNNNNNNNNNNNNNNNNNNNNNNNNNNNNNNNNNNNNNNNNNNNNNNNNNNNNNNNNNNNNNNNNNNNNNNNNNNNNNNNNNNNNNNNNNNNNNNNNNNNNNNNNNNNNNNNNNNNNNNNNNNNNNNNNNNNNNNNNNNNNNNNNNNNNNNNNNNNNNNNNNNNNNNNNNNNNNNNNNNNNNNNNNNNNNNNNNNNNNNNNNNNNNNNNNNNNNNNNNNNNNNNNNNNNNNNNNNNNNNNNNNNNNNNNNNNNNNNNNNNNNNNNNNNNNNNNNNNNNNGGCUUUAGUAGAACCUCUUCCUCCGGAUGGUAUUUCAUCAUCACUGAAGAAGAUAAAAUUGUCAGCACCAAUAUUGUUGAUCAGCCGAUCCAGCUUGUUUACCGAAAUAUCGUCAGCCACAUAUGUUUCGUUUAGCACCUUUAAUAGUGCAUUCCGAUGUACUUCUGAGUUUAAGAGUAAAGCUAAUACAGAAAUGCGGGCUGGCUGUUUGUGCAGUUGCUCCGCAACACUGUAUUCACUGUGUUUCAAAACUUCAAAAACUCCUUUGCCUCCUCUUCUUUUAUUGGUUCAUUUACCAAUGGUUCAACUUCUACUGCUUUCCCUUUCCUCUGUUCUUUCUUCCAAUUCUCUUCCCUGGACGACUCUGCUUGAGCAUCAUAUCUUUUUCCAUUGCGCGUGUAAGAACCUAUUUCCUGAUUUCUUUCUGCUUCUUUUCCCAAAAUGGUCACAUUGCACCGUAAUUCCACGGCACCAUUUUGUUAUCCCUAUAAGAGAAAUUUGAUGGUUUCUGGAUUACAAUUUUUGGUGUUACCUGAGCCCUAACCUCAUUACCCUUAGGGCGUGAGAUAAUGACCACAGGAUGAUUUAUUUUUGGAGCCUUUGUUCCCAACUCUGUCGCGCAUAUGCUCCUCAUUUCUUUCGCAUCUUCGUAAAACCUCAUCUCCUUGUUAUCCAUCAUGCUUUGAACCAAAGCCUUAAAUCCUUCACAUUCUUGGAUUUCGUGCCCUGUUUUAUGGUGAAAUUCACAAUAAUUUCCCAUCUCAUGCCCUUCCUCAGAAUCUGAAAUAACCAAACCUCUUUUCGCCAUUUCUUUCCAGACCCGUUUCAAUGGAGUUUUUACUUCAGCAAUGUCAGUCUUGACUUCUUCUCCCGUACCUUCGCUAACCAUAUUCACCCCCUUAUCUGCGUGAUUAGGUAACGGAUUCUUUGCGUUAGGUGAGUCGUCAAGUUUGACAACACCUAAAUUGAUAAGUCCUUCUACUACCUUCUUGAAGGCCGUACAAUUUUCUAUCGAGUGCCCAGAAAUUCCCGCAUGAUAAUCACAUUGCGCGUUCGUAUCAUACCAUUUUGGAUACGACUCAAGUAACGCAACAACAUGUGCAUCGAAUAAAGUCUGAUACAACUCCUUGUAUGACAUCGGGAUUGGCGUGAAUUGGGGCUUUUCAGUAGUUUGCCUAGCUCCCGACUCUUGUCUUGAUGAUCCCUGUUGAUUAGCAACCACUUUCUUUGGUUGAUUCACGGUAAUUGACCUACCAUAAGCAUUCACAUUAUUCACUUCAUUUUCUCUUUUCCUCAGGGGUGCCCUCCUAUUAUUUCUCUCCAUCUUAUUUUUCCACUUUUAAUGGCCUAUGCUCAAUCCUUUCAACGUUCAUGAUUAUAUCCGAGAAAUUUUUUGAAGCGCUUCCCAACAUGUGAGUGAUGAACGGGGCUUUCAAAGUAUUAAUAAAAAGCGUCGUCAUCUCUUUUUCCAAAAGCAGUGGUUGCACCUGAACCGCCACCCUCUCGCCACCUCUGCGCAUAUUUCUGAAGCUUUCGUUCGAUUUCUUCUCUAAAUUUUGCAGAGUUAUCCUGUCAGGUAUCAUUCUGAGGACAUGAUUGUAUUGUCUCAGGAAAGCCUGUGCUAAAUCCCUCCAAGUAGCAAUUUUAGCUCGGCUCAGCUGAUUGUACCACUUUGACGCCGCUCCCGUAAGACUUUCCUGAAAGCAAUGUAUUAAUAAUUGAUCAUUAUUAAUAUGCCCCGUCAUUCUUCUACAAAACAUAGUAAUAUGGGAUCCUGGGCAACUAGUCCCGUUGUAUUUCUCAAAUUCCGGCAUCUUAAAUUUGUAAGGGAGCACCAAGUCCGGAACCAAGCUCAGAUCCUUUGCAUCUAUUCCAUAGCUUCGAUGCUUUCUAUUGCCCUAAACUUCUCUUCUAUCCAUUUCCAUUUCUCCUCAAAUUGUUUUGAAAAUUCCUCCUUCGCCUUGUCCUUUUCAACCAUCUCGUAAAGAUCUGGGACAGCAAUAUUAUUCGGGCUAUCACCGGGAUUAAAGCCCGCUCCGGGUUGAAAAUUCAUUGGGAUUGAAGCAUCGCCUUGGAACUGCUGGGGCCUAACCGACACAGAGGGUCUCCGCGGAUGCAGCUCAGUCUGUACUUGCGCAUGCGGAUGCGUGAAACCUAGAGGAUAAAGUGGUUCACCAUUGUUUUCUUCUUCACUAACAAUCACAGGACCUUUACCCUUAUCUACUCCCUUCAAUAAUUGCGUCAUCUUAGCCACCAGAUCAUUUUGGGACUCCUCCAUCUUUUGCACCAUGUCACGCUGAAUCUUUUCUAUUUGCUCUUUCAUUUGCGCCUGCAACUGGUCUUGCAUUUCUUUUUGAAGUCGCUCUAGCUUCUCCAACCUUUGGUCCAUAAUUUUUGUCUUAGCUCGGGUGCCGUAACUUUGUUGGUUUUCCAGGUUAACUGAAAUGAUUUUAUUCGAUUAGGUUUUUAAUGGUCAUUAAUGCAUAUGAUGUGAUGCAAUGCAUGAAAAGAAUGCAAAGAAAAAGAGGCACUGAUUCUAAUUCAACUUCAUUAGAAAACUUUACUAGAUAAAGAGUUUCUUUACAUAAAAUAGACUACAUAUAUGGCUUUGCCCUUACACUCAAAGCCUUAACCUUUCUAAGAAGCCAAGCUAACUCUCGGCCCCUGUUCGACACUAACUCAUACUUCAAACUUAAUAGAUCAGCCUGAACCGCUAGAGUUUACAGAUGAUCAGCUACUUCGCGCACUUGAGUCACCGCCUCUCCCAUAAUAUAAUCUCUUUCUCCAAUCUGCUCUUGAGACCGACGGAAUUGUCUUUGCCACUGCUCAUUACUUUCUUCCAGAAGCUCUAUCUGGAUUUCACUAUUUUGCAAUGCAUUCUCUAGCCCUCCUAUUUGUCUUUUUAAUCUUCAAUUUUGUCUAAGCUCGCCCUUAAUUCAACCGUAGCAUUACGAUUACAGUACUGGUGAAGCGACCUUUCUAGUUCAGUUAUCCGGACCUUCAACUCCGUCUUCUCGUCUUGGCAAACUAGUAGACUCUUUCCCAAGGCGACUUCUCGAGCCCGAGUAUCCUGAAAUUUCUUUUCCCAUUGAUUAGCUUUCAUCUUUUCCUCCUGAAUUUCUUGUCGCCAUUGUUCUGGCGUUUUACCCAAGCCAGCAGCUCUUACCGACCUACGCAACUUCUUGUAAUCUGUCUUCAGGCUGUCCAAAUCUUCUUCUGCUUUGUUCUUUCCUUUUCUCAAUUUAUCGGCCUCUAACCUUUGAAUGUCCACAUCCAGUCCUAACUGCAUUUUUUCUUCCUCUAGUUGUUCUAUUUUCUUCCCCAAUUCUAAACUCCUUUUUUCAAAUUCUUGUUUGAUGAUUUCUAUCUCAGAAGGCAAAACUUGUAAAUGUUCCUCCAAAGAUCGAGCAGUUUCUGGAUUUGACGCCGGGAUGUUGUCGUUGAUCCUUUGAUCACGCCACCGACCAUACUCGGGGGUAAUUGUCGGACCCACGGCUAAGAUCUUCAUUCGACGAGUCUGGUUCCAGGCACUAGAUAUUUCCCGAACCUUCUUCUUGUAAUUGUCCUCCCUAUAGGAAAAAUCAUAAUAGGCCAACCCCUGCGUUGCUGGUAUGAAUUAUCGUGAUCUAUACUGUCUUGAUACGAAUAGAGGAGCAUAUCCGAUAGCUCCCCAUAUCCCGAGCAGCGGAACCCAGUCAAAAUCUCCACAUUGGUACAAUAUCUCAUCAGGAAUUAACCAAGGAGCCCUCCAUUCAAUAUCUUCAUCCUGGAGAUUCUGGAGUAUCUCUAUCCAUUUUUCUUCUGAAAUAUCAUCCCGUCUUGGCGUGGCCACCAAUUCUCCUAGAGGGGAGUAGCUAUCAGAGAAUACCCGAUAAGAGACCUUUUCGACUUUCCAGAAGUGGCUAUGGAACCAUGCCAAUAAAAGCUGCGCGCAUCCAAUAAACCUUCUCUCCCCUGCUUUUCGACACGCAUUCAAGGAUCUAAAAGUUUCAGCGAGUAUUGCCGGAACCGGCGUAACCCCUUUACUAAGCCGAUCAAACAAAUCAGAUACAGCCUCGUCUAUGUGUCCUAAAGCUUUGGGGAAAACCACUAGUCCAUAGAUACCUAAAGCGAAGACAUCGACCCUUUUCUUUAAGUCAGGAUGUACAAGCACCAAAUCUCGCAAACUUUUCCAAGGAACACAAUUACUGUUGCCCUUCUGUUGGAUCCGGGCAGCGACCCACUGCUCGCUCAUCCCAGUGAUGUUCAUUAAUUUCUUUAACAACGGAGGGACACAAGCAGCUCUGGAAUAAGCCUUGUCGACUUGAAUCUUUGGGCACCGAAGCAAGGUCGUAUACUCCUCCACAGUAGGCGUCAAAUCUACCUUCCCAAAAGUGAAACAACUGUAGGCAGGAUUCCAAAACUGAGCAAGGGCUCGGAAUAAAUACUUGUCCACUUUGACACUAAGCAGAUAAGGUAGGUCACCGUAGUUACAAUAGAACAGCUGCUUGGCCUCGACAUCCCAUUGAUCCCAGACUUCUUUCAUUUCUCGAAGGUCAUUCUGGAUUACACUGAUACGGGUAAAAUCCCACAAUUCUGACACGUACCCUUCGGUAAGACUAUCGCCUUUCUCCCGUUGUGUCGUUUCAGCCCAUAUUCGCACAGCCGCAUUAUCCUCUACUUUAUCAACAAACCCCUUUUCCAUGAUAAGCUUUCUACCAAGAAACUGAACGUAAAUCGACACCUCUUUUAGAAUGAAGAUGCCAUGCAAUCACAAACAAAGUAAAUUAGCAUUAAACACAGAAUAAGAUUUAAAAUAAGCGACAAAUAAAUACAACAUUCAUUUAGGUAAGCACUAAAAAUUUGGAGUAGCUCUACCUAGGUCAGUUCCUAUGGCUCAUUACAUGUGGUUUGGUUCUAAAGUAGGGUACCUGAACCAGCAAAUUCCUCGAUCCUCACCCAUUAUAGGCUCAUACGGACCAAGUUCGAUUCAGGGGGAUACAUUUCCCUAUGGCCAUGCGGAGAUGAAAAUCUCACGAAGACAUAGGUACGGAUAUAUCCCGAAAGCGAUUCACUAUCCCAUGCGGAGGUGAAAACCUCACGAAGGCGUAGCUUCUCACUCCCACCUAAAAAGGUGUGACCAACGGUCAUGCAAUGCAAUGCGGAAAGAUACCAAAAUUUAAACAAAUAGAGCAAUUAUAAACCCCAAUGAUGAUGAUUAUGAUAAAGACAGAUAAAAUGCGAUGAAAGGAUCGUAAUUUUAAACCGAAUUUUCAAUUUUUGACAAAAGACAAAAAGUAAUCACCACGUGGCUUGACCCUCUUAUCGGUGUCCCCAGUGGAGUCGCCAAGCUGUUGGCGCCAUUUUUUUUGAUGAAAACGGGGUCGACUUGGGUUUUGAAAAAUGAAACGGGAGUCGCCACCAAUCCUUUUUUAUGAGGUGUGAUUGGAUCACCUUGAAAAGUGGUUGUUUUUAAUAAACGGUUUAGUUUUAUUAAAACAACGAUUUUGGUCCACAAAAUUCAAAAAAAUGGGUUCGGGAGUCGGUUACGCACGAGGAAGGAUUAGCACCCUCGAUACGCCCAAAAUUGGUACCUAAUUGAUUACUUAAUGUCUUAAUGUCGAAAACUUUGAAGAACUUUAAAAAAUACGAUCCUUAUAUUAAAAUAAAAAUUUUUGGGAAAAGUAGCAUAUUUCACGUUAAUCGAGAAAGAGAAUCAUAUCCAGUAAGUUAGGAUACAAUGUCUCAAAUUCCCAACACGCAAAUGAAAAAUGCUUAUUUAAAAGAUAUUUUAGCCAUCUCGGAUUUAAAAAUGAGAUCACGACCCGUAAGUUAGGACGCAAUUUUUUAAUCCCGAGAUCAUUUAAAAUUUGAGUUUAAAAAGAUUCGUCAUUUAGAUUUAUCGUGAAAAUCGAAACCCAGUAAGUUAAGAUACGAUCCUCUCGAAUCUAAAGACGAAAUAUUAUUUAUUCAAAACAAAUUAUGUUAUGUCGAGUAAAAUAAAACACUAAAAUCGUAGUAAAAAAAUGUGAAAGCAAUUUGCAUUGUUGUUAUUCAUGGCAAAAUCAUAAUGAAUACAAAAGUAUAAAAUGAUAUGAGCAAUAGCAACAAUAAUAAAUAAACGUUAGUCCUACAAUCAUAUAAAAUAACAAUGUAUAUAAACAAAUAAAUCAAAACUUUCAUUCAAAAUAAUAAUAAAAUGAAAUAAAUAGUGAACACAAAUAAAACGUAAAGGAAUAUAUAUAUGUAUAGAAAUGUAAAUUAAAAUAUGUGUGUAUACGUAAGUUACAAAAUAUAUGAAAUAUAUAUAAAGUAUAUUUUAAAAUAUAAAGAAAAAAUAAAUAUGUAUGAAGUGUAUGUAAGUAUAUAAAUAUGUAUAUAUAAUAAAGGUGUAUGAAAAUAUAUUUUAUAUACAUGUAUUUAUAAAAAAAUGCAUAUAGAUAUAUAUAGAUGGUUUUAAGCUAUGAAGUAUGAAAAAUAUGUACAUGUAUGAAUUAUAAAAUAUAUAAAUAUGUACAUAUAUAUAUGUAAAAAUAUGUAUUUAUAUAUUUAUAAAGGUUAGAAAUAUGUACGUGUAUUAUAAAUAUAUAUGCAUAUAUAAAUAAAUUAUAAAAUAGGUAUGUUUAUAUGUAUAUAUAUAUAUAUUACAAAAAAAUGUGUAUAAGUAUAUGUAAAAAUAUAUAAUAAUAUAUGUAUAUAUCUAUAAAAGCAAUUAUAAUAAUAAUAAUAAUGCAAUAACAAUAAUAAUAUAAAAUUUGUAAAGAAAAUAAACAAAUCACUAAAGGAUUAGAUUAAACAUUAAACAAGAUUCGGGGGGUUCAAAGCGCAAAUAAACGAAAGGGGAGGGAUUGCUCUGAACACGCAUGUAACAUGGAGGGACCAUCAAAGAAAUUACCCUUCCUUUAAAACGGCGUAGUUCGAGUAAGGACGAAGUUGAAAAUACGAAAAAAUUUUGGGUAAAUUUAAAAGAUCAAAAGAACCUAAUUUAAAAAGCAUUAAAAAAGCGGAAGGGCUAAAGGUGCAAUUAGCCCUUCCGUCAAAAACACGCGGAUCCCUAGAUCAGACGGGUCGGGUCGCGGGUCGGAUCUCGGUUUAGACGCAAAACGGCGUCGUUUGAGGCCGAAUGAAACAGGCCAAAACGACGCCGUUUCAUUUAGGUAUUUAAACCAAUUUUUGUUUAAAAAAAUCAUUCAGCCCCAUUCCCCUUUUUUAAAAAAACUAAAAACUUCUCAGUUCUCUCUCCCUCUUCCCCUUUCUUGAUCUCGGGUCCGGCCGAGGGCCACCUUGUCGGCCGUCGGAUCGCCGGUGCCAGUGACGCCGUACACGGUGGCCGGCGAGUGGAGAAAGGCGUUGCCCUUAGAGAUGCCUAUCUCCUAAACCCGAAUCCGGCCUCAAAAUGACCAAAAACGAAUGGGAAAAGGCUGUUAGGCUUCUCUACAGUCGGUUUCCUCACCGGAGAAGGAGUUUCCGACGAGGAGGAAACAGCGACCCGCGGUGAGUCUCUUUUUUCUUUAUUUUAUGUUUUUUAUUUCGUUUAAAAAAUCAAAAUAAAAUAAAAUAAAUACAACGAAAAAAAGAAAAAGUAAAUAUUGCAAUCGAAAACCCAGGGAAUCACCUUGAAGCUUGAUAUUUUUUAUUAUUCUGUUGAAAUUUGUUUUCUUGGUUACAAAUCGAAAAAAGAAAAAGAAGCCCUUUUGAUUUUUUCAAUCGGCCUUAUAUAGCCAAACUACAAAAUAAAAAAUCUCCUUUUGCUAUCCGUAUUUGCUGUUGCUUGUUGGUGUUUGUUGCAGGUACUGGCGGAGCAGUUGGAGCAGGUGAGUCGGUGGCAAGUGGGCGUGGUGACGGCUGUGAACAGAGGGCAGGUGAGGAGGCCAGGAGCAGGUGCGGCACAACAGGGGGCUAGGGUUUCUGCUAGGUGUUUAUGUUUUGGGCUGAUUGGGUUAGGCUAGUUGGGCCUGGGUAGUUUUUAGGUUAAAAUUUGUUAUUGGGCCCUGGGUCAAAAAUUGGGCUUGUACAAUAAAAUUAUUUUUAAAAAAUAAAAAUUAUUAAAAAAUACAAAAACAAUAUUUUUAAUAGUUUAGAGAUGAAUUAAAUGCUAACAUGUCAUCUACUCAGCAAUCCACAUGUAUAACACGUCAUGAAAGUUAAUAAACAUUUAUUUUUUCAUCCACUCUGGAGUGGCUUGACAGAAAAUGUAAAUUCAAGUGUUAAAAGAAGCGAAAAUUUUAAUGGAGGGCUAAAAUGACUUGUUUUGUGAAGUUGGAGGGCCAAAAAAUAAUUAUGCCAAAACUAAAUGAUUAAUAGAAAACAAGGGGAAAUUUGCAUGCAUCUAUAUAAUUUUAUUUCAAACCAUUGUCAUUAUCUUGAGAUAUACAUUGGCAAACAUUCAUUGAAUAUACCUUGGGAAAAAAAAAUACUACAAGACAACGAAAUUAAAUAUCAUAAUCAAAUGUUGAAAAUGAAUGAUAAGAAAUUUAAAUUAAAAAUCAAACAUAGUAGGCUUGAUGUGCAAGCUAUCUGCAAUCUUUUUUUUUAAUUGUUUUAUUAUAUAGAUUUUAAUAUUUCUUACGUCUUUUAUCAGUCAAUUUGAACUGAUGCAUUCAUUUGUUUCAUUCAUAUGGUGUUGGAUCACAUUAAAAAAUAUAUACAAUUAAUUAAUCAUUUUUAGCUUAAUAAAAAAUAUAUAAUCUUGAUUGGUAUGAGUAUUAUUAUUAAUGUAAGAGGAUCUAGUUUUAAGUGUGCUUAAGCGCAUUAUCCUCCUAUUUAUGGGUUGAGGAGGGGUUAUGGGUAAUUUUAGGCAUUAUGUCAAAAAGAGCAUAUAUGAUCAGAACUUGUAAUGAAAUUAUUAAAAAAAAUGUAUAAACAUAAACAAUUUUGUUUACAUAAUUUUUAGAUAUAAAUGAGCUUUGGAUUCAAAUAAUUUUGUGUUGCUUGAGGUUUUCGGAUCUAUUUACUCUCAUUUAAGUUGUAAAGUUUUUACGAGAGGUAAAAUGUAAUUUCAUUAUUUUAAUAGCUUACGUCUUUAUAAUUAAUUAAAGGUUAAAUCAAAAUUUUAUUAUUUUUGAAAGCUAAUGUGUGAUUUUUACCAUGUAGUAAUUUUUAUAAUUUAUAAAAUUUAAAACACUAAAACAUAAACUUACCAUUUUAGGGUGCAGAGCCAGCCCCUAUAUUUUGAAUUUGAAGCAAUUUAAGUUUAAAUUUGUAAUUUUUUAUGAUUAAAUAAAAAUAAAAUAAGCUUUAUUUUAAAUUGAUCAAGUAAAAUUUAUCAAGUCAAAUUUUGAGUUAGAAAUCAAAAUUGUGAGGUUUACCUAUAUUAAGAAAAAUUAGCUACUAAAAAAUUGUUAAUAUAUAAAUUUGUGUGUUGGCUUGUUGGUCAGGGUAUUCAUCGCCCCAAAUGUGAUUUGGGUUCGAGUCGCGUUACUGUUAACGUUUUGUCAUCCUCUUGUAAUUUACUAAAAAAUUGUUAAUAUAUAUUAUAUAAAGAUAGUAAACUGUUGACUAACAUAAUGUCAUCAUUCAUAGAGGAAAAAAAAAGGCACAUUGAUCAUAUUUUCAGCCAUCCAUAAAAUAGCAGUAAAAUAAUUGACUUGAGAAAUAACACAUAAAAUCAUAUGAUAUAUUUGAUACACUGAGAGCAUUGAAGAGUCAUUUGAAUCAUCGUAAAAGACAAAGUAGACAAUUCAGUGACGAAAUUCUCAAUAUAUAUAACUACGAAAUUCCACACAAAAUUGUGAAAACAACGAAAAAUAUCUAAUAAAAAUAAACCAUUCAAACAAGACCGCUUGACUCUUUGAGUAAUGAAUUUUUUUUCACAAUUAAUUUAACAUGUUUUUCCAAUUUGAAUAGUAAACACUAUAGUUGCAAUUCAGUCAAUACUAGAAAUUUAUAUUUUAAACCCAUCGUUUAGAAUAUUCCAUUUUUUACAUUGGAAAUAACACAAAAGAUUCAAAGGAAAAAUAAGCAAAUUUCAUCAAAGGCGUCUAUUUGUAAUGGAAAAUUUAUAAUGUGGAUCCUUGUAUUAUAAACUAAAGAACAAAUUAACUCCUUAAGUAUAAAAGUGAGCAAUUUAGUCCUUUAGGUCUUUUCUCUUUUUUCUCCAAGCCGUUUGUUUCUUCUUUUUUGUUUUGCGUAGCAACGGUGGCAAUCUCCGGGCUGGCUACUGCCCACCUUUUGCUCCCUCCAUUCCAUAUGUUUUCUCUCUUUUCAAUUGAUACAUCUAUUUUGUAGGUAUCUUUGUUGCCUUCACAUGUUGUGAUGGACAGAUGAUGAUGCCUAUCGUCGCUGAAAUUACCCUGGCCAUCAACAGUUUCUCUAAGAAAGUGGGUGACUUUUAAUUGGCUCUUGAUCUAUUUUUGUUUGGAGAGUAUUUUAGAAUAAUAAAUAAUUUUACGAAUCAGUUUGGACCUCUAGUAUUUUAAGUCGUCACCAUUCAUUCCAUGAAUGGAAUCAUAUCAUUUAUGUAAAAGAUAAAACUUAAACAUGUCUUUAUAUUUGUAAAAACUUAACAAUAAGAAGGCUUGACUAUUUGAAUAAGUUAUUUUUCACAAUAUUUUCAAUUUGAAUUGUAAGUACUCCAUAGUUGUAUGAUUCAGUGAAUACUAGAAAUUUAUAUUCAAAACCCAUCAUUUAAAAUUUUCUGAUACAUUAGAAUUGAGAAGAAAAAUAUUUAGAGUAAGCAAAUUUCAGCAAUGGCGUCUAUAUUUAUAAUUGAAAGUUAUCAAUAAAAUUAAUAUCUUAUUUCUUUUUAAUAUUUUAUUGUGCAUGCGUAGUUUUACUAAUGGCAUUGAUAUCCCAGAAUUAAAAUAUUUCCAACAAGCAUGUGCUCUAUUGAUUGACUUUAAAGUCUCUAGAUUUUUAAAAUGAAUUUACUAAAAAAAUGAAAAAAAAUUAUUAGAAUUAAUUUUUAUUAAUUGAUAAUAAACUUAUGAAUAAUUAAGUAUUACAUUUUUAUUAAUUCCAAAUCAAACUUCUUUUUUUUAUAUAAUACCUAAAACUACUUAUAAUCCCUUCCUAAUCCUUAAAUAAGAAAAUAAUGUGUUUCAACAUAUUCAAACCCACAUCUUCCUGCACUGACAGAUUAUAUAAAUUUAAAUAUUCAAUAUAUAUAUUUCUCUAAAACUGACAUGUUGAAAAAGGAAAUCACAACUAUAAAACAAUCAUCUUCAAAGUUUCAAUAAUAAAAUAAGUAUAAUACAAAUUUAAUGAUAAAUUCAUGAUGUGUUAGGAUAUAAAACUAAUAUUUUAAAAAAACGAUAUGAAAUUAUAAAUUCUAUUGUGAUUAUAGUAUAUUUAUAAAUGAAUGUUGGGAUAAUUAUAAAAUGGAAUUAAAUUAAUAUAAAAUACAUUAAAAAUUAAAAUAAUUAAAACUAAAAUUGAUUCAUUGGACAAAAAUAUACACUUAACAACGACGCAUUAUAAAAGUAAAGAUCUAGAUAUGAUAAUUGCAUAUAAUAAAAUUUAAAUAUAAAUAUAAAAUACUUAAAAAUUUCAACCAACAAUAUCUUCGUUAAAAUUAUAAAUUCGCUUGAUUAUUUUCCUUUGAUUUAACACAUCUUCUUUUGGUAGCCGUCUGUACCUGACUCGACCAGUUAACCCACAAAACAUUUUACAUGUACAAUAAUGACACAAUUUCGCUCAGGCCUAAUUUACAUAUAAAUACAAAAUUACAAAUCCAAAUAAAAAUAUUACAAGCCCAAAUGUAAAAAGGAAGCCCAGUGGCCCAAAAAACUUAAACAUUUUCAGAAGGACAGAAACCUUAGCCAGCGCGCCGCCCUCUCUGCUUUGCCAGCGGUUUCGUUGCCUGAGGUUUGACGCCUCAUCUGCCAGUUGUCGCCAUCGACUAGGGACACUUGCAAAAAAGGAAGAACAAGGACAGAAGCACAACACCCAAGAAAAAACAGUAGAAACAGUAGAAAAACAGUAAAAAAGAGAGUGUAAUUCGACUAUAAAAGCCAUGACUUUUAUGUAUUUCUUUACAAGAAAAAAAGGAAUAAAAAACAGAACACAAAGAAAACAUUUUUAAAGGUGAUUUUCUUCAUUUUUUUAUCUGUUAUUUUUAGAAAAAAAACAUAAAACAUAAAAUCAAAAAAACUUACUGAGCCGUUUCAUGUUCCACCGCCGCGAGUAGACGAGGACACCGUCCGCGAUGACGGACGGCUCCCUUCGGUGAGACCUCCGAGUCACUUCUGUUUUGUCUAAGGACCACGGCGGAGAAAACCAAGGGGUUGUUCAGAUUUUUUUUAAUUUUUUGUUGGGUUUUGGAAAGUACUGACCCCGGAUUCGGGCUCAAGAAGCCGUAACGGCCAAAAAAUGGUUGCUUGUAGAUUCUAGCCACCGGGAACAGUGAAAUCAUCGCCGGCGCCAGGGGCAAACGUGGAAAACCGAGAGAGAAAAAAAGACUCAGUUUUUUUAAGAAAAACUAAACAUAAUGAUUUUUUUUUUUUAAUUUGGCUUAUAUAGGCGAGGCUAAACGACGUCGUUUAAAGCUGGCUUCAAUAGCCCCAAAACGACGUCAUUUUGAAACAUGACCCGAAUACAAACAGGAUCCGCAUGUUUUCUUAAGAAAGGGUCUAAUUUUUACUUCAGUCCUUCUGCUUUUUAAUUGAUUUUCAAUCUAGUCCUAUUUCUUUUUUUUUAAUUUUUGCCCAGUGAUUUUGUUUCUUUUUAGUCCCUCAUGGAACGGUGUGUUUGCGGGCCUGGGAAUAAUUUCCUAGUUGGUCCGUCCUUGUAAUACCCCAAAAAUUACUACAGGAAUAAAGUAAUAUAGUAUCCUUGAUAUAGUAAAAUCAGGAAAUAAAGUGACAAAAAGGGAAAUUUUGAGUUAUGUCAACAUUGGGAAGUAUAUUAUGACAUAUUAAUGCAAAAAAAGAUUAAAUCGCAAAAGUGAGAAAAGUUUUGUUGCCCAAGAGUAAAUACUCAAAAAUUGAGGGGUUAAAGUGUAAAUAUAAAAAAGUUCAAAGACCAAUAGUGAAAAUAUUUUAAGGGUGGAAUGAUAUAGAAAAUAAGGAAAAUGGAUGAAUUAUGACCAAAUUGAAUAGGUGAAGAAUUAUGAUGGACUAAAUCAUAAUUUUACCAAAUUAAGUGAUGACUCAAUGAUGGAAUUUUAAAAGAUCAUGAAGGGCAAAAUGGUCAAUUAGAAAGAGAGAGAACUCUAAAAGGUAAUGAUGAUGUUGGUGAUAUUUUUAAUUAAUUAAUUAGAUAAAUGUUAUUUAAUUAAUAUUUUAUUUAGAUUUUUAGUAUUAUUUUCUUUAUAAUUUGGUUAUUUUACCAAAAAUUCACCAUUUUCACUUAGAAAUCAAAAGAAUUUCUAUAGCUACCAAGAGAGAAAAAUAAUAAGGAGACAAUGGGGAACUAGAAUAUCAAGUUAGAUUCAAGAAAUAGAAGCUGGAGGAGAGAGAAAAUUAAGUUAAAGAUUGAAAUCAAUAGGACAAGGUAAGAACCUCAAAUUUCAAUAUAUUUUUUAGUUUGAUAUUAUUGAAAAAGUAUGAAAUUGAUGGCAAAGUAGAGUUUUAUUAUAUAAGAUUCUAUGUUCUUGAUAUUCUAGUGAAGGGAAAUAAGAGGAAGUGAUGGGAAAUAUUGUAGAGAAAGGAAAGAAGGGUGUUAUAAAUUUGGUUAUCAACAUUUUACACUAAAACAGUUUUGGACAACAGCAGUAGUCUGACUUUGAAAAUUCACCAAAAAACGUAGAAAUUGAAUUAGAGGUUAAUUAAAGUAUUAAAAUAAAUCCUAUUAAGUCUAGUUUUACAUGGAAGAAAUGAUGUAAGCAAAAGAAUUUCAUAUUAAGAGAUAUAUGAAUUUUUGUGAGACAGGGUCAGAUUGAUUUCGGGUUCCCCUGUUCUGACUUUGGAAAAUCAUCAAAAAAUUUUAAAAAAUAAUUAGGGGUUUAAAUUUAUUUUUUUAAAUUCUUGAUGAGUCUAUUUUCAAGAGAAACAAACAGAAACAUCAUCCAGACACCGUACUAAAAGAUAAUUAAUUUUUAGCAAGAAAAGGUCAAAGCUAUCAAACAGCAGAAUAUGGAUAAAUUUGAAGCAUUUACUGUACUUAUAGACUAAACUGUAAAUUCUAAAAAUUUUAUGGUGGAAAGAUAUUUGAGUCUAGUUUCAAAAACAUCAAUCAAAUCUUAAUUUAGAAUUCUGUAGCUCGAGAUAUAAAUAAAUUAUUGACCGUGAUUCAAGUGGACAGCUUUGAUAUGAACAUAAGUAAAUAGUAGAAUUAUAGAUAAUAUUACAUAUAAGCAUAAUAUAUACAUUAAGGAUGUGGAAUGGAGAGGAGGAGGAGGAGGAGGAGGAGGAGGAAAAUAUAUGAAUAUUCAACUAGCAUGAGUUUUCAUUAAAAAUGGCUAAUUUGCAUGUUUUAGGUUCAGAGACUAAAUUGAAUAAAAGUAAAAUUUUAAGGGUAAUUUUGUAAAAAUGUCAAAAAUGACCAAAUUGUAUGAAAUAAAUUUUUUUAUUAUUUAAAUUAAUAAAUUGAAUGAAAUAUUAAUUUAGAUCAAGAUUGAGUGGAAAAUCGAGGGAAAUGGAAAAUUACUAAAAUGCCUCUGUAUAUUGGUAUUUAUGCAAUUUGGGCUGGUAAGUUCGUAUGAACUAUAUUCUGUAUAAUUUUGAUUAAAGUGAAUGAUAUUUGGUGAUGGAUAUUAUAUAUAUGUGUGUUCAAUUGUUGGAAUUGAAUUUAAUACUCAGUUUGGAUUGAAUGCGGGAUUGACUACAAUCGUUCUGUGGCAAAGGAUGAAUUGACGGAUAAGACCAUAACUAGGUUAUGACACUAUGAACGUAAGACCAUGGUUGGACCAUGGCAGUGUUUUUAUGUAAGACCAUAGCUGGGCUAUAGCUUUCUAAUGAGACCAUAACUGGGUUAUGGCACCUUGAACGUAAGACCAUGGUUGGACCAUGGCAGUAUAGAUACAUGUGUAAGACCAUAGCUGGGUUAUGGCAUUCUAAUGAUAAGACCAUAAAUGGGUUAUGGCACUACAAAUGUAAGACCAUGGUAGGGCCAUGGCAAUGCAUGUGUAAGACCAUAGUUGGACUAUGGCACAAAAAGUAUAGCUAGACAAAAGAUUUUUUUUUUUUUUUUGCAUUUAAACUUCUGAAGUAUCUUUGAUGAAAGAGGUGGUGGAAAUAACGAUAGCUCCAAUGAAGAAGAAGACAAUGUCUUAUAUGACUCAAAAAUGGAAGUACCUAGGGAUGUUAAUACUAAAGUACUGAGAGCCAUUAAAGGAGAUUGGGUUUACAGUGAGUGUAAUUCACACCAACAUGCUAAGAACCACUAGAGGAAGUAAAUAGGUUUGGAGAUAUCUAGAGUUAUGAAUGAACUUAGACAAGGCUAUUAUGGAAAAUGAAUAUACCUCUUCUUAGAGAAAAAGGUAACUUUAUAUAGAGAUUUGUGUACAUCUUAUUGUGAUGGUGGUCUACCUCAGGCUCAGUUGUAAGGCCAAAAAAGCCCUGUUAGGCAAUGACAUGUGAUAGUGUAUGGAGUUUGUACUAAAGUUAUGGAGGGUCCUACUAGGAUGUGGUAGAAAGGACCUCUGAGUAGGCCCUAAUGAGACUCAGCACUGGGACUUGAUUUGACAAUGGCGCAUGUAAGGAGAUAAUUGAAAGCUUGAAUUUGGCAAGCCCUUUCAUGGGCGAGCCCUUCUAGAUAAAAUUGGUUGACUUAGGGCCAGAUUUUCAUUGCUUUUGAGAAGUGCUUCUGAGAAGUGCUUUUGAGAAGUGCUUUUUAGAAGUGCUUUUGAAAAAUUUGAGUGUUUGGCAUUGCUGUCAAAAAGUGCUUUUGAAGAAUAAAAUGUCCAUUUUAGACAUAAGAUUAUAAAGUAAUAAAUAUGUAUUUAAAUAAUGUUCAAAUUAGUUAAUAUUAUGGUAUUUUAGCAAAAAUAUAAAAAAAUAAUUUAUUAUAACUUAUUGUUAAUAUUUUAAUAUAUAAUAUCAAUUUUAAAUAUUUCUAAGUAAUUAAUAUUAAUUAUUUAGAAAUAUUUAAUUAGAAUAUAUAAACUAUAUUUAAAUAUUUAAAUAUAAAAAUUAAAUAUUUGUAAUUAGAUAUUUGAUGGGCUACUUUAACACUAAAAUUAAUCAAACAUAAUACUAUCUAACUAAAAUCUAAAAUCUAAUCACUAAAACCCAAUAUUAAACUUAGUAAUUCACUUAAAAAGAGCCUAAAACUAAGUGUGAAUUUAACUCUAAAACAUAUAUUAAUUAAACACCUAUCAAUUUCGUUCCAACUGUCAUUGUAAUGUAAUGUUAUAAUGUUUUUGUUCUAAUAUAUGACAAUGCACAUUGUUUAUCAUAUUUUUGUUCCGAUUUAAUGCACACUACCAUUUUAGUGUAAUGUUUGCCAAUAAUUGUUUCAAAAUGGUAUGAACUUUGGACCAAAAGAAUAAAAAAAGUUAUAUAAACAACAAUUCAAUAGAAAGCCGACAAAAUUAAUUGAAGUUGGUUCGAUUCGGUUAAUUAUUUUAACAGAAAAAAGGUCAAUUCAACUAACGGUUUAGUUAAUUAUAAUUCAAUUAACAAUGGAUCGAACUAACUAUUUCAUCACCCUUUAGAUUAAAUGUUUGAGAAUAUAAAACAAAAUACUUAGAAUUAUAAAAGAAAACAUAGUUUCAAUUGAACAAUUUAGCGUGCAAUGGAUACUAAGAUUCUAAUUUGAGGGUAAAAUAUGGAAUGCCCAUAUUGUAAUCUGUGGUGCUUUAUUAACUGCUGAUAUCUUUAACAACAUAAAGCUACAAUCCAGGGUCAAGGCGAGGCUUUCAAGGCAGCUUCUCCUAGUUUACCUCUGAGCAAGUGAUGGAUUGUAGGGUGCUCCCCAAACUGAGCUACGGACAGUUUGACUACCGGUUGCAACAAUAAACGUGAGGGAAGGUUAGAGCACAACUAGAUGGUUCUACUUUGGUUCUUAGUAUGAAUUUUCUGACAAAACUGCAAAUAAGCGGGAAAGGUUGCAUUAUUUCACAGGACAAGCUAGCCCAGCCUGAUGAUAAUACGUAAGUCGUGAAGAAGGUAGCCUGCAGACAAGAACAAUUUCAGUUAGAUGUAAUCCUGAAGAUACACAAUCACAUGCCAUAAAAAAGUGAGAAAAGCAAUCUGUCCUAUGUGAGUGCCUACAAAAGAGAGCGCUUAAUAGUGUAUUUCAUGCAUCUCAAUAGACCAAGGUAAAAUCUAAAUCUAAAUGCAUAUAACAACUUGCCAUGAAUGGAGGUGUUGAGGUUUUAUUAAACCAACAAUUGAGGACGCAUGGAAAGGUUACGUGGGUUGGCACUGCUCUGGCAAGUUGUUUAGGUGCAUCUUUAAAACUUGAGAAAACAGUCAAUUGCCUGAUGAUGGAUCCAGAAAGGACAUUAACAAAGAAAACAUUCCAAAUUGUGAAGUACAGAACUUUGAUGCAAGCACCCCAUUUCCUCUGACUACGUGAAAUAUUCCCCUCCAUUGUAGAAAACAACAUCAUGGUUGGUGGAACAGCAUACAGAAAUAAGAUUAGAAUCACACUUGGUAAGUAACCUGUUACCACCCGGUGUAUGAACUCCCUACAUAGCAGAAUAAACAAGAUAGAUUCACAAUGAGUGCCUGGUUCCUUCUCUUUUAAUUCCUUCAAGUUUCCACUUAAAAACAAUGAUAUUUGUCCUAUCUACAUGUAUUAAUACACACCAAGAGCUUGGGUGAGUUUAAUGCAGUUAAAUAGCAAUGACAUCACUAUAAUAAGUUGUAUCUGGCUAUUUAUGUACUCUAGAUUGUCUUUCAGAGCCUUCAAUCUAGACCUGUUCUCAGUAUGCGCCACAAGCAAUAGCAGAUAUAGGAGUAUUAACAGGGUUCACGAUUAUGGAUCUUUUCAUGCAGGUUUCUAUAUAGAGUUUGUUGCAUCAGGCAUCAGUCAUGACUGCAAUGUGAUAUGAAAGCAGCAUAAUUGAAAAAAAAAUAACAAGCUUAUACUGGUUUUGCAAUAGAGUUUGGGGAAUGAUACUCACUGUUUUUAAAUUCCUUUAAGAAAUGGAACUCUACGUGAUAGCUGGUCUAAGUGCUCUAGUUGAGUCAAGCCUUGCACAAAUGUAACAGGAAGAAGAAACAGGAAUUGAAAUGUUGAACCACUUCAAGAUGUUUUGAACUUAAAUUUGAGACUUAAUUACCUGAAAACAACUAUUCUCAUGAAAGCUACAGCAUCGUAACAUAAAUAGACUUAAUUACUCGGUUACUAACAUGAAAUUAAUUAAACAAAACAGCAACAGCAACAGACCCUUUAUGCUAACCGCAUUUCUUAAGAAAAAAGAAAUACCAAACAUAAAUAGAAAAAAGAAAGAAAAAAGAAGAAGAAGCAACAAAACAGCAACAACAACAGACAAGCUUUUUCUCUUAUCAGGGUACACAACAAACAUUCCCACAUUUCUUAAGAAAAAAGAAGAAGCAACAAAUGGAAUUGAUUGGGGAAGUUCAACAAACAGAAGGAGAGCAAAAUAAGACAAUGAGCAAAAUACCAAACAUAAAUAGAGUGUGUGCUUGGCUGCAUCUCUUUGAUCCCAGCUACUGUAAGCCUUUAUAUGUAACCAAAGCAAAGCACCGCCCCCACUUAUCUGACUCACCCACCCACCAGAACCUUCAGACCAUUUUGCAGACUUAUGAUAACACAGAUAAAAUAAAUCCUAAAGCCAAACAUGUGUAUGCCUUGUGAAAGUUACGGCACAAAAGAACAGAGUAUUUUAUAACAAUGAAGCAUGGCAAUCAAAUUCCAGCGAAAGAAAAUAUUAAACAGAAGAGGAACUAAUUAAACAGAAGAAGAAUUAUAAAAGAAACUCUCACCAGCGGAAGAGGAACAAAGAACAGAAAAUAGCUUUGAAAGCCGAAAAUGGGGAAAAGAAAUUGGGUAUAAAGCUCCAAUUUCACCAGCAGAGGGGAAAGAAAAUUUGGGGAACCAGCAGAGGGGAAAAAAACGUUUGGGGGAGAAUUUGGUCAAUAAUCAUCCAAAAGCAGUUAACGCUGAAGAAAAGGAGAAAAUUUUAGCUUCUCCAUCUAGAGAGAAGCACUUUUCUGAUGGAGAAUUUGUAAGAGAAAAGGAGGUUGUUCUUGGUUCCUUUUAAGAGAAAAGUGCUUUUUAGUGAAAAAGUGCUUUUCAAACGGGAAAAAGAACGGGCCCUUAGCGAGGUGUUUAAGUAUAAUAAUUUUCCUUUAAAAGUUGAGGAAGAGGUUAUAAAGUGGCUUUUCCCGAGAACUUUUUUUGGCGAGGUGCUCUCCUUUCGAUGAUGAUGUGAUGUGUUGUCUUUGGCAUGCCUAAAAAGGAGAUGUUGGACGGGUAGGUAUUUUGUUGGUGUACCUUUUUCAUGAUCUUAACAAGAUUAAAAAGGUGAGCUUAAGAGUCAAUUCUAAAGGGUGGGCUAGUAAUGGAAAGGCUUGAAUAGACAAAGGUAUGCUUGGCUAGGUGAGCUCGUUGAGGCAAGGCCUGAAAGUCUAUUUGAAAGGUGAACCUUUAUUGUAUGCAAUCUCGAAAGAUAAAGUUACGUUAAAGAAGAAAACAUCGUUGAAAGUGGAAACAACGGUGGUAGAUAGGCCAACAAAGAGGAAGAGCACGACAAGAUCACACUCCAAAGUUAUAGCGACAAAUUAGAGUAGAUUAUAUUUUCUAUUGCUAUAUAGUUAUUUCCUUUUGGGGGUUAAUAUUUUUCACAAAUAUUAUCUUUUUUUUCUUUUUAUUUUUUAUGGUUACUUCAUGUCGGGGAUAUAAUGUUUGAACGAGAAAUUUAUUACUUUCUUCAUUAUGUUAAUUAAUUUAUGAGUGGGGAAUUAAACGAAACGAUUUUUUCAAUUGAGUAUUUGAUUUCACAUUCUUCUCCAAUAAUAUCAUUCAAACAACUACUACAUUGAAAUAGACUAUUUAUUCUUUACAAUUACCUACAAAUUAGAUGAGUGUUAAUUCAUGUGGGCAUUUCAUAUUUGAUAUUAGUAAAUUGUAAAUUUGAAUAAAGGAAAACCUAUCUCUUAAGUGGUAAUUUUACUGGAUUCUUUUUACUAUUUUGAUCCCAUUUAUGAUAUUUGUUACUCUUCCUAUUCUCAUACUCUAUAUAUAUUCAUGAAUGCCAUUAAAUAAAUAAACAAUUAAAAGAAAAGAAAAUAUGAAACAGAAGAAAGCUUUUCUUGAAAAAAGAGCAGGACUUUGAUGGUAAAAAGGUAGAAAAAACUUCAUUGGAUUAAUAUAAGGUAGUGAGUACAAAUCUAAUCAAUUUGGACUUUUUCUUUAUAUGAUAUGUAUGAAUAUUAUAAAACAUUAUUACUUAAAAUUUAAUAUUUAUUCCUUAAGGAAAAAGCUUGAAGAGGAAAUUUUAAUAUAAUUUCAAACUGCGAUUGGUUCAAUCAGCAAUGAAGUAAUCCCACCCUUAGCUGCUUUUCCAACAUAUGUAUAGCCAUCUCCUUCACUGUAAAGCACAUCCAUCACCCUUGCAAGGUUUAGACUACGAUUUAAAACUUCUGUUGGCAUUUCUGUUGGUUUCAAAAACUCUUGAUUUACAUCCUUCCACGCACUCUCAACAUGCUUGUUGAAUACAUCAUAUGCCUCUUCUGCUGUUACGCCAUAUUCUUCC